UACAAAGCCAGUAAUAGUUUACGUAUAGGAAGCACUUCUAUAUGGAGAAGCAACUCUGCCACUUUGGGUGCAUUUUCAAUGUCUUCAAGAGGGGAAGAAGAUGACGAGGAAGCUCUAAAAUGGGCUGCUCUUGAGAAAUUGCCUACCUAUAAUCGUUUGAAGAAAGGGAUAUUAACCAGUUCAAGAGGUGAAGCUAAUGAAGUCGAUGUAUGCAAUCUUGGACCGCAAGAAAGGCAGCGGAUAAUUGAUAAGUUGGUCAAAGUUGCUGAUGUUGAUAAUGAAGAGUUCUUGUUGAAGCUCAAGAACCGCAUUGAUAGGUAACAUUUCUCUUUAUGCAUCAACGCAUGAUGCAUCUGCAUGUGUGCUUUGAUUUAACAUAUAUAUGAUUUUUUUUUUAAUGUUCCUUUUUUUUUUUUAUCAUAUAUAUGAUUUUUUUUUUAAUGUUCCAACGCAUGAUGCAUCUGCAUGUGUGCUUUGAUUUAACAUAUAUAUGAUUUUUUUUUUAAUGUUCCUUUUUUUUUUUUAUUCUCCUCUUGGAUUUUGUUAGAGUUGGAAUUAGCCUACCCACAAUUGAAGUUCGAUUUGAGCAUUUGAAUGUUGAAGCAGAAGCAUAUGUAGGAAGUAGAGCCUUGCCAACAUUCUUUAACUUCUGUGCCAAUAUAAUUGAGGUACGCACCAGAAAAACUGAAUAAAUUUUGCGUAGAAAUAGUUAUCUUUUGUUAAUAUUCCUUCUCGAGUUCUAACAAUCUGUAUAUGUUUGAAGGGUUUCUUGAACUCUGUUAACAUCCUCCCAAGUAGAAAGAAACAUUUAGCAAUUCUCAAGGAUGUCAGUGGAAUUAUAAGGCCAGGCAGGUAAGAAUUUAGAACUGAAAUAGUGUUGUUAUUUAUUUGUUUAUCCUUCAUAGCAAGUUUGGAAAAUUUGGGCAGUCUUCAAUUUCUUAUCUUAUUCUUUUUUUCUGUUACAGAAUGACAUUACUUUUGGGUCCUCCAGCUUCUGGAAAGACCACACUUCUGUUGGCUUUGGCUGGGAAGCUUGAUUCUAGUCUCAGGGUGAUUAUAUAGAUGAAAUCUCUAUAUUAGCAUCAAGCAUUAGUAGUUCACACUUUGAUUUUAUCUCUAAUUGGAGAAUCAAAACCUCUUCUUGUAGGUUUCUGGCAGGGUGACAUACAACGGGCACGACAUGGAUGAAUUUGUGCCUCAGAGAACAGCUGCUUAUAUCAGUCAACACGAUAAUCAUAUCGGUGAAAUGACUGUGAGGGAAACCUUGGCCUUCUCUGCUAGAUGCCAGGGGGUUGGAUCCCGUCAUGGUACGUUUGAUUUUUCUAUGUUGUUUUCCCUUCAACUGUAAAACUCAUUGAUUUUUGGGAAAUGCAGAAAUGUUAUCGGAGUUGUCCAGGAGAGAGAAGGCAGCAGGUAUUAAGCCUGAUCCUGAUAUUGAUGUUUUCAUGAAGGUAAGAGAAGCUGAAUGUUGUUUAAAGAUGUGUAGCAUAUAACAAACUUCACUCCAAUCCCAGUUUGAUCGAGCUUCUUAUAUGUCAUUGUCAAUUCUCAUGCCAUAGGCAGCAGCAACAGAAGGCCAAGAAGCCAGCGUGGUCACUGAUUAUAUUCUGAAGGUAACAUCAUUAUGAACCGCUCUAUACUUAUGUUUUACUGUAAAAAACAAGUAAUGUAGUUUCACUAUUUUGAUCAAAUUUCAUCAUAAAUUUACAGAUUCUAGGCCUGGAUGUCUGUGCCGAUACCAUGGUAGGCGAUGAGAUGUUAAGAGGCAUAUCAGGAGGACAAAAGAAGCGUGUUACAACGGGUAAAUGCCGAAACUCAUCUGUUUAUAUUAAUUCCACAGAAAGAUUAAUUCAAGCUUACGGUAAUUUUUAAUGGUUGAAUUAUAGGUGAAAUGAUGGUUGGACCAGCACAAGCACUGUUCAUGGAUGAGAUAUCUACUGGUUUGGACAGCUCUACAACUUUCCAAAUUGUGAAUUCUCUUAGGCAAUCCAUUCACAUCCUUAAGGGAACCACUCUGAUAUCUCUCCUACAGCCAGCACCAGAAACUUAUGAUCUAUUUGAUGACAUUAUCCUAAUAUCUGAUGGCCAGAUUGUGUAUCAGGGUCCCCGUGAACAUGUACUAGAGUUUUUUAAAUUCAUGGGCUUUGAAUGUCCGAAAAGAAAAGGCGUUGCUGAUUUCUUGCAAGAAGUAUGUUCUUGUAGAGCUCUUUUCUCUAGUUUUUCAAUAACAUAAAAAAGAGAGUUUUGACUUUAAGAGGAGCUUUUUCUCUAAGUUUUAUCAAUAAGAACCACAACAUGGAAGUAAGAUGAGAAACUUCAAAUUGAAUCUCCAUGAAUAAUGAAUAUGUUGCAGGUAACAUCAAGGAAAGAUCAGGAGCAGUAUUGGGUGCAUAAAGAGGAACCUUACAGGUUUGUCACAGUCAAGGAAUUCGCUGAUGCAUUCCAAGUCUUCUACAUGGGACAGAAAGUUGGUGAUGAGCUUCGUAUUCCAUUUGAUAAAAGGAAGAGCCACCGAGCUGCUUUGACGACCAAAAUCUAUGGCGUUAGCAAAAAGGAGUUGUUGAAAGCUUGCAUGUCUAGAGAACUUUUGCUGAUGAAGAGGAACUCAUUUGUUUAUAUCUUCAAGCUGUGCCAAGUAAUGACUUUACCUUGAAAUUACUUUAAUCUUUUCUUAGAAGUGAUAAUGAUAUAUUGAUAUUUCCCUGGUUCUAGCUUACAAUUAUGGGAUUGGUUGCUAUGACACUAUUCUUCAGAACGAAGAUGCACCGAGAUUCAAUAACUGAUGGAGUGAUUUACACUGGUGCCUUGUUCUUCAUUGUUCUUAUGAUCAUGUUCAAUGGAAUGGCAGAGAUUCCUAUGACCAUUGCAAAGCUUCCCAUUUUUUAUAAGCAAAGAGACCUCCGAUUCUAUCCUUCAUGGGCAUAUGCUCUUUCCACAUGGAUCCUCAAGAUCCCUAUCUCAUAUAUAGAGGUUGCUGUUUGGGUUUUCUUAACAUAUUAUGUAAUUGGUUUUGAUCCCAAUGUCGGAAGGUACGAAGAUAGCAAUAAAGUGCCAAACAUUAACAGGAACCAUUAAUUCGACAAUUUCACAAGUUGAUUAUUCUUGCUGCAGGUUGUUUAGGCAGUAUUUGCUGCUCUUGUUUCUUAACCAGAUGGCUUCUGCAUUGUUCCGGUUAAUUGCAGCAACAGGCAGGAACAUAGUUGUUGCUAAUACAUUUGGUUCAUUUGCAUUGCUCCUGCUUUUUGUACUAGGUGGAUUUGUCCUUUCACGAGGUAUACAAAGUAAAAAAAAAAAUUCAAAUAUGAUCUUUUUUCUUGAAGUUUAAAUUAAAUUCUUAUAUUUCUUGUUUAAUAAUGCAGAGGACAUAAAAAAAUGGUGGAUAUGGGCUUACUGGUGUUCACCUUUGAUGUAUGCACAGAAUGCAAUAGUGGUUAAUGAGUUCCUUGGUAAUAGUUGGAGAAAGGUAAUGCCUUUAAUAGGCCUUGUGUUAAUGUAUUUAUAUCCGAAUAACAUGCUGAUAUCUGGACUUCUUUGACAUGAAGGUUUUGCCAAACACAACCGAACCACUGGGAGUUCAAGUUUUGAAAUCUCGUGGGUUCUUCACAGAUGCUUAUUGGUAUUGGCUAGGAUUGGGGGCUCUGGCUGGUUUUAUACUGCUGUUCAACUUUGGUUUCACUCUGGCUCUAAGUUUCCUCAACCGUCUGUAUCCUUAUCAUCUUCAGCUUAGUUUUCCUAAAGUGGGCAAUUCUGAUAUAAUUUUUGCGUAUAUAUGUGCAGCAUUUGGCAAGAAUCAGGCAGUUAUAUCAGAGGAAUCUCAAAGUAAUGAGCAUGAUAACAGAACUGGAGGAACCAUUCAGUUAUCAACCAGUGGUAGGUCUAGUGACAAAAGUCACCCAAGUGAAAGCUCGUUUGAAAGCUUUUUGUAUGUUUUGAUAUAAACUAAUUUCUGUUGACAUGCAGAGAUUGGUCAUGACAUUAUGGGCACAUAUUCCUCAUCACUGAUAGAAGCAGAAGUCAAGGCCAAUCAUCACAAGAAAAGAGGAAUGGUUCUUCCUUUUAAACCCCAUUCCAUCACCUUUGAUGAAAUUACAUACUCAGUUGACAUGCCACAGGUAACAAUAAUUUUCAAACCUUAGCUGUGCAUGCAUUUAAAAAGUUGAAUGACAUCUUCAUUGUAUAAAACGUAGUCCUCAAAUUAGAAUCAACCUGUUUGAUUUUAACGUUGCAGGAAAUGAUGCGUCCAGGUGUUCUUGAAGACAAAUUGGUGCUUCUGAAUGGUGUGAGUGGUGCUUUCAGGCCGGGUGUUCUUACAGCUCUGAUGGGUGUUAGUGGUGCUGGCAAAACCACUUUGAUGGAUGUGUUGGCUGGUAGGAAAACAGGUGGAUAUAUUAGUGGGAGCAUCAUGAUAUCUGGGUACCCAAAGAAGCAAGAAACAUUCGCUCGCAUUUCAGGAUACUGUGAGCAAAAUGACAUCCACUCUCCUAAUGUUACUGUCUAUGAGUCCUUGCUCUACUCGGCCUGGCUCCGUUUACCCCUUGAAGUUGAUUCUCCAACCCAAAAGGUUGGUGCUGAAAUCCGAAGUGAAUCAGUUUUAUUUUCACUACUACUACGGCCACUGAAAUCUGAAAAGUUUAGAUGUAUCCUUGACCAUAUUUUUCACAAUGGUUUGCAGAUGUUUAUUGAGGAAGUCAUGGAGCUUGUGGAAUUGAAACCAUUGAGGCAAGCACUGGUUGGUUUGCCUGGUGUAAGUGGUUUGUCAACAGAACAGCGCAAGAGGCUUACCAUUGCAGUUGAGCUCGUGGCAAACCCCUCCAUCAUCUUUAUGGAUGAGCCAACUUCAGGUCUAGAUGCAAGAGCUGCUGCGAUUGUUAUGAGAACUGUUAGGAACACAGUGGACACAGGAAGAACAGUAGUGUGCACCAUCCAUCAGCCAAGCAUUGACAUAGUUGAAGCUUUUGACGAGGUGAGAAGAGUCAGUAGUUGAUCAAUAGAGUUAAUGUUUUUCUCUUCUGGUGAUGUAAUUAUGAUUGUUUAACUUGGCAUUGCAGCUGUUCCUGCUGAAGCGUGGAGGCCAAGAAAUAUAUGUUGGGUCACUGGGUCGCCAUUCUAGUCAUCUUAUCAAGUAUUUCGAAGUAUGAAACAUUUUCAUUUUACAGACAAUGGAAACUUAAUUUCAAAUUACAUUAUGAAGAGAAUUACUUCAAAUAAAUUAUGAAGCUAGCUAAUGCAAGUGGAUUUCUUUUUAUGAAGGGAAUUCGAGGAGUUAGUAAAAUCAAAGAUGGUUAUAAUCCAGCAACUUGGAUGUUGGAAGUUACUGCUCCAUCCCAAGAAACAGCUUUGGGGAUUGAUUUUGCUGAUAUUUACAAAAGUUCAGAACUCUACAGGUUGGUUCAGAACUCGACAGCUAGAAUCCAUCCAACGAAAUGCUAGUGUGUUUGUUUUUUGCCAAAAUUUCUGAUGCAUGUCUUAUGCUUCAGGAGAAACAAAGCACUGAUCAAAGAUAUAAGCAAGCCUGCUCCUGGUUCAAAGGAUCUCCAUUUCGCUACUCAGUACGCACAGUCAUUUUUCACCCAAUGUAUGGCUUGCUUAUGGAAGCAACAUUGGUCGUACUGGCGUAAUCCACCAUACAGUGCUGUUAGAUUUCUGUUUACGACCAUCAUAGCCUUGGCAUUUGGGACAAUGUUCUGGGACAUGGGUACCAAAACGUGAGUUAAAAUUUGCAAAUUGAAGCAGUAUAGUUAAUUGCCAUUCCUAGCCUUUUAGUUUAUCUACCUCUUAAUCUUAAAUUUUGACAUUUCAACUUACAGGAAAAAGCAACAAGAUCUGUUUAAUGCAAUGGGUUCCAUGUAUACUGCUGUUCUCUUCCUUGGUGUCCAAAAUGCUGCAUCUGUGCAGCCAGUAGUUUCUAUUGAAAGAACAGUCUUUUACCGAGAAAGAGCAGCUGGGAUGUACUCAGCCUUGCCAUAUGCUUUUGCACAAGUAAUUUGUCUGACAAAUGACAUACUUGAAAUAAUUUUUAGAAUUCUUUGUCUUUUUACUGAACUUUUUUAUAUUUUGUGCAGGCACUUAUUGAGAUUCCUUAUAUAUUUGUUCAAUCUGUCACAUAUGGUGUUAUAGUCUAUGCAAUGAUUGGAUUUGAAUGGACUGCCGCAAAGUUCCUCUGGUAUCAAUUCUUCAUGUUCUUCACUUUAUUGUACUUCACCUACUAUGGCAUGAUGGCUGUAGCCAUGACACCAAACCACCACAUUUCUGGCAUCGUAGCGUUUGCAUUCUAUGGCUUAUGGAAUGUCUUUUCUGGGUUCAUAAUCCCAAGAACAGUAAGUAUCAGCUAGUCAUCACUAAUAAAUAAAGAUGCUACAUUACCACAGCUUAUGCAAUCUUGAAUGCCUAAUUCUUUCCUUUCAUCUUUCAACUUGCUCCGUAACAGAGGAUUCCGAUAUGGUGGAGAUGGUACUACUGGGCAUGUCCAGUUUCUUGGACACUCUACGGCUUGGUGGCUUCCCAAUUUGGAGAUAUACAAGACAGGCUCGAGUCUGGCGAAACAGUGGAACAAUUUUUGAGAAGUUUUUUUGGUUUUAAACAUGAUUUUCUGGGAGUUGUUGCAGCUGUUGUUUUUGCAUUCCCAGUGCUCUUUGCACUCAUCUUUGCCGUAGGCAUUAAGGUAUUUAAUUUCCAGAAACGAUAGAAAUUUUGUUAAAUUUACACCAUUUUGACAUAUUUAGUGCACGCAUGUAAUAUAUAUAUAUUUUUUAAGAGAAUUCAAAUUUUGUAAGACAUAUUGAGCCCUUAUUCGUGUGUUAAUUAACUGAAGUAACUUGAACUCCAAAUUUAUUUAAUGUGAAGCCAAAAGAGGUGCUUAAUUUAUCAACGUACCUCUUUGGGCCGGCUCUGUAAUUGAAAUUAAAAAGGGUGGUUUGUAAGGCAAUCAUAUCAAAUUUCUUGAUAUUUUAAUAAAAUUCAAAGACGGUUCACUGUAAUAUCUUGUCCCCUCUAGGUUUCAAAAACUUUUAAAAUGAAAAAAAAAAUAAAUGUAAAAUUAUUGUUGAACUAAUUAUAAGAUAUGCAUAAGCUCAAUAUAGAUUGUGGCUUAAAACACAAUUUGUUACCAUUAUUUCAAAAAGCUUGUUGCAGCAUUUAAAAAUUAUUUAGAUAAAUGAAUAUUUUAGUUAAAAUCGAUAAAUGAGUAAUUGUUACCUUGUCUUUAUUUGCGUGAAGUAGAGACCACGAUAAUUUUUGGGAGAGAGGAGAAUUGUACGCCACCAUAAAAGGGUUUUGCUAAACAAAGGAAUAGUAAAAUUAUGAAGAGAUGUGAAUCCAUCAAAUUCUAAUGAAAACGAACUGAAAUUUUUGUGUUUGUGUCUAUCUCUGAGGAUGUAUUGAGAAGUAAUGGAUGGAAAUUAACUCAUAUGAAAAAGGCUGAUUUGUCUGAAGUGGGUGCCUAAAUAUGCAAAAUACAAACGACGUCGUUCGUUUGGUUUUGGUUAUUCAGGCACCCAAUCUCAAGUUGUGAUUAAAACAAAGCAUUACAGAGAAGCACACAGACGCAAUCUCAACAGACAAAAUGCAGCCCAUUAAUGGCAUGAAUUUCAAACAAGUUGCUGCUCUUCUUCAUUAGCAUCAGUUUUUCAUCCAAACGCCACCUCAUUACCAGCAGAGUUAUGAGCAUAGACUCUAACAAAGCUCCUAUCCAAACCCCAGCUCACUAUAAUCUUGUACUCCCCCGCUUUCAAAGGCAAAAAUGGAAAAUGCAACAAAAUAAUGUAACUUGCAUGUUGAGUUAAUUAUUGAAUAAGAUAAUAAACCUUGUGCCUUAAAACACAAUAUGCUACCAUUGUUAUUUAUAGAAUAAUGUUUUCUUAAAGAAAGGUAUUAUUACAUACAAGACAGACAAAAAGAUAGCAUUGAUUAAUUUAUAUCAAAGAUUUGUAAUGAAAUCCAACGAAACUAAGAAAGUUUAUAAGGUAAUUUUGAAAUUUCAAGAAAAGUUAUUGAAGAAGUUUAGAAUUAUUCCUAUAUAUGAAACUAUGUAUCUUUUAAUGAGUGAUUAUUAUCUUAUGUUUGUAGGAGCUAAAUAGAGACCAUAAUAGUUUCUUGAAAGAGAAGAGAAUUAUACAUCAGCGUUAUAGCGUUUUGCUAAGCGAAUGUGUAAUAAAGAUACAAAAAGAUGUGAAUUCAUCGAAUUCUAAUGAAAAUGAACUCUAACUCUUAUUAUUUGUAUCUGUCUUUGAAAAUGUACUAAGAGGUAACAGGAGGAAAUUAACUCAGGGGGAAAAAAACACUAAUUUGCCUAAAGCUUGUGCCUAUUUGAGUGACCAAACGAAAAAAAAAAAAAAUACAAUACAACGUCGUUUUGAUUUUGUUUGUUCGGACACCCAACACCAACUUCGGACAAAUUAACGGUACUCAACUUAUACAUAUACACAAACACAAAGAAGUAAAAUUCCACAAGUCAAAAAGCAUUUUAGUGACCUGUAACUUGUAAGAGAUGGCCCAUUAACAAUUUAACAUGCCCAAUAGGUGUAGACUUUUAGCCCAUAUCAGUUGACUCUCAGAUCAAAGUUGGCUGGCUACUUAUAAAAUCGCUUUUGAAACAUUACAGUUCCAAACUAAUAAUAACCCAAGGAGAAAAUAUUAGAUUAUUAUUAUUUGAAAAAAGAAAUUACCUUUUUCUUUUUCUAUUAAAAACUUCUACCAAACCCAAUGUGGCACAAUCAUAUAAGAGAUGACAAAGAAGCAGAUACAAGGUCCAUUGUGCAAAUAAUUAUUUAAAUCCUCAACUAUGUACAAAGAAAAAUGAAAAAAAGACAAGUGUUAUUAUGCAAGUGCAGUAAGCAGCACCCAGCAAGAUGCCAAAAUUGUAAAUACAUUGAAUGCAUUUUAAUUAAAUAUGUUUUACAUGAUAGAAAAUUUUAAAAUCAACUCCAUUCAAUAAACACAAAGAUUCACAUUUUAAACCCCAUUUAAUAAACACAAAGAUUCAUAUUCUUCCCACACAUUGCAGUCUAAUUUUAAAUCUCCUUAGAUUCGCUUUGAGAUUCAUUACCAAUCCCUUUUAAGAAUUCAAAAUUUUCUAUUUUAUUUAUUUAAAAAAUUAUCAGUUGUUCAACCCAAGAUUUAGUGCAUGUUCGAAAUUAUCCAAAGCUUUUUAUUAUUAUCAGCUUUCCACUCAAAGAUUUACAAUAUGUAUCAACAAAUCACUUUGCUUACUUUAAGGAAAUCUAAGCAAACGGAUCACAAUUUUUUUUUUUUUUUCGGAAGUUGUAAGACAUAACACAAAGUCGCCAUCGUUGCUAUAAUUAAAGAAUACAAAAAUUUCAAAAUUUUAACACACAAAUGCUACUGUUUAAAUGGAGAAAAUAUGUAACAGAUAGAAUUAAAAAUGUUUAUGAAAUUCUUCUUCUUCUUUUUUAAGGAUGGCAAAAUGCCUGUGUUUGAGGCAUUUUUUGUAAACCUAGGCUCCCGAUAUAUUUGUUUUGUUGGAUUUGUCUUUCAAGACUAAUUUUUUUUUAAAAAAGAGUGAAGUUAUCGGCAACCUUCGUUGUCUUUAUAAAUCCCACUUCAAAUAAAAUUAUACAUAAGGGCAAAUAAAAAUUAAUACAUUUAUAUUUUUAAUAAAUUAUUUGCAUUCGUAAUUUAUCUAUUUUUUUUCAUAUUUUCUACCUAUCAUUCCUAUCUAAACAAAAUUAAAUUUAGAAUGACAAUUGUUGUUUUUCUAAUUCUUACUGAUUGAAUAUUUUUCUACUUAUGAUUAUUUUUAAAUUAUAAUUUAAAAUAUGUAUGAUUUAAGUCAAUGAUUGACAUUUAACCAUUUAUCGCUGAAUUUUUUUUUAAUUUGCAUGUAGGGUAACAACAAUAUUACAAAAGAAAAUAAACUACCUUCAGUUUUAACCCAAAUAAUAUCUAGAUAUUAGAGCGUAUGUGUAUUAAGAAAAAAAAGAAUAUUUUCAAAAAUAAAUUUUAUGAGGAGAAUAAACGAGUGCCAAUAGUCCAACUAAAAAAAAAAUCUAAUGGAAUCGAAAGUGAAAUUUUCUGGUAUUUGAAUUGGCUUUACAGAGAAUUAUAUAGGGACAUGCAUGGCAGAAAGUAGUUGGCAUGCAUGUGAUGCAUAUUAAUUAAACAAAUUAAGAAAGUUGUCCACGUUACAUUCUAAUUAAUUUGCUACAUUAGUCUCAACAUAAUGAAGGUUGAGUUCUAGGAUCAUUAAUAUGCCUAAUCUGAGAUAAUUGAUAAGCCUAAUCUGAGUUCUAGGAGGUCAUUUAAUAUACCUAAUAUAUUAAAGUCAUCAGGAAAAUUAAACAAAAUUAUAAAACUUAAUUAAUGCCGGGCUCCUAGGCUCGGCUUACAAUUACAUAAUUAAUACCGCGGCUCCGGCAUUUUUGAGACCCCAUAAAUAAGCUUUCAUUUCAACAACUAUCUCAAAAGAUUUUUUUUUUUUAAGUCAUAUAAAACCACCCGGUUCAUUAAAAUUUUAAAUCAACGUCAUUAACUUGCAAUAAGUAAGUUGUGUUUACAAAAAAAGUCAAAAGGGAAAUACGUUUAAAAUUGUGGCAAUGAUGCCAUUUUUUCAACAAAUAACUACUUAACAUUAGAUUACGAUAUAAGUACUAAAGAAAACAAGAUAAAUGAUGUGAAAAGUCUUCUAUCCGCACAAAAUAACCAAAACUCGAAAGAAUAAAUACAAAUUUAACUAACGUAUCUAUCGUUUGGUUAUAAUUUUUCAAUACAUUUUAUGUCUUAAAUUUAUGUUUUAGAGAUAGUUGACGAUACAACUUAAAAAUAAUUUAAGAUAGUUCUAUAAGAACAUUAUCAGAAUAAAUCAAAAUCGUAAAUUAAAGCAUAAGGCUUCUAUUUCAGCAACUCCAACAUCAUCCGAUUAAAUCUCAACAGAUAUAUCCAAUGAUGCCACCACUUUAUUGAUGUAAAAUUGUCUGAGUUUUACGUGGACAAGCAAAUGUCAAAGGAAGGCCACAACUGCCACUAGAGUUGGCAAAAUUUGACACAAUCCGAUUACCCGACACGAACACGACAUAAAUAAAUGGGCAUGAGUCGUCGAAUUUAACACGAUUAUUAAAUAGGUCGGGUCCGAGUCGACAAAUUUUUUUUCCGUGUGGGGUUAGGGUUAAAGUUCUUAACCUAUUUAUCCAAUCAAUGAGACGAUUAUAUUUUCUAUUUUAAAAUAAUUUACAAGUUCUUGUCAUCGAAACUCAAAUAUUAAAGAUGAUUCUCUUUUUUAUUUUUAUUUUUUGACAAGAUGAAUAUAAACACAGUGUUUUAUUUAUAAAAUUUCACAUACAUUUAGAGUUUUAAUGGUGUAAAUGUGUAAAAUAUUAGUAGACAUGUAUAUUUUAUAAUAUCGAUGUAUAAUAUUAUUUACAUAUAUAUAAUUAAAACUUCAAUAAUGUAAAUGUGUAAUAUUUUGGUAGAUAUGUGCAUUUUAUAAAAUCGAUAAAUUAUGUAUGUAUGAUAGUGUGUAAAUGUUUGAUGUAAAUUUUGUUUAAUAUAUAAAUAUUAAACGAGUUAUUGGGUAACUCAAUUAUUUUUCCGUAUCAGGUUUGAAUCUUAAUAUUUUGACACAAUUAUUAAAUAGUUCGAGUUUGGAUCGACCUAAAUUUGACACGAUACGAAACUGACAUGAAAAAAACACAAUUCAAUGACCUGUUUUGCCAGCUCUAACUGCCACCCUUUGCCUAAUAACACCCUCGGAAGGCCUUAAAAAUUCUCUUUUCAAAAUUACAGUUCUAACCUUAAUAAAUAUUAUAUUAAAGUGUAAAGACAUUUGUGACUAAUUAAUAUUUAUUUAUGGCGAGCGCUAAGUGACAUGUACACUCACUCACAUAAAUAAUGAUGGGCCAAUGAGUUGGGCCUACACCAUCCACUGUUGAUCUAAAUGUAAUUUAAGGGAUUCUUUAUUUAUUUAUUUGUUUUCCCUAAUCUCACGUGGUACAACCGUACAAAAUGAAAAAGACAGUGACCCUUGCAAAGUGAAUACAUCACGAAUUAAAUUAAUCAGCAAAAUUUAAUUAAAAAGAAAUCUUUGACUUGACGGAGUCUUUUUAGAGAGGAAUUUAACUGUCUUGAACAUUUUAGAACCAACCACACUAAUAAAGAUUCAAAUUCCUCCACUUAGAAGUGACAUUAAUUGACUGAGCUAGGAUAAUGCUUUUACCAUACUGACUAAAAUAAUGCGAAUGAGUGAGACUAGAAGACAAUUGUAAACAGUAAACUUACAUUAAAUCCUUCAAAUUUAAUUUUUCUUCUUUUUGGUUUGGGGGUAGGGAUGGUAAAAUUCUCUAUAGGUUUGGGGCCCUAUGGAGCCCUACCUCAAAUGAAAAAAAAAAAUUGAAUAAUUUUUGAAAAAUGAGGUGGGAAAUAAGAGAAAAAUAAUUUCUAAAUUCUUAACAGGGUUGGGUUUAGCUUUAUACUCCGUACUUCAAUUCCCAUUAUAUAUAAAUAUUUUUAAUUCUUAUUUAAUAAUUUUAUUUUAUCAAUAUAAUGUCAAUUAAUAAACUUUCUUUUUAUUUUUAUGUAAUAUAAACAUGAUAUAACUAAAAGAAAACCCUAUAAUAUAAUUUUUUUUCAACUCUAAAACAUUGUUAUUUUUUUUUUCUCUUUUAUGAUGCUGCUCUCUUCAAAUAUUUUUCAAUUUUGAUAUCAUUUGAAUAUAUUGUUUAAACUUUUAGAUUUUUUUAAAUAAUUAUAUUAUUUUAUAAUAUGGUGAUAAUUUUAUUUUAAAUCUCUAAUUUUUAGUUUACUGAAAUUAUAUAUCUAUACAUACUAUAAAAUAGAUAACUAGAGAAUGAGAUGGGGAUGGGGAAAUUAUUCUCCACAUGGAGAUUUCUCAUCCUCACCCCACUAAAUUUACUGGGAAAUGAGGUGAGAAAUGGAGGCGAAAAUUUUUAGUGGGGUGGGAAAUGGGGUAGGCCUCCCCACUCCCACCUCACCCCAUUGCUAUCUGCUGUACGGCCAAGGCGGAUGUACGGUACAGCAGCAGGNNNNNNNNNNNNNNNNNNNNNNNNNNNNNNNNNNNNNNNNNNNNNNNNNNNNNNNNNNNNNNNNNNNNNNNNNNNNNNNNNNNNNNNNNNNNNNNNNNNNNNNNNNNNNNNNNNNNNNNNNNNNNNNNNNNNNNNNNNNNNNNNNNNNNNNNNNNNNNNNNNNNNNNNNNNNNNNNNNNNNNNNNNNNNNNNNNNNNNNNNNNNNNNNNNNNNNNNNNNNNNNNNNNNNNNNNNNNNNNNNNNNNNNNNNNNNNNNNNNNNNNNNNNNNNNNNNNNNNNNNNNNNNNNNNNNNNNNNNNNNNNNNNNNNNNNNNNNNNNNNNNNNNNNNNNNNNNNNNNNNNNNNNNNNNNNNNNNNNNNNNNNNNNNNNNNNNNNNNNNNNNNNNNNNNNNNNNNNNNNNNNNNNNNNNNNNNNNNNNNNNNNNNNNNNNNNNNNNNNNNNNNNNNNNNNNNNNNNNNNNNNNNNNNNNNNNNNNNNNNNNNNNNNNNNNNNNNNNNNNNNNNNNNNNNNNNNNNNNNNNNNNNNNNNNNNNNNNNNNNNNNNNNNNNNNNNNNNNNNNNNNNNNNNNNNNNNNNNNNNNNNNNNNNNNNNNNNNNNNNNNNNNNNNNNNNNNNNNNNNNNNNNNNNNNNNNNNNNNNNNNNNNNNNNNNNNNNNNNNNNNNNNNNNNNNNNNNNNNNNNNNNNNNNNNNNNNNNNNNNNNNNNNNNNNNNNNNNNNNNNNNNNNNNNNNNNNNNNNNNNNNNNNNNNNNNNNNNNNNNNNNNNNNNNNNNNNNNNNNNNNNNNNNNNNNNNNNNNNNNNNNNNNNNNNNNNNNNNNNNNNNNNNNNNNNNNNNNNNNNNNNNNNNNNNNNNNNNNNNNNNNNNNNNNNNNNNNNNNNNNNNNNNNNNNNNNNNNNNNNNNNNNNNNNNNNNNNNNNNNNNNNNNNNNNNNNNNNNNNNNNNNNNNNNNNNNNNNNNNNNNNNNNNNNNNNNNNNNNNNNNNNNNNNNNNNNNNNNNNNNNNNNNNNNNNNNNNNNNNNNNNNNNNNNNNNNNNNNNNNNNNNNNNNNNNNNNNNNNNNNNNNNNNNNNNNNNNNNNNNNNNNNNNNNNNNNNNNNNNNNNNNNNNNNNNNNNNNNNNNNNNNNNNNNNNNNNNNNNNNNNNNNNNNNNNNNNNNNNNNNNNNNNNNNNNNNNNNNNNNNNNNNNNNNNNNNNNNNNNNNNNNNNNNNNNNNNNNNNNNNNNNNNNNNNNNNNNNNNNNNNNNNNNNNNNNNNNNNNNNNNNNNNNNNNNNNNNNNNNNNNNNNNNNNNNNNNNNNNNNNNNNNNNNNNNNNNNNNNNNNNNNNNNNNNNNNNNNNNNNNNNNNNNNNNNNNNNNNNNNNNNNNNNNNNNNNNNNNNNNNNNNNNNNNNNNNNNNNNNNNNNNNNNNNNNNNNNNNNNNNNNNNNNNNNNNNNNNNNNNNNNNNNNNNNNNNNNNNNNNNNNNNNNNNNNNNNNNNNNNNNNNNNNNNNNNNNNNNNNNNNNNNNNNNNNNNNNNNNNNNNNNNNNNNNNNNNNNNNNNNNNNNNNNNNNNNNNNNNNNNNNNNNNNNNNNNNNNNNNNNNNNNNNNNNNNNNNNNNNNNNNNNNNNNNNNNNNNNNNNNNNNNNNNNNNNNNNNNNNNNNNNNNNNNNNNNNNNNNNNNNNNNNNNNNNNNNNNNNNNNNNNNNNNNNNNNNNNNNNNNNNNNNNNNNNNNNNNNNNNNNNNNNNNNNNNNNNNNNNNNNNNNNNNNNNNNNNNNNNNNNNNNNNNNNNNNNNNNNNNNNNNNNNNNNNNNNNNNNNNNNNNNNNNNNNNNNNNNNNNNNNNNNNNNNNNNNNNNNNNNNNNNNNNNNNNNNNNNNNNNNNNNNNNNNNNNNNNNNNNNNNNNNNNNNNNNNNNNNNNNNNNNNNNNNNNNNNNNNNNNNNNNNNNNNNNNNNNNNNNNNNNNNNNNNNNNNNNNNNNNNNNNNNNNNNNNNNNNNNNNNNNNNNNNNNNNNNNNNNNNNNNNNNNNNNNNNNNNNNNNNNNNNNNNNNNNNNNNNNNNNNNNNNNNNNNNNNNNNNNNNNNNNNNNNNNNNNNNNNNNNNNNNNNNNNNNNNNNNNNNNNNNNNNNNNNNNNNNNNNNNNNNNNNNNNNNNNNNNNNNNNNNNNNNNNNNNNNNNNNNNNNNNNNNNNNNNNNNNNNNNNNNNNNNNNNNNNNNNNNNNNNNNNNNNNNNNNNNNNNNNNNNNNNNNNNNNNNNNNNNNNNNNNNNNNNNNNNNNNNNNNNNNNNNNNNNNNNNNNNNNNNNNNNNNNNNNNNNNNNNNNNNNNNNNNNNNNNNNNNNNNNNNNNNNNNNNNNNNNNNNNNNNNNNNNNNNNNNNNNNNNNNNNNNNNNNNNNNNNNNNNNNNNNNNNNNNNNNNNNNNNNNNNNNNNNNNNNNNNNNNNNNNNNNNNNNNNNNNNNNNNNNNNNNNNNNNNNNNNNNNNNNNNNNNNNNNNNNNNNNNNNNNNNNNNNNNNNNNNNNNNNNNNNNNNNNNNNNNNNNNNNNNNNNNNNNNNNNNNNNNNNNNNNNNNNNNNNNNNNNNNNNNNNNNNNNNNNNNNNNNNNNNNNNNNNNNNNNNNNNNNNNNNNNNNNNNNNNNNNNNNNNNNNNNNNNNNNNNNNNNNNNNNNNNNNNNNNNNNNNNNNNNNNNNNNNNNNNNNNNNNNNNNNNNNNNNNNNNNNNNNNNNNNNNNNNNNNNNNNNNNNNNNNNNNNNNNNNNNNNNNNNNNNNNNNNNNNNNNNNNNNNNNNNNNNNNNNNNNNNNNNNNNNNNNNNNNNNNNNNNNNNNNNNNNNNNNNNNNNNNNNNNNNNNNNNNNNNNNNNNNNNNNNNNNNNNNNNNNNNNNNNNNNNNNNNNNNNNNNNNNNNNNNNNNNNNNNNNNNNNNNNNNNNNNNNNNNNNNNNNNNNNNNNNNNNNNNNNNNNNNNNNNNNNNNNNNNNNNNNNNNNNNNNNNNNNNNNNNNNNNNNNNNNNNNNNNNNNNNNNNNNNNNNNNNNNNNNNNNNNNNNNNNNNNNNNNNNNNNNNNNNNNNNNNNNNNNNNNNNNNNNNNNNNNNNNNNNNNNNNNNNNNNNNNNNNNNNNNNNNNNNNNNNNNNNNNNNNNNNNNNNNNNNNNNNNNNNNNNNNNNNNNNNNNNNNNNNNNNNNNNNNNNNNNNNNNNNNNNNNNNNNNNNNNNNNNNNNNNNNNNNNNNNNNNNNNNNNNNNNNNNNNNNNNNNNNNNNNNNNNNNNNNNNNNNNNNNNNNNNNNNNNNNNNNNNNNNNNNNNNNNNNNNNNNNNNNNNNNNNNNNNNNNNNNNNNNNNNNNNNNNNNNNNNNNNNNNNNNNNNNNNNNNNNNNNNNNNNNNNNNNNNNNNNNNNNNNNNNNNNNNNNNNNNNNNNNNNNNNNNNNNNNNNNNNNNNNNNNNNNNNNNNNNNNNNNNNNNNNNNNNNNNNNNNNNNNNNNNNNNNNNNNNNNNNNNNNNNNNNNNNNNNNNNNNNNNNNNNNNNNNNNNNNNNNNNNNNNNNNNNNNNNNNNNNNNNNNNNNNNNNNNNNNNNNNNNNNNNNNNNNNNNNNNNNNNNNNNNNNNNNNNNNNNNNNNNNNNNNNNNNNNNNNNNNNNNNNNNNNNNNNNNNNNNNNNNNNNNNNNNNNNNNNNNNNNNNNNNNNNNNNNNNNNNNNNNNNNNNNNNNNNNNNNNNNNNNNNNNNNNNNNNNNNNNNNNNNNNNNNNNNNNNNNNNNNNNNNNNNNNNNNNNNNNNNNNNNNNNNNNNNNNNNNNNNNNNNNNNNNNNNNNNNNNNNNNNNNNNNNNNNNNNNNNNNNNNNNNNNNNNNNNNNNNNNNNNNNNNNNNNNNNNNNNNNNNNNNNNNNNNNNNNNNNNNNNNNNNNNNNNNNNNNNNNNNNNNNNNNNNNNNNNNNNNNNNNNNNNNNNNNNNNNNNNNNNNNNNNNNNNNNNNNNNNNNNNNNNNNNNNNNNNNNNNNNNNNNNNNNNNNNNNNNNNNNNNNNNNNNNNNNNNNNNNNNNNNNNNNNNNNNNNNNNNNNNNNNNNNNNNNNNNNNNNNNNNNNNNNNNNNNNNNNNNNNNNNNNNNNNNNNNNNNNNNNNNNNNNNNNNNNNNNNNNNNNNNNNNNNNNNNNNNNNNNNNNNNNNNNNNNNNNNNNNNNNNNNNNNNNNNNNNNNNNNNNNNNNNNNNNNNNNNNNNNNNNNNNNNNNNNNNNNNNNNNNNNNNNNNNNNNNNNNNNNNNNNNNNNNNNNNNNNNNNNNNNNNNNNNNNNNNNNNNNNNNNNNNNNNNNNNNNNNNNNNNNNNNNNNNNNNNNNNNNNNNNNNNNNNNNNNNNNNNNNNNNNNNNNNNNNNNNNNNNNNNNNNNNNNNNNNNNNNNNNNNNNNNNNNNNNNNNNNNNNNNNNNNNNNNNNNNNNNNNNNNNNNNNNNNNNNNNNNNNNNNNNNNNNNNNNNNNNNNNNNNNNNNNNNNNNNNNNNNNNNNNNNNNNNGGGGAGGGGAGUGUUGGAUAAAAAUGUAGUGGUGCUGGGCAUAAACUAUGAACUGAUUGGGUUUGCUUUUCUUGAGAAACUGAGCCGAACAAAUUCCAACAGAGUCAAAAAAUUAUGAACUAACUACAAAUCAAACCUAGGAAUCGAAUUGAAUUAUUUCAGUUCGGUUUGGUUUUUGAGUUUAGUUUGGCUUAAUUUAGUUUUAUAUAGUUCAAUUCAUAAAAUUUAAUAUUUUUUCUUUUAUAUUAAUUAAAAUUUUAUACUUUUCACCUAAAUUUAAUUAUUUUUUUAGUUUAAUCCAAUUAUAAUUAAUCAUUCAUGUUUUAUGCAAGAAUACUAAUAAAAAUAUUAUUGCAUAUAUAUAUUACAUUUUUUUCUUUUUAAUUUUUACAGUGAAUCCAUUGAUUCUCAAUUUGAUUCGGUUCUAAAUCGAAAAAACGACCGGUUCACAUUUUUUGAACCAUUCGGUUCUGACUUGACCGAACUGAGCAGAAUGCCCACCCCUAUAAAAAAAAUAUAUAGUUGAAACUAGUUACUAUUAAAGGAAUAUUUAAUUUUAUUAUACAAAGUGAUGAUGUAUUGGUAUUUCACCCCUCAAUUUUUCAUUUUUUUUUUAAAAAGCAAUGUUAUGUUUAUGUUUAUUUUUUUUCGUUUGUAAACUUUUUACAUUUUCUGAUGUUCUAUCUAUGCUUUCGGGACAAAAACAAUGUAUAAUGUUAUAUAUAUUUUCAAGCAAUCUUUGGCAUAACUCAAAAUUUUCAGUACUCUCUCGUCAUUUGGAUGCAUGAAGAAAUUGUCAUUUACCUUGGGCAUGUGGACCGUCAUGCCUGGGGACCAACAUUAAGUUGAAAAAAAUAAAAAUUGUUGAUGCUGAAAUCUGAUCGCCCUUUGCCUGACCAGAUCGUUCCACCAACGCUUGUAUAUUCAAUGGAGAGGAUGAUGCCCUUUGCCUGCUUCAGCAAUUGUUCAAACUCCUGGGGUUGGAAUCACCCUUUUUCAUUCUCUCUAAUCCUGCGCUCACAGAAACCAAUUAGAGACGCCGAUGGUUUUGCCGGCGUAAACCCUCCGAUGCUUAAGUUAACAUAAGGUGUUUACGGGAAAACUUGUAUGAUUUAUGUCGUACAGAUUAGUUAUAAGAUUUCUAAUACGAAAAUAUCUCACAUAUUUGGGUCUAAAAUUCUCUGAUAAUAAUUUGGCAGAGUUUCUCCUUUUUUCUCCACUUUUCUGUCCCUUUUUUUCAUCGGUCUCCUAGCUUCUUAUAGCCGUUGUCCCACGUUUCUGCGUAUUCUUCAUGUCCCCCUUUUUCGGGUGAUGGCAGACCCUUAUGGGUCUCCAACCACUGGAUCGUGGGUAAACGUGGGAUGCCAUGUUCUUCCCAACGGUUCGGGGCAUAGCGAAACUGUCGUGAUUUCGUGAGAUCGUGUGCCAUUUCUUUGGGUGAUGAGCAUCUGGCCGGUAUAUAUCUCUGGUCGGUAUAUAUCUCUGGUUGGUGCUCGUCUCUAGUUGGCACAUGCAUGUAUAAGAUGUUUUACCAAGACUCUUCUCGUGCCAUUCAGCUAAGGAGAUUCGCCUCGGGGUGAGAGAUGAGGACAUGACCGAGCUGAUACUUUUCAUUACUCAACAAAAAUUGAAAAGGCAAUCAAGAUUUUUUAAAGACUUUUCCCUACGAUUAAGCUCACGGCCACCGGAAUUAUUAUUAUUAUUAUUAUUAUUAUUAAUUUAAAGAAAGAAGAUUAAGUGUGGAAAGUUGGCAACUUGCCACGACAUGACGCAACUUUGAUGGUCAUUGCUUGGUUGUGGAAAAUUAUUAUUAUUAUUUUUCAAAAUUAUUGGAUGUUGACGUGAUAAAUCAUUGUGUCAAGCACUCAUCAUUUUGUCUCAUAUUGUUUUCAAUCUUAUCGUUGAUUUAUGGGUCAAUCGAUCGUUGAUUUAUGGGUCAAUUUUAUCGUUGACUUACGGUCAAUCUUACCGUUGAUUCAUGAGUCAAUCUUAUCGUUGACUUAUGGGUUAAUUUCAUAUGACUGCCCAUGAAAGAUAAUUUUAAAAUAUUUUUAUUUUUUCGUAAAUUUUAAUUUAUUCUCAUUCUUAUUAAGAAGACAACAAAUUUUUCAUCAACCUACCCUAUUACUCUCUUAUCUUUGAAUAAAAAAUGAGGGAAAGUUGAAAUUUACAAUAAUUUAGAUAAAAUUUUAAAAAUUAUCUUUUCAUGAGAGGAAUUAUUCAAAAUUUACCCUCAAUUUAUACUCAUUUAAAAAAUAGAUGAAGAUAUUUCCAUCUCAUAAUUUGUUAAACCCACCCCAUUUCUAAAAGUUCUUUACAAAAAAUUCACCUUAUUUCUUAAAAAUUUUAAAUGGAGAACAAGUUAAACCAAUUAAUCAAUCAAGUCCCCCCCUUUUUUUUUCUUUUAGAUUUUAUCAAGUCUCUUAACCAUUAUUGACCAUUAAUGUUCCUUUAACAUUAUUUUGGUUUGACUAUUUUACCCUUAAUAAUCAUGUUAAUAAAAUAGUACUAAUAAAUCAGUUUGAAAGAUAAAUACUUGUAUAUAAAAUAGUCAAGAUGAAAUAAUUUGUAGGUUAAAUAGUCAAGUUGAAAUAAUUUGUAGGUUUUUUUUUGUACUUUUUUCCAUAUAAGGAUAAAAUAAUCAAAUUCAAUACAUCUUAAAGGCACAUUAAUAAUGGUUAAAGAUAGUCAAGAACCAAAAUCACAAAAAGAAUAAUGAGGAUUUAAUUGGUUCAUCGUAAUUCAAUGAGGAUUUGAUUGGUUGAUUGUUAAAACUUAUUCUUUAUUUGAAAUUGUUAAAAAUAUUGUAAAUUUUUUAUGAUUAUUUUUCUGAAGUAGGAUGAUUUCACACAGUGAAAGAAAUGGAAAUAUCGUCACUCAAAAAAAAAAAAAAUACUACUUCAAUUUUUUAUACAAGAUUCCACAUCCUUUAAGUAUUUAUCGGGUGGUCCUAAGAUUUCAAACAUUGAAGCCUUUUUACUUAUUAUAUAAUAUAUAUAUUCUGCCAAGUCUUUCCAAUGGCUAUCCCAAUUUUGGAUUCAAUUAUGGAAGUCAACAAGUGCUUUAUUAUUAUGUCACUAGCAAUUUUUAUUUGUUAAUUUUUAUAAUAUGCUUUGAAAACUUGUCCUUGGCAUUGCUAACUUCAACCUAACGUGGAUUAAACGUUGGGACAUAAAAAAAAAUCGGUUUGUACAUAAAAAAAAAAAAAUUUUAGCUGUAUGUGUUACUAUAUAAUUUUAUACUUUUGUCAAAUUGUAAAGAAAAAAAAUCUGCUUGUUGGGAAAUGAAAUAAAUAAUUUAUUCAAUUGGGAUCCAUCCGGGAACAUAGCAUGAGUCACUUGGAUGACUUCAUUAAACAAUUCCCAAAAAAUCUUCUUUUGUCGUUGUUUAAAAGGGGAAAGUAGCGCAUACUUUGCAGAGGUCCGGGCGGUUCUGCACUGAACAUUUUGGAUAGAUCUCUGCUGUGACAACAAAUCUCUUGGGUUUCUUGUUGCAAUGGAGGCCAGUGACAUUUACAGAGCAAGUCAGAGUCUACGUCGAACUUCUUCAUGGAGAAACAAUUCCGCCGGUGCAUUUUCAAGAACGUCAAGAGACGAGGACGACGAGGAAGCUCUCAUAUGGGCUGCUCUCGAGAAGUUGCCCACUUACAAUCGUUUAAAGAAAGGGAUACUAACAGCUUCGACAGGCGCAGCUAACGAAGUCGACGUGCACAAGCUUGGACUGCUAGAAAGACAGAGGUUGAUCGACAAAUUGGUCAAAGUUGCUGAUGUUGAUAAUGAGCAGCUCUUGUUGAAGCUCAAGAACCGUGUUGACAGGUAAACAUUUUUCUCUCUUCAGCUUGCACUGUUAGCUGAAAUUCAUAUAACUGUAGUCUAUAUAUAUAGGUCCAUGCAGUGAAUGAUUUCAAUUUCUUUGUAUGUCAACUGUUAAGCAUCUUUAUUGAUGUUUGUAUAUAUGUGCUGGUGGAAUUAAAGUAUUUGAUUUAACACACUCAUUUAAAGUGGUUUUGGUGAUGAAAAUAUAAUUAUGAGAUACGUUGGUUAGAAUUUUUACUAGGAGAAAAUAAAAUUUUAGUUAAAAUUCAGAAAUAAAUUUCUGUCCCCGCCGGUCCUUAUGAGGCUUCUUUCACCACUGGGCUAGUACUAGUCUAUACUAUAUAAAGUAAUUACAUGUGGAGUGUAAUUUUAUACUGAUCCCACUUAAUCAAAUAUUUCUUUUGUUUUACUUGUUAACAUCGAGGGCACUUUUGUAAGUUAACAUUUAAAUCAAAUUUCUUAUUUCACAAGCACAAAAUGUGAGAAUUCGUACAAUUCUUUGUCCCCUCUGCAAGUCUAUGUGUGAAAAAGAAAAUGUCCAUUGUUAUUGAAAAUCUUCUUCUUAAGGGGUCCUUACUUAUUGAAAAUCUUCUUCUUAAGGGCUCCUUACCAUUUCCUUUUUAGAAACAAAUGAGCCGAAAAAUAUCAUAAAAUUCUUUCAAGGCCCUCUGUCAAUUUAGUGGUAAAUUGAAGCUUUUUUAGAAGUUAGAAUUGCUACUAAAUCAAGCUGAAGUUGAGAUGGAUGUCUGAUAAAGCCUUUUAUGUAUGGAGCAUAAAUAUAUGAAUAAAGAAAAAUGAAGUUUUCAUAGGAAUGUAAAUGCUGAGAAUGAAGAGAAUAGAGGAUUUGGUAGCUAGCUAGAUAAAUUAAUGGUCACUUUCAAUAUUGUUAAUAAGAACCAGUGAUCUUUUCAUGGUGCCAUGAUAAAUGCCUAAAUGAUUUGUACAUUAUACAAUGUGGUCCUUUCAGUCAUUACUAGAAGAGCAUUGCUAAAAUUCACUUCAAAUUUUAUCCUUUAAAUGCCUAUUUGUUUAUUUAUGUGGCAAAUAGAAGAGUGAAAAAAUAAACUUUCCUCUAAAAGACUCCUCAGAUAGGAACUAGUUAAUAUUAUUUUAAUCAAAUCUUUUCCUCUACCAAAUUUAACUAUCCUCCAUUUUUUCUCAACAAAUUUGAUUACCCUCCAUUUUAUCACUCUAGCUAUUUUAAUCAAAUCUUUAUUUCUAAGUAAUUUUGUGUUGAUUUUAAAUGUCAUUAUCAUUAUUAUGUUUAUCUUUCAAUAAUUCUAUUGAUGUGCUCUUAAUAUAUUUUUCUCGAUAUGUUUGUCCAUUUUUAAUUUAAUCCAUACUAAUUGAAAAAGAACUAGUAACUAAUAAAUUAAGUAUAUAAUAUUAAUUAUAAAAUUACUUGAAAACAUACAAUAAUUUGAAGGGAAAAAAAUUACAAUGAGAUGUGUAUGAGUUUAAUGAUAUUUACUAGGGUGAAAAAAGUACUGUAAGAUAGUUGUAUUUUUUUUUUAAAGGAAAAAUAGAUAGUAAUUAUAACUGUUUUCUCUCUCUAAUGAAAAAAUAUAAUAUUAAUAGAAGAGGGAGAAAUCCAUCUACUAUGAAAUAUUAAGAGUGAAAAAAAAUCUUAUUUUAAAAAUUUUAAUUGAUUUAUCUUUUGAAGUGCUUAAUACUAAUAUGGCUCUUUAAAUAAAAAGCAAAAUCUUUUUAAAUAGCCUUGGUGAUGCUCUUACUUCUUAGUGAUUUGUGCUUGAGAAAAGUUGAAUAUGACUGUGUUGCAAUUAGAAACUAUAGCUUAAUAAUUGACUUGUAUGUAUUUGCCGGGGAGUUUGUUGCUAUCGAAGCAAUUGAAGUGCAACAAGUAAGGCCGAUGUAAGGGUAUUGGUGUACUUUUCCUCACAACUGCCAUUUAAAGUUAACUAACACCUGGUCUCUUGUAGUACUGUUAUUUUUUUAUUCACUUCUUACUAUGUGUAUACUCUAUAUAAUUAUAAUAAUUUAUAUAUACAUAUAACAAGUAAUAAAUAGCUUAAAAACAGUACCCUGAGACCACCAAAGACAUUCUCGUUAAUUUGGACAUAAAGUCCAUUUAUGUCAUUUCUGUAUGGUAAGGACGUAAUAGAGGGAAGGUCAGUGAAAGUUACACUUAUUUUAGAUGUGAUGUGUGCUUUGAUUUAAGUUAUGAUUUUCUUUAUUCUUUGAUUUUCUCAGAGUUGGAAUUAGUCUUCCCGAAAUUGAAGUUCGAUUUGAGCAUUUGAAUGUUGAAGCAGAAGCAUAUGUAGGAGGCAGAGCGUUGCCAACAUUCUUUAACUUCUGUGCCAACUUGAUUGAGGUAUAUGACUGCAAAUGUAAACAAUUAUUUUUUAUAAAAUUAGUUAUGUUGGUUUUGUUAAUUUUUCUGCUCAAGUUCUAACAAAGUGUAUAUGUUUAAAGGGUUUCUUGAACUCUCUCCAUAUUCUUCCAAGUAGAAAGAAGAAAUUUACAAUUCUUAAGGAUGUCAAUGGAAUUGUAAAGCCAAGCAGGUGGAAUUUAGAACUGAGCUAAUACUGUUUUUUUUUUUUUUAAAUUUAUCCUUCAUUGCAUAUUUAGAAUAUAUUGGGCAGUCUUUAAUUUCUCCUUGUGUUCAUAUCUUUUGUAACAGGUUGACAUUGCUUUUGGGUCCUCCAGCUUCUGGAAAGACCACACUUCUGUUGGCUUUGGCCGGGAAGCUUGAUCCUAGCCUAAAGGUGAUAUUUAUAUAGUGAAAAGCUAGCACUAAUAAAUUUCAAGCAAUCUGGCAUUGACCAUUGACAGUCCAGCCUCUGAUUUUAUCUCUAAUUUGGGGAAACAAAAUGUCUUUGUGUAGCUUUCAGGUAGGGUGACAUAUAAUGGCCACAACAUGGAUGAAUUUGUGCCUCAGAGAACAGCUGCUUAUAUCAGCCAACAUGAUGUUCAUAUAGGAGAAAUGACAGUGAGGGAAACAUUGGCUUUCUCUGCUAGGUGCCAGGGGGUUGGAUCCCGUUACGGUAGGUUUGGAUUUUUUUUGGUCCUUUUUUUUUUUUGCAUUUGGAUAAGCAUUAAAGGUCAUUGCUUUUGUAACAUGCAGACAUGUUAGUGGAGUUGUCCAGAAGAGAGAAAGACGCAAAUAUUAAGCCUGAUCCUGAUAUUGAUGUCUUUAUGAAGGUCAGAUAAGCUGAAGAUUGUUUAAAGAUGUGUACCAUUUAACCAAUCUGAUUCCUAUCCAAAAAGUAGUUUUUUCUAUGACUUACAUUUUGCCUUUUUAAUCUUGCGUUCCUAGUUUAUGAAUCAAACUUUAGUUCUAGAAUGCUUCGGCGUGAAAUUUGAUUGAGUUAGAUUCUUCAAAUUCAAACUAGUAAUUUAAGUUAGCCAAAAUGGAAACAAGAAAAGAAAAUACUUUGAAUUUAUAAUUUGCUUUUGCUUUUUUCACAUCUCUGUGAACUCUCUCAUAUCACAGGCAUUGGCAACAGAAGGCCAAGAAGCAAGCGUGGUCACUGAUUAUGUUAUUAAGGUAGCAUCAUUACAUACAACUCUACACCUAUGAUCUAUUUUCAAUAACAAGUAAUGUAGUGUCAGUAUUUUAUCAAGUUUCAUAAUAAAUUGACAGGUUCUAGGCCUGGAUGUCUGUGCUGAUACCAUGGUAGGGGAUGAAAUGUUGAGAGGCAUAUCAGGAGGACAAAGAAAGCGUGUCACAACAGGUAAAUGCCAAAACUCAUCAGUUCAUUUCUAUCACGAAGAAAGGUGUUUACUAUCCAUUUUAAUUGAAGCACAUGACAAUUUUCAAUGAUUGAAUUACAGGUGAAAUGCUGGUAGGACCAGCACUGGUACUGUUCAUGGAUGAGAUAUCUACGGGUUUGGACAGCUCUACGACUUUCCAAAUCGUGACUUCUCUCAGGCAAAUCAUUCAUAUACUUAAUGGGACUGCUGUGAUAUCACUACUCCAGCCAGCACCGGAGACUUAUGAUCUAUUCGAUGACAUUAUCCUAAUAUCUGAAGGCCAGAUUGUGUAUCAGGGUCCCCGCGAACAUGUACUAGAAUUUUUUAAAUCCAUGGGCUUCGAAUGUCCGAAAAGAAAAGGUGUUGCUGACUUCUUGCAAGAAGUAGGUGUUUAUGGAGCUCUUCUAAUGAUUUAUCAAUAAAAGAAAAAGGAGAUUUUAUUCUAUUGGAUCUACUUUAUCAACACGAAAAAAGAUAUUCUAAAACUAGGUUUAGUAAGUUUGUGAAUCACCAUGGAUGAUGAAUAUGUUGCAGGUGACAUCAAAGAAAGAUCAGCAGCAGUAUUGGGUGCGUAAAGAGGAACCUUACAGGUUUGUUACAGUCAAGGAGUUUUCUGAUGCAUUCCAAGAAUUCCAUGUGGGACAGAAACUUGGCGAUGGUCUUGGGACUCCGUUUGAUAAGAGUAAGAGUCACCCAGCCGCUUUAACAACCAAAAGCUAUGGCAUUAACAAAAAGGAGUUGUUGAAAGCUUGCAUCUCAAGAGAACUUUUGCUGAUGAAGAGGAACUCAUUUGUCUACAUCUUCAAGCUCAUCCAAGUGAGUAUUAACUUAAUUUUGAGUUGUUUUAAUAUUUUUAUUAAAAUGUUAUGAUUAAUGAUUUCCCUCUGCUACUAGCUCACAAUUACGGGAGUGAUUUCUAUGACACUCUUCUUUAGAACAAAGAUGCAUCGAGAUUCAGUAACUAAUGGAGGGAUUUACGUUGGAGCCUUGUUCUUCACUAUUAUUAUGAUCACGUUCAAUGGAAUGGCAGAGCUUUCUAUGUCAAUAGCUAAGCUCCCUGUUUUCUAUAAGCAAAGAGACCUUCGAUUUUAUCCUGCAUGGGCCUAUGGUCUUCCCACAUGGAUUCUCAAGGUCCCAAUCGCAUUUGUAGAGGUUGCUGUUUGGGUGAUCUUAAACUAUUAUGUAAUUGGUUUUGAUCCCAAUAUUGGAAGGUAAGAAGAUGAAAACAACGUGCCAAACUUUAUACGAAUGACUGAUGGUUUUAAUUAAUGCAAUCAAUCUAUUACAUCAUCUAUUGAUCCAACUGGUUUAUGAGGUUUUUUUUUUUUUUUUUUGGCAGGGCGUUUAAGCAGUACUUGCUACUCGUGCUUGUUAACCAGAUGUCUUCUGGAUUGUUCCGAUUAAUGGCAGCAACAGGAAGAAGCAUGGUUGUUGCUAAUACAUUUGGUUCAUUUGCAAUGCUCGUGCUUUUUGCGCUGGGUGGCUUUGUGCUUUCACGAGGUAGAAGAAAUAAUAAUUUAAAAAAGAAUGGGCUUACUAUUUGACCUUAGUUCUUAUGUUUCUCGUUUAAUAAUGCAGAGGAUAUAAAAAAAUGGUGGAAAUGGGCUUACUGGUGUUCACCUUUGAUGUAUGCACAGAAUGGAUUAGCGGUUAAUGAGUUCCUUGGUAAUAGUUGGCAAAAGGUGAAGCCUUGUUGAGCCUUGUUUUAAUUUAUUUAUCUCUGAAUGACAUGCUGAUGUCUGAACUUCUUUCAAAUAAAGGUUUUGCCAAACUCAACCGAACCGCUGGGAGUUGAAGUUUUGAAGUCUCGUGGGUUCUUCACAGAUGCUUAUUGGUAUUGGCUUGGAAUGGCGGGAUUGGCUGGUUCUAUCCUACUGUUCAACUUCGGUUUCAUUCUGGCUCUAAGUUUUCUCAACCGUCUGUAUCCUUACCUUCUUCAGUUUUGUUCUUUCUUAAGUGAGCCAUUCUGAUAUAAACUUUGCAAAUGAGUGCAGCAUUUGGUAGUCAGGCUGUUAUAUCAGAGGAAUCUCAGAGUAAUGAGUGCGAUAACAGAACUGGAGGAACUCUUCAGUUAUCAACCUGUGGAAGCAGCUCUAGUCACCUGACCCAAUCAGAUGGUAAAGCUCCUCUGUUAUCUUUGAAAAGUAUGAUAUUUUCGACUUUCAAAGCUAAUUAAUUGUUGUAAAAUGCAGAGAGUAGGGAUAACAUUAGGAGGAGAAACUCCACUUCUCAGUCCUUAUCCCUCACUGAAGAAGACAUUGCUGCCAACCAACCAAAGAGAAGCGGAAUGGUUCUUCCAUUUGAACCUCUUUCCCUUACCUUUGAAGAUGUAGUAUACUCUGUUGACAUGCCACAGGUAGCGUUAAUUCCUUAACCACUUAGGAUAGAUAGAAAGUUGGGUGAUACGUUGUUUAGAUGAUGACUAGUUGGUUUGAUAUGACUGCAGGAAAUGAAGCUUCAAGGUGUUCUUGAUGACAAAUUAGUGCUUUUGAAUGGUGUGAGCGGUGCGUUCAGGCCAGGUGUUCUUACAGCCCUGAUGGGUGUUAGUGGUGCUGGUAAAACCACUUUAAUGGAUGUUCUUGCGGGCAGGAAAACAGGCGGAUAUAUUACUGGGAACAUAAAAAUAUCUGGUUACCCAAAGAAGCAAGAAACAUUUGCUCGUAUUUCUGGAUACUGUGAGCAAAAUGACAUCCACUCUCCUAAUGUCACUGUGUAUGAAUCCUUGCUCUACUCAGCCUGGCUCCGUUUACCACCUGAUGUUGAUUCUGAAACCAGAAGGGUUGGUACUGAACUCAAUUGGAAUGUUGGGUCAUUGAGUCAACCAGAAGAGAAAACAGGUUGAAUCCCUAAAUACGUUCUUGGUUAUAAUUAUACUAAUUUAUUGUCUCACCCUUGUUUUGCAGAUGUUUCUAGAGGAAAUCAUGGAGCUUGUGGAGUUGAAUCCAUUGAGACAAUCACUUGUUGGCUUGCCUGGUGUAAGUGGUCUGUCGACAGAGCAGCGUAAGAGGCUUACCAUUGCAGUUGAGCUCGUGGCUAACCCAUCCAUCAUAUUUAUGGAUGAGCCAACUUCAGGGCUUGAUGCAAGAGCUGCUGCAAUUGUUAUGAGAACUGUGAGAAACACGGUGGACACUGGAAGGACGGUAGUAUGCACCAUCCACCAACCAAGCAUCGAUAUAUUUGAAGCUUUUGAUGAGGUAAGAAAUGUUAAUUCUGAAUCAAGUGAGUGAGUUUUUUUUUCUUUCCAUCACUUUUCUUUCCUGUCUACUGAUUUCUAUUGUCUAACAUGGUAUUGCAGCUAUUUUUAAUGAAGCGAGGAGGAUAUGAGAUUUAUGUUGGGCCAUUGGGUCGCCAUUCUAGCCAUCUUAUCAGUUAUUUCGAAGUAUGAACUGAUAAAAAUUUUGAUAAUACAAUGGAAUCUAAUUAAUGUGACUAACAUAAUUUACAUUAUGAUUCUAGUUGAUGCUCAUAAAUUUCUUUUCAUGAAGGCUAUUCCUGGAGUCAAUAAAAUAAAAGAUGGUUACAAUCCGGCAACUUGGAUGUUGGAAGUUAGUUCUUCAUCUCAAGAAUUAGCUCUGGGUGUUGAUUUUACUGAUAUUUACAAAGGCUCAGAACUGUAUAGGUAGGUUUACCAUCCUAGUAGGCUAUUUAUCCUGCUCACCAAAAUCCUUUCACUGCUAUGCCAAAGCAUUUGUUUAGCAAAAUGAUUACUGAUGUAUGUAUACCAUAUGUAUCAGGAGAAACAAAGCACUCAUUGAAGAAUUAAGCAAGCCUGCUCCAGGUUCAAGAGACCUCUAUUUUCCUACUCAGUACUCACAGUCAUUUUUCACCCAAUGUAUGGCUUGCUUAUGGAAACAACAUUGGUCAUACUGGCGAAAUCCACCAUACACUGCUGUUAGAUUUCUGUUUACAACCGCCAUAGCUUUGAUGUUUGGUUCAUUGUUCUGGGACUUGGGCACUAAAACGUGAGUUAUUAGUAUGAAACUGGAAUGUUUAUAUAUUUAGAUAUUCAAAGUCUUCUAGUUUUAUCUUCCUCUUAAUCUUAAUUUUGACAUUUCAAAUUUUAGGUCAAAGCGACAAGAUCUUUUUAAUGCAAUGGGUUCCAUGUACACUGCUGUUCAGUUCCUUGGUGUCCAAAAUUCUUCAUCUGUGCAGCCAGUAGUAGCUGUUGAAAGAGCAGUCUUCUACAGAGAAAAAGCUGCUGGAAUGUAUUCAUCUAUGGCGUAUGCGUUCGCACAAGUAAUAUGUUUGACAUAUGACAUUCUUGAAAAGUAAAAUUAUUUCUGUUUCUUUACUGAAAUUUUCUGUAUUUUGUGCAGGUUCUAAUUGAGAUUCCCCAUGUAUUUGUUCAAGCUGUAGUUUAUGGUGUUAUAGUCUAUGCCAUGAUCGGAUUUGAAUGGACUGCUGUAAAGUUCAUUUGGUAUAUAUUCUUCAUGUUCUGGAGCUUUUUGCUCUUCACCUUCUAUGGCAUGAUGUGUGUUGCUAUGACGCCAAACCUACAUAUUGCAACCGUUGUUUCAAUUGCAUUUUAUGGAAUAUGGAACGUCUUUUCGGGGUUUAUUAUCCCAAGAACAGUAAGUAUUGGCUUGCCAUUACUAUAAAUUCUACAUUGCCAUAGCUUGUAGAAUAUUGAAUGACUAUGUCUUUCCAUUCAUCUUUUUGACGAUAACAGAGGAUUCCAAUAUGGUGGAGAUGGUACUACUGGGCAAACCCUAUAGCUUGGACAUUGUAUGGAUUGGUUGCAUCACAAUUUGGAGAUAUAGACGACACAAGACUUGAGUCAGGUGAAACAGUGAAACAGUUUUUGAGAAGUUAUUUUGGUUUUAAACAUGAUUUUCUAGGAGUCAUUGCGGCUGUUCAUGUUGCAUUCACAGUGCUCUUCGUGUUUGUCUUUGCUCUUGGAAUUAAGGCAUUCAAUUUCCAGAGACGAUAGUAAUUUAAUUUGUCUUUGAGCAGUCGCUUUGAGUAUUGAAAAUUUGCUCUUUAUUUGUUUAUAUUUUUGAAGUAUGUCUAGAAUCACUUUUGCAAUGGAGAUUUCUGAGAACUGUCGGCAGACAAUGUAGUAUUGUGAUUUUUGUUUUGUGUUUUUUUUUUGGCUCUUGCUGCAAAAGUGUGUUCUAAAAACUAUUACUUGGAAAGCAUAAAUACGGAAACUAUUUUGUCAUAGGGUGUUUUUAUUCUCUUCCAAGUCUCUUGAGGCUUGAGGUAUAUGUACUUAUGUAGCUCUGCCACUACUUAAAUCAAGCCUUUUAAUGAUUCAUAUGGGCAAGAACUUUCCUCACUUUCUGAAUUCCAAGCAUUAAUAAACUAUUUUAUUUGGGUGAUAUUUAAUAGACUUCAUGCGGUUAUGAACUGAUAAGAUUGUAGUACAUGGACAAGAAAUAUUUGUUUGAAUUACAUAUCAUGUGCAUAACAUUUAAUCAUUGAAGAGUGAACAUUAUUUGUGAAAGCUGGAUGCCUGGAUCUAUAUGGAACGUCGCAAAUUGUGAUUUGCCAAAGCAACUCGGACUCCAGCUCCUUAGGUAGAUGAGAACAUCAAUAAUAAUAUAUAGAUAGAGAAACAUAAAAAAAAAAGGGCUACAAAUUUUGAAUAGGUCUAAAUUUUUCUGAAUAAGUCUGAUUUUUAGUCCGAAUAAUUUUAAAUGCAAAUGCCUGAAAGAAAAUUUUAUCAUGCUGAAAAUAUAAUUGAUCAUUGGAUUAAAGUGCGAAGAUUGCUACAAGUUUUAUUUUUCAAAUUAUCUUGCAGGUCACUCACAUUAUUUAAAUUAUCGCAGAGGAAGGUGGCUCAAAAAUCAAUUUGGACUUUGUCUACUCCUAUUUAAAAAAAAAAAAUUAUGAACACACUAGGUAUUAAAAUAAAUGCGCUUUUAAUUGCAAGACGAUUGACUAAAGUUUUUUUUUUUAUUAUAAAAACGUUCGCCACACUUAGAUCAUAAUGAAAAUAUUUAAAUCUUUUUUUGAUUCCACGUAUUAUUCUCGAUAGGCACAUAAGGAAAGAGGGUAUGAGAUUUUCAUCUGAUGUAUAGUUCUAAAGCGGAGAUAUUUUUCAAUUGACGAUUGUAGUGGAUGGCAACUCAAUUUGACGGUAAUUAUGCAGAAGCUUUGUAGAAUUAUUAUGUAGCUAUUUGACGAGAACCGAUCACUAUGAUCAAAGCUAUAUACUCUAUAGCAAAGGCUUUAUUCACAUAUCUAGCAGAAAACAUAAAAAAAGUGUUAAAAGAGUAUAUUAUUUUCUGGCACCACAAGUUUCUAUUAAUAUGGAUAAGAUCUGUCUAUACAUGUUAACUACACUAUUGAAAGAAACAGGAAAAUAAAAGAAAAAAAAUGAGGAACUAAAUGGCAACAGGGACAAUAUGAAAGGGUUGAGCCUUUUGUAAGGUAAGACCAAGUUCGUUUUUGAUAUCCAUGGUGUGAGGUGGUGAAUCAAGUUUGUUUUCCAGAAACGGCUGCGUUUUGGAACUGUAAAAGCUUCAUUAGCUCACGUGCUGCUCAGCUGAUUUAUAACAGAAAACGAAUUAGACAAAACGACAGGGAUGGAGAGCCUUUUGGAUAUCAGUUUAAGUAACCACAUGAGGAAGCAUGUGAUGAAGGUUGUUCCGAGUUCGUUAAAGGUUGUUAACCACGUGUCAAUAAUCUGUACAACCUGGAAAUCAAGCUGGCUAUCUAAACAAGGUAUAAAGGCCUGUUUUUUGGGGCAAGUUCAUUUUUUAUUCCUGAGUCUUGAAGUGAGGGUUUUGUGUGAGAGAAAGUGUUAUCUUGUUCUCUGUAAAGUCUGGUGUAAGGCUCUGUAACAAUCUCCAUUGUUGAUUCAAUAAAGCUCAUCUUAAGGCUUCUCCCGUGGAUGUAAGCUGAGCAUUCCAUGCUCAGCUGAACCACGUAAAAUCUUGGUUUCUGUGGGUUUCUUGGUUCUAGUUUUUGUUCAUGAUUCAGUUCUUGUUCUUUUGUUAAUAAGUGAGUUUAUCUAAUUAGAUCUUGGGUUUGUGCAACUUGCAUUGACUCUCACUAGAUCAGUCUAGUUUGGUUUAAAAGGCUUGAUGGUCACUACACAUGGUCUCUGGUGAAAUUCUAUCUUUGAGCUUCCAAUCAAAAGAGUCAAUAAGUGAACCAAUAUUACAUGUAACAUUUUGAUUGCUAAUGGCAACCUAGGACAUAUUUGUCGCCCACAUCUAAAGGGGAUUAGCUCAAAAUUUUGAGGAUUAGCUCAAAAUUUUGACUUUGACAUCAAAAUAGUCCACAAAAACCUCUCUAGGAUUAAAGAUUGAGGGCUAUCCCAUGUGCUUUGAAUUUUUCCUAUAGCCGGCAUGCAUUGACAAGAAGUUGUGAGUCCUUUGGCACCAUGAAGCCAACAAUUUUUAUGGCUACCAGGGCAUACCGAGGGAGUAAUAAGGGAGUUCCUAUGUGCGAUCUGAAGGUUUCUUUGACUAAUGCCUGUGGCAACCGAGUGACAUGAUGUCUGAUUCCUCAAUUGGGUUGGCAUUGCAAAUUGUUUGUUCUAAUUCUAAACGAGAUUUCGAUAAGAACCUCUAGAUUGCGAAGUGUUUCUGCCAAUGCCCAUUCCAGCAUACUUGAAGUCGUGCCAAUCCCUGCAAAAAACAAAUCCUGUUAUGUUAUCGUAAUUUGUCGACCGAUAAGAUAACUACCAAAUAUAAAUAACUGUUGAUACUAAUAAAUAAAUAUAAAUAUAAAUAUAAAGAUAAAUAUAAGAAAGUGUGGACAUCUGUAUUUUAUAAAGUGUGAACUCACACUUUAUAUAAGUAUAUAAAUUCUUUCUAGCUUUUGUAAUUAACAGUAUUCUACAAAGUAGCGACGUUUCUAAACAUUUUUAUGUACUGAAAAAGAAAUUUAAAAAAGAAAGAAGGAAAGAGAGACAGAAAAAUAUAAAUAUUACCAUUAUCAAAUGUUUGAUAUAAUUUCUAUCAAUUUCCAAGCUCUCACUUUCAAUGAUACUGAGAAGAGUAUCUGGCAUAUCAUUAGAUUCGGUGUAACCAUAUUCUUGUCUUUACUUCAAAUGUUGAUCAGUCAAGCGAUCAACCAGCUCCAACAUCCAGUUAGAAUAGCUUGUAAUACAACGCCUUAUACCGUCCAGGUCAAGAAUUUUUAGCACUGGAAAAUAAUCGGAUAACUUAGGCAUCCCUGCUGUAGGGAUGGCAAUGGUAUCCACAAACCCACAAACCCAUCCGCUACGGAUAAUUUUGUGGGUUAUAGGUGGGUUUCGUAUUAUAAUUUUGUGGGUUACAGGUGGACUUAGUAUUAGCUAAAUAUCCGGUGGAUAUCCAUGCUUUUUUAAUUUAAUUUCAAUUAAAAAAAUUAAAUCUAAAAAUAUACUUAUAAAGUUGUUAUAGUUUUGAUUGAAUUUUCUUUAACUUAAUGCAUGAAUUAAUAUCUACUUAUUAUAAUUUUGUAUGAACUAUUAUUCUUUAAUUUAAUGCAUGGAUUAUUUCAUUAUUAUAAUUUUGUUCUUCGGAUUAAUAUUUAAAAAGUUUUAUUCUUUAGGAAAUAUCAACCUUAAUCAUUAUUGUAGGAAUCAUGUUGGAUGAGUGUUAAUGGUGGUCAAUAAAAUGAAGAUCUUUUCUUGGAGCUUGUGUUGAAUGAUAAUAUGAAAUUUUCAUAACCCAACUUCAGAUCUGUCAAGAUACUGUUUGCUUUGGACCUUAACAACACCCUCACAGUUUUGUUUCUAGGGCGCCCAUACACCCCAAAACGCAUCUUGCCAACUAAGGUAUGAAUCAUCUCUUAUAAACACAGCAUUUCUAUCGUGCUUUGCCAAUGUGGGAUUCGAUUAGGGUGUUACAUACUCCCUUCCUUAGGGAUUCAGCAUUCUCGUUGAGGUUUGUUGCACCAUCACUCAAGAGGACACGCGGAGCUGCUCUGAUACCAUCUAUCAUGACCCAACCUAGACCUGACAAGAUAUUGUCUGUUUUAGGCCUUAACAAGGCCCACACGAUUUUACUUAUGUGGUGCCCAUGUACUUCAAAACGCAUAUUGCCAAUUAAGGUGUGGAUCACCCCUUAUAAACCCAGCAUCUCUUUCAUGCUUUGUCGAUAUGGGUUUCGCCUAGGGUGCUACAUAUCUGUCAUGACCCAAUCCAGACCUAACAAGAUAUUGUCCGCUUUGGGCCUUAACAAGGCCCGCACAAUUUUUUUUUUUCUGGGGUGCCCAUAAGCCCCAAAAUGUGUCUUACCAAUUAAGGUGUGAAUCACCCCUUAUUAACCCAACAUCUCACUUGUAUUUUGUUGAUGUGGGAUUCGCCUAGAGUGUUACAUACACCCCUCUUAGGGACUCGGUGUCCUCGCCGAGGUUUGCCCCACACUCCUAAAACGCGUCUUGCUAGUUAAAGUGCGAAUCACCCUUUAUAAACCCAACAUCUCUCCUGUGCUUUGCUGAUGCGGGAUUCACCUAGGGUGCUCCACACCUUAAUUGGCAAGACGUGUUUUGGAGUGUAUGUGCGUCCUAGAAACAAAAUCAUGGGGACUUUUUAAGGCCCAAAGUGGAUAAUAUCUCGCUAGGUCUAGGUUGGGUCAUAACAAAUGAUAUCAGAGUGGCUCCGCAUGUCCUCUUAAGUAAUGGUGGGGCAAAUCUCAGCGAAAACACUAAGUCCCUAGGGGGAGUGUAUGUAACACUCUAGGCAAAUCCUACAUCGAAAAAACAUAGGAGAGAUGUUGGGUUUAUAAGGUGUGAUCCACGCCUUAGUUGGCAAGACAUAUUUUAGGGUGUAUGGGCGCCCCAUAAAAAAAAAUCACGUGGGCCUUGUUAAGGCCCAACGCGGACAAUAUAUUACCAGGUCUAGAUUGGGUCAUGACAGAUGGUGUCAGAGCAGUUCCGUGUGUCCUUUUGAGCAAUGAUAGGGUAAAUCUCAGCGAGGACGCCGAGUCUCUAAAGGGGGUGUAUGUAACACCUUAAACGAAUCCCACAUUGACAAAGAACGAGAGAGAUGCUGAGUUUAUAAAGGGUGAUCCACACCUUAAUUGGCAAGACGUGUUUUGGAGUGUAUGAGCGUCCUAGAAACAAAACAGUGCGGGCCUUGUUAAGACUCAAAGCGGACAAUAUCUUGGCAGGUCUGGGUUGGUCAUGAUACAUACAAUACCUUUAAUUGUGUAUUAUAAUAAAUUUAACUAAAAAUAAAAUUUAUACUAUAUUGAUUUUAUUUCUUUUUUUAAUCUUAAAAAAUUGAUAAUUAAAAAAUCAUCUACAAUUUUCAAUAAAAUAAAAUCAAUCAAAGCAUAACAAGGUACUCUAAAAAAAUAAACAUAAAAAAGAUGUAAUGAGCUAUAAAAACUCAAAAAGAAAAAAAAAUAAUAAAUUGUCAUGCAAUAUUAUAUUGUCAUUAAACUUGCAGCAAUAUUAUUUCUUAGAACUUCCAUUUUUCGUGCUUCGGCUCCGUUGUUAAUAUGUGUUUCUUCUUCACCUUCUUGUCCAUCAUUGACUUCAGUUCUAUCUCUUCAUUGGUGUAAUCAUUGUGCUCAUUUUCUUCCUUCUCAAAAUGUUUAUCAUGUUGUGCAUGUCUUAUUAUAUAGUUAUGUAAUGUCAUGGUUGCAAUAACUAUCUUUGCUUGUUUAUUGAAUGGAUAGCUAGGCAUGUCUGUUAAAAUCUUCCAUUUUUUUUUUCAUACACCAAAAGUGCACUCUAUUACACUUCUAAGUGACGAGUGUGCAUGAUUGAACACCUCUUGAUAGCUUGUUGGUUGGCUACUUCUACGAAAAUAUGGAAGGUGAUAUCUUUCACCUUUAUAUGGCCUUAAAAAGACCCUCAUUUUUAGGUACAUUGCAUCCACCAAAUACUAUUUUCCUAAAUAUUUAAGAUAUAAUUUUAAUAAUAUUGGAGAAAAAUAAACUAUUGGAGAUAAACUUAAGAAAACUAAGAAAAAUUUAAGAAAAAUAUUGAAGAAAAAUUUGAUAAAAAUAAGAAGAAAAAUAAUGUAAAAAUGACAAACCUCGAGAUGGUUUAGGAAAAUUCAAAAUAGGGUUACGUAGUGUUGAUAAAAAUAUCCUUGUGUCUUGAGCGCUUACUUUCCAACCUGCAAUUGCAAAUAUAAACUGCAUAUCAAAGUUACAUUCAGUCAUUAUGUUCUGAGUUGGUAUGCCUUUCCGGCCAAUGUAUGUUAUUUGAUCCUCAAGAGUUAUAGAAACUUGAAUAUGUGUGCCAUCUAUAACAUCGAUACAAUCCUGAAACUACAAUACAAAAGUACGUGUCAAUAAUAAUUACAACUUUAUAAACUGUAAAAGUUUAAUCGAUACAUCAUUUACCUUAAAGUGAGGCAUAUAUCUAAAAUCUCCCAAUAUUUCUUCAGGAAUAUUUUCCAAAAGAUCAUGGCAUAUCAACCAUUGCAUUAUGUAUAAGUAUGUAUGUAUUUUCCGUAUAAGAAAAACUAGUUUGCUUACUGGGUUUUGUACUCAUUAUAGUUUAUUGUGAUUCAGUUUCCAGAAGUCAGGAUUGAUUCGUGAUGAGUGAGAAGAUGGAUUUGAAUUGAGGAUAGUAGAUGGUUUGGUUGAGUUUUUAAGUUAUUCCGCUGGCUUUUGUAUUUGAGGCUCGAAUUUUAUCGGUUGUAAAGAGUUAUUUAAAUUCAUAUGUGAGUUGUGGACAUACUUGCCCUUAGAUUUCGGAUUGGGGUGUUACAAAUGGUAUCAGAGCGGUUCCCGACCGGAAAUGUGUGGAUGUUUAUGACAUCCUACCUCGCUUGGGAAGGAUUUUGUAAGGAUGAAUAGAACUAAGUCUGUGCCAAACCUUUAGGCUUUGUGAUUUUGCUUGAGUCUUAUAAGGAUUUAUUGGUCAUAAGUGAUUUUGAGAUAUGGAUUCUUUUGGGCAUAACAAAAAAAUGAAUUUCGAGGACGAAAUUCUUUUAAGGGGGGAAGAGUGUAAUAUCCCAAAUCUCCUAAGGGUAUUUAAGUCUUUUUAAUUUUUAGUGAUCCUUUUUACCCUAGUAUAAAUAGAACAAGAUGUCUUUUUCAUUAUCAGAGAGAGAGGAAAAGAGUGCCAUAGGCAACACAUGGGAUCAAGUUGUUAUUGCUGGGAGAAGUUUUGGAGGUAAGUUUUAAUCUUGGUUUUCAUUAAAUUGUUGUGGAGAAGCAUGAUUGCAAUAGAAGUAGAAACCUACGAUUUUACAGAAAUAUGCUGACAGUGAAUUAUUACGAAAAUCAUAGUACUUUGUAUGAAUUGAUUUUGAUUAUGAUUUUUGGGUAUGUUAAACUAGACAUCGUCUAGAACGUUUUGAAACUUGUUUCAAGUUAAUCGGAUAAGAUUUCAAUUAAUUAUGAUUUUUCAAAUUCAAGUCUGAAAACCUGAAAAUUUAUGAUUUCAGUGAAUAACGUGAAUUACAAAAUUAUUUUUACCAUAGUGAGAGUUCUUCAAAAAUUAUGAAAUUUGGACCAAUGAUUUUUAUAUAUGUCUAGUAUGAUUCUGGAAAUUUUCAUGAUUUUAUGAUAAAGCAAUAAAUUGUUUUGUAUUUGUAAAGCAAGUGUGUUCAAAACAGAAAACUGUUUGACAGUAUUGAUGAUGUCUGAAACGUGAAUUAUUUUCAAUAGUUUUUUAAGGAAUUAUGUUAUGAAAUUUUUAUCAAUGAACUUUCAAUGUGUCAGCAUAUGGUCUGUAAAAUUUUAGAUUCUUCUAAUAAGAGGAUAAUUUAUUAAAAAUCGGAGAAGUAUGAACUGUUAUGUUUUGAGGGCCGAUUAUUGAGGACAUUUGAGGUUGAGCUUAAGAGUUGUUUAAAUUGAGAUAUUUGAGGACAUUAGAGUUUAUGAUUGAGAUUUGAUGAUAUCUUAUGAGAAUUUAUUGAUGAUUUUAGGUUGAUGGUAUCAGUACGCAUUUGUUACAUGAGGAUGCCAAGAGGUAAGUAAACUAGACUUUAAAACGAAUCACACUAAACAAUAUAUAUGUUUGACUUGUGUGAAAAACCUAUUUUGAUAUAUACACGGAUAUGGAUUUAGAUGUCUCUGCCCAUGUGUUUAUGUGAUGUGUUGGCAUGUGUUGAACGUGAUUAUGUACAUGGGCAUAUGUAUGUGUGAUGGUUCAUUGGCAUGAGCACGAAAAUGCAUUGAGUUUUCUAUGAAUGAGAAAGUGGAUUUUAGCAAACGGAAUUUCUGUUUUAUGAGAUUUUGCAUUGGGGGCCACCUCUUGAAGUUGUGUGGGGGCCACCUCUUAGGACUAUGCGGGGGCCACCUCUUGAGGGCUAGAGUGCCGUAAAAUGCCACGCACAGCACAAAGUGCCACAUCGCAGGAUACGUAUUUCAUCGAAAGAAAAUGAGAAAGUUUGAAAGCGAUAGAAAUAGAUUUUUAUGAAUUUAUUUUACAGUAUUUCCAAAAGAUCAUGGCAUAUCAACCAUUGCAUUAUGUAUAAGUAUGUAUGUAUUUUCCGUAUAAGAAAAACUAGUUUGCUUACUGGGUUUUGUACUCAUUAUAGUUUAUUGUGAUUCAGUUUCCAGAAGUCAGGAUUGAUUCGUGAUGAGUGAGAAGAUGGAUUUGAAUUGAGGAUAGUAGAUGGUUUGGUUGAGUUUUAAAGUUAUUCCGCUGGCUUUUGUAUUUGAGGCUCGAAUUUUAUCGGUUGUAAAGAGUUAUUUAAAUUUAUAUGUGAGUUGUGGACAUAUUUGCCCUUAGAUUUCGGAUUGAGGUGUUACAGUACUGAACUGUUUGGUAAACACUAGUUGCCGCAGUUUGAAAGUUAUACUGAUAUAAUUUUUCACUUGUUUAAUACAAAAUCUAUUAUAUUUUUAAUAAUUUUGUCAAAAUUAUUAUUUAAAAUUUAGAUUUACUACAUAUUAAUUUUUAUUUUAUAGUUACAACUUUUUUUUCCACAGUAGUUAUAACUUAAAAGUUACAACACCUCAAUUCCAAACAAGAUCUAAAUUUUUUAGAAAAUAAAAACGUUGCAAUGGCAUAUGCAUGAAAUAUUUUACAAAUAAAGAAACCCAAACAAGAUAAGCAACAAAUAUUAUAAUAAAAAUUACAUUGAAUAUGCAUGAAAAUGUGAUGAAUGAAAGGAUAUGCAUGAAAAAGUACUGUCACUGAAUAUGCAUGAAAAAAGGAUGACUAAAGUAUCGUAUCUUGCAUUGUUGCCGCCGUAGAGAACUUUUGAUGUAAUGUAAAAUAUAUAUGAAGUGGAAAUAAGGUAAACGAAACUUGAAUUAUAAUAAAAGAUUAUUAAAAUUGUUUCCAAUUUGAAUAAGGAUAAUUUUGGAUUUAGAUAAUAAUUAUAAAGAUAUUUAUGAAAUUGUAUUAAAGGAUAAAGUUGAUUCUCAAAUCAAAAUUUAAAACCUACUCCAUCAUUCUUUUUCAAAAUCAGCUGUAAGAGGAGCUGAUUUUAACAAAAGUAAUUUUGAUUUUUUUUUUAAACCAAAAACCAAAAUUAGUUUUUAAAUUUUCAAAAUCACUUUCAAGGUUUCCUAAGUUCGUCCAACAGAAUGCCAAUUAAUGUUUUUGUUUUCAGGUGAAACAAAGCUCUCAUUGAAGAUUUAAGCAAGCUUAAUUAUGUUUUACAAAUUAAUAGUAAAGACAGUAAGGUUCCUGUCCGAUUCUGAUCUGAAAAUAGUUCUAAAAAAAAUAUUGUAGAGGAGUACAAUUCAAAAACUUAAAAGAGUUGUAUGAAUUUUAAGUAGUUUGUAAAUCGAGAUUUGUUCCAGACUAAUUCAAAAUUCAGUUGUGAGUGGCGCCAAAGUUUGCUGUAGUGGUUGCUGACAUGGAAGGUGUGGGCCCAUCACUGCUGAGUUGGAAAGGAAGUUAGUUUGGAUAACUAACUAUUUGAACAAGUGCUUAUUGACCAUUACGCAUGCAGCUUUUUACUAUAUAAGGAUGCUGGUCAAUGAGGGUUCUUUAACUCAGUAUAACGAUCCCUAUCAUGAUUGUUGUUGAUGCUUAAAUCUGCUCGCCUUUGGACCGACCAGAUUCUUUCACCAACGUUUGUGUUAUCUACUGUUGCUCGUUCACUGGGAUUGGAAUCGUCCUCCUUUCUCACAAUAGACCUGCGCUCACCAAAAACGGAUCAGAGACGCCGGUGGUUUUGCCGGCGUAAACCCUCCGAUGCCUAAGUUAGCUCAAGGUGUUUACGGGAAAACAGUGCAAUUUAGAUCUCAAAAUGGUUUCUAAAUUAUUCGGAGUUUUAUAAGAAAAUAGCCUGGUUUCAAUUUGGCAGCGUUUUCCCUCUCUCAAUUUUUCUAUCCCCUUCUUCAUCGAUUUCUCCUUCUUUUAUAGCCGCUGUCCCCACGUUCCCGCUUGCCCUUCAUCCCACCUUUUUCGGGUAGUGGUAGCCCCUCAUGGGGCUCUGACCGUUGCAUUGUGGCAAACGUGGGAUCUUAUGUGUCCUUCAACGGUUCCGGGAAAGGCGCAGCGGCUGCGAUUCUGUGGGAUCAUGUUCCCGCUUUUCUGGGGAGUGUGUAUCAGUUCGGUAUUAACAUAUGGUCGGUAUACGCUCCCGUGCUCUGCUCGUACCCACAGCUGAGGUGAUCCAUGCCGGGGUGGAGGUAGUAGCAUGGUCGACCUGGUGCUUUUGUUAACUCAACACCAGUCCCCAAGUUUCUGGUAUUGCGAGUGAAAUGAGUUAGGAGUAGAAACUGAUAGUCAAAUCUUACCAACCUGGGGAGCGUCUCGCAUGGCCUUCUGCUUACCAGGACAGAUCUGAGGUACCAUUUUCCUUCUAGGGAGAUUCCGACCUGAGCAUGGGCCUAACUGAGCCUGUCCGUUGCAUAUCUGGGCUUUCAUCUAACCUGGUCUCUUGUAACGGUUGGUGACGUGGCGCUUCCCGACUUUUCGUAUUUGAAAUUUGAAACGACGGGCUAUCCGUCCUCGAUAUAUGGGGGGGUGAGCUGGCAUAUCCCAUCACUUAAAUGCUUCCAUUUCCCCCUUUUCGUUUCAAAUCCCUAGACUGGAGUCUUCACCAUCUUGUUACUCGUUUCUCCGCCGUUAACCAAAUUUUCUCUGAACUUUGCUCACACUUCCAGCGUCCGGAGUAUCCAUUUGCUGGGUGUUUUCUCUGUCACGGCAGCGCUAUCAGUGUCAGUCUAUUCCAGGUAUAGCCUUUAACCUUUUCUUCGGCUGUUGUUGAUUGGGUUCUGUGUUGCCCCUUUGUGUCCAUAUACUCGAGUUUUCUCUGUCUUCUUUUGGGAUUCCGGUAUGUCAAAUCGGAAGAGGAAGUUAAUUGUUGAUGAGGGUGAUGACGAAUCAGGGGAUUCAGGCCUCAACGUGCCAAUACCCACCGAUAUUUUAGGUCCCUCCAGUAGUGUAGGUCCUCCUCAUGGUAGGGAUACCCUUGAGUACCCACGCCCCCUGGUUGUCUCUCCCUCUCCCGAAUUAGAGCUUGUAGGAAAUAGGGGUGGACCUGCGUCGGGCUCUGGUGAGAACCACAGCUUUGGUGGGGUUGGGAUCCCUGAAGGAGUUGGUGAUGGUGAGGGGAGCAGUUCCGGACCGAGCAGACCUGCUCAGAAAAGGAACCUAGGCCAUAGGGUGGAGGCUGAUUCCUACCCUAUUGAUUUCAUGGCUUGUGCCACCACCCCCACCGAUCUAUUUAAACUUAGGAAUCUCUACAACAUCCCCAACGAGGUUCUUCUUGUAGUUCCUGGAAAAGGUGAUGUCCCUAGUUGGCCUCCGAAAGGGUAUGUGACGAUGCACUUGGAGAGUUUCAGACUAGGAGUUCGGCUGCCCCUUCAACCUUACUUUGCCAAGAUACUGGGCGGUAUGCACCUGGCCCCAGGUCAGCUACACCCAAAUGGGUGGAGGGUUCUCUCGGUAAUGUUUGUGUUGUGGGAGAGGUGCGGGUCGGAGGAGCCUUCUCUUGUUGAAGUGAAACAUCUGUACCAGCUGCGGAGUAGCCCGAAGGAGGCAGGCUGAUACUAUUUCAUAUCCAGUUCCGCAAAGAGGAAACCGAUCACUGGGUUUCCAUCUUCAUGUAAAAAUUGGAAGAACAAAUUCUUCUUUGCUGGAGGGAACUGGUGUCCAGCGGUUCAGUCGCUUGGUGGGGACAUUUAUCUUCCCACCCAUUUUGUCACCCCAGGUCGUUCAUUUUUUGCCUAUAUUCUUUCUCAAAUUGCCACUCAUUGGGUUCUUUAACCUUGUUUGUUUUUUCAGAAUCGUGGGGUUUGGUGAAGGAUCUUGAAGACCGACCUUUGCUUCAAGUGGAAACUGCUCUGUUGAAUGCGUCUACUUGCCAAGACCUCCUGUCGCCAACAAACUUGGUCGGUUCCCGCUUAGUCUUGAAGACCGACCUUUGCUUCAGGUGGAAACUGCUCUGUUGAACGCGUCUACUUGCCAAGACCUCCUGUCGCCAACAAACUUGGUCGGUUCCCGCUUAGUAGAUAUUGCCACUGGAAUGGAUAACAAGAUCCUCAGCGCGUUGAGCAGAAAGCGUGGUCGGGCUCCGAGUAGCUCCAGCAACCCUCCUCCUCCUCCAAAGAAACCCAGCGUCGGUCCUUCCAAGGCGCCAGUUCCUGCUCUGCCCCCUCCUCCACCUCGUAAGAGUGGUGGGGAUAAAACCUCCGACAAGAGUCCUGAGGUCAGCUUGCAGUCUGGGGACCGCUCUUCUCCCCUUCCAUCUCGGGAUCAAGGUGACUACCUGAGCCCAUAUCAGAAGGAUUACAGAAAAUCGGUUGGGCCCAAGAUGGUGAAGGACAUCGAGAGCAUGAGCCUCUCCGAGUUAGCUGCUUCUGUUCAAAGAGUUUCCUUCAGGCUGGCCACAAUGGUCUCGUGCUACAAGACCGGGUCCGCGCGUCAUGAGAGGAAGCUCCAAGCUGAUAACCAGGAGUUGAAAAAGAAAGUCGAAUCUGCUGACCGUUCUAAGGAGAAAUUGGCCGAGCUGAACAAGCAGCUUACGGUGCUUGAGGAGAAAGUUGCUGUUGCUGAGUCCACUUCCUCCAAGCUUGAGGAUGAGUUGGGUGAUCUGAAGUCCGAUCUUCAGGCUACCCAAAGUGAAAGGGAUACUCUGAGGGUCGCCCUUGAAGGAGAGAUCAAAUCCCUGAAGGACCAGCUGGCUGAGGAGAAAAGCAAAUCCGCUGACGUGGAUGAUCGACUGGAUGCCGAGUAUGACUCCGGGGUUGUUUUCAGCUAUAAGUGCAUUAUGUCUGUGCUUAAGGAAGAAUACCACGAGCUCGACAUGAGCAAACUGGAAUCUGGGGUGGAGAGGUAUAUGGCUGGGGCCGGCCAGGGAGAUAAGGAGCAGGUGGAGGUUCCUUUUGAUGAGGUGCGGGAGGGAGGAGCUGGUCAGUGUGUUUUUGAAGUGGGACAAGGGUCCGCGCCUCCUCCUCCCAUUAUUGCUGAUCUUCCACCUCCCGAGACAGCCGACCCUUCUCCUGCUGAGGCCGUUGACCUUCCUAAUCUUUAGGUCUAUUUUUGUAAAAAAACUCUAGUUUUUCAUUUGCUUUGUAAACAUUUGAACGUUUAUAAAAAUUUUUGAAUGCUCUCUAUUGGCUUUCUUGUCUGGUUUUGCCUGUUGGUUCUUUGGUAAAUCGAACAGGAAUAGGCAUCCGUUUGCCUUAGUAAAAUUUUCGAAGCUUUAGCUGCUGGUCUUUCGUUGACCGAGCAGAAACAGGCACUUUAUUGCUUUAGUAGGAUUUUUUGCAGAAUUAGUUGCUGGUCUUUCGUGGGCCGAGCAGAAGUAGGCACUUACUUGCCUUAGUAAAAACUUUGUAAAUUUAGCUGCUGGUCUUUCGUUGACCGAACAGAAGUAGACACUUACUUGCCUUAGUAGAAACUUCGUAAAUUUAGUUGCUGGUCUUUCGUUGACCGAGCAGAAGUAGGCACUUACUUGCCUUAGUAGAAACUUCGUAAAUUUAGCUGUUGGUCUUUCGUUGACCGAGCAGAAGUAGGCACUUACUUGCCUUAGUAGAAACUUCGUAAAUUUAGCUGUUGGUCUUUCGUUGACCGAGCAGAAGUAGGCACUUACUUGCCUUAGUAGAAACUUCGUAAAUUUAGCUGCUGGUCUUUCGUUGACCGAGUAGAAGUAGGCACUCACUUGCCUUAGUAGAAACUUCGUAAAUUUAGCUGCUGGUCUUUCGUUGACCGAGCAGAAGUAGGCACUUACUUGCCUUAGUAGAAACUUCGUAAAUUUAGCUGCUGGUCUUUCGUUGACCGAGCAGAAGUAGGCACUUACUUGCCUUAGUAGAAACUUCGUAAAUUUAGUUGCUGGUCUUUCGUUGACCGAGCAGAAGUAGGCACUUACUUGCCUUAGUAGAAACUUCGUAAAUUUAGUUGCUGGUCUUUCGUUGACCGAGCAGAAGUAGGCACUUACUUGCCUUAGUAGAAACUUCGUAAAUUUAGUUGCUGGUCUUUCGUUGACCGAGCAGAAGUAGGCACUUACUUGCCUUAGUAGAAACUUCGUAAAUCUGCUUACUGGAAAUAUUUCUUCAAGUGUUCGGCGUUCCACGACCUUUUCACGUCUCGUCCAUCCUGGUACGCUAACUUAUAAGCUCCCGGUCCAGUGGCUCGUAUCACCCUGUACGGACCUUCCCACUUUGGGCCAAGAGCGCCAUGGUUAGGAUUCCUGGUGUUCUGGUUCACCCUCCUAAGUACCCAAUCUCCUGCUCGGAACUGCCUUACGCGUACGUUCUUGUUGUAAUAACGCAUGACCCUUUGCUGACACUGGGCCACUUUCUGCGAGGACCCUUCCCUUUUCUCCUCAAGCAGGUCUAGGCUUAAGCAGAUCUGCUCGUUGUUUUGCUUCUCAAUGAAAUAUUCCGUUCGAUGUGUCCCCACUCCAAUUUUUGCUGGGACUACCGCCUCAUGACCAAAAGCUAAAGCGAACGGUGUUUCUCCUGUGGCGGUUUUGUGAGUUGUCCUGUAGGCCCACAGUACUCCUGGUAGCUCGUCAACCCAAGCUCCCUUCUUCUCUCCCAAUCUAGUCUUUAGGAGCUUCUUUAUCACCUUGUUGGCUGCUUCCACUUGUCCGUUUGCCUGGGGGUGUGCGGGGGUGCAGAACUUCAGGUCCACCCCCAGGUUUCGGCAAAAUUCCCUGAAGUUGCCGUUGUCAAAUUGCAUCUCAUUGUCUGUGAUGAUGGAGUAGGGGAUCCCAUAUCUGCAGAUGAUAUUCUUCCAAAUAAAAUCUGUUGUCUUCCUCUCCGUGAUCUGGCUGAGGACUCCUACUUCCACCCACUUGGUGAAGUAGUCUAUUGCCACAAUUGCAUGUGUCGCCGCUCCUCGUCCCUUAGGCAAUGGACCAAUCAAGUCGAUUCCCCAUUGAGCGAAAGGCCAUGGGGAUGUCAUAGCCGUCAGCUUUUCCGGGGGUUGUGCAGGAACCUCGGAGAAGCUUUGGCAUGUUUUACAAUUCUUUGCCAUCCUUUUGGCAUCCUGGUGCAUGGUUGGCCAGAAGUAUCCUUGCCGGAGUGCCUUGAAGGCUAAAGUUCUUGCUCCCGAGUGAUUGCCGCAUAUUCCCUCAUGAAUCUCUCUCAGCACAUAAUCCGCCUCCUCAUCAUCCAAACAUCUCAAAAGGGGCAAGGUGAACCCUCGGCGGUACAGCACUCCAUCCAGUAGCGUAUACCUUGCUGCUCGGCAUUUUAAUUUUCUUGCUUGCCUUUUGUCCUCUGGUAAAACUCCAUCGCGGACAUAUGCGCGAAUCGGGUCCAUCCAGGAUUCUCCAAUACUUACUCUCAUCACCUCUGCUUCUUCCUCAAUACUUGGUGAGGUCCUUACCUCUAGUGGAACUGACUUCGGUAACUUUGGAUCUGCAGUGGCUGCCAUCCUAGCCAGCAUAUCUGCUCGAAAAUUCUCAUUCCGGGAUAUCUGCUUUACCUCCACUGUUUGGAAAAGCCCAACCAUCUGCUUCGCCUUCUUUAAAUAAAGACCCAUCUUCUCUCCCCUUGCUUGGAACUGAUCAUUGAGCUGAUUACACACCAGUUGGGAAUCUGCUCGAAUUUCUACCUUUUCUGCUCUUAGAGCGUGUGCAAGUCCGAGCCCGGUGAUAAAGGCCUCAUAUUCAGCUUGGUUGUUUGUGAGCUGAAAGUCAAACUUCACUGCAUACGUUAUUUCGGUUCCUUCUGGGCUCCGUAUUACAAUUCCUGCUCCGGAUCCUUGCUCACUACAUGAUCCGUCAACCAUUACCAACCACAACCCCUCUGGUUUCUCCUGCUCUGCUGCUUGCUCCUCCCGAAUUUCUUUCCCUGUAUCGGCUCGGUCAACCAUAAAUUCAGCCAGAGCUUGGGCCUUGAUUGCUCCUCGGGGCCUGUAAGAGAGGUCGAAUUCACUUAGCUCUACGAACCAUUUUACUAGUCGACCCGAUGCAUCUGGUUUUUGAAGUGUUUGCCGAAGGGGCUGGUCGAUUAUAACUAUAACCUGAUGGGCCUGAAAAUAUGGUCGGAGUUUUCGUUCUGCCGUUAUUAGAGCUAGCGCCCACUUCUCCAUCAAUGGGUAUCUAGUUUCCGCCUCUACCAAGGCCUUGCUCGUGUAGUAUACCGGGUGUUGCUUUUCUUCCUCUUCCCUGACCAAUACCGAGCUGGUAGCCCAUUUAGAGAUUGCUAAGUACAACAACAGCUGGUCACCCUCUCUCGGAGUCGAUAACAAUGGGGCCCGGGUUAGGUAUUCCUUCAACUGCCCAAAUGCUUCCUCACAUUCCGAUGUCCACUCCAUCUUUUUCCCUUUCUUUAUGGUUUGGAAGAAAGGGUGGCAUUUAUCUGUGGCCCGCGAGAUGAAUCGGUUUAAUGCUGCCAACUUCCCUGUAAGGCUUUGCACCUCCUUAACUGUUCGUGGGGACCUCAUUUCUGUCACCGCCCGUAUUUUCUCCGGGUUGGCCUCGAUCCCUCGGUGGCUUACCAGGAAUCCUAAAAAUUUGCCCGAGCUGACCCCAAAUGCACAUUUCUCCGGGUUUAGUUUCAUCUCAUACUUCCUCAGUAAUUCAAAGGUCUCUUCUAGAUGCUUCACAUGAUCCGUCGGCUCUUUGGACUUUGUAAUCAUAUCAUCCACAUAUACCUCCAUAGUGUAUCCAAUCAACGGUUUGAAGAUCUUGUUUACCAACCUUUGAUAGGUGGCCCCUGCAUUUUUUAGGCCGAAAGGCAUUACCCUGUAACAAAACAAACCCAUGUUAGUUAUAAAGGCAGUGCUUUCCUCAUCCUGCUCGUCCAUGGGUAUCUGGUUGUAUCCAGAAAAGGCAUCCAUGAAACUGAGCAGACUGUGACCUGCUGUUGAGUCCACCAGCUGAUCUAUUUUGGGUAGGGGAAAACUGUCAUUUGGGCAUGCCUUAUUGAGGUCCGUGAAGUCCAAACACAUUCUCCACUUCCCGUUGGCCUUUUUUACCAGGACUACAUUUGAAAUCCAUUCUGGGUACUUGGCUUCCCUUAUAAAUCCUGCUUUCAACAGCGCGAUCAAUUCCGGGCAUAUCUUCAUGAGACCAGGCGAAUAUAUCCGCAUGAGACUGUAGGCAAUUUACCAGCUCGCCUUUUACUGCCCCAAUCAAUCCUGACCCGAUCUUCACUACUCUGCUCGAGUUGCUUUUGCUAACCGCAACUUCCUCCAGUUUCUCAACAGGCUCUUGGCGGCCCUUUUUAGACUCUCCUCGAUUAUCUAGAGAAGUAACCUGUAGUGUCUCCUUGGCCGCCGUAGCAUAACAACUCCUUGCCAUCCUCUGGUCGCCUUUUACUACGCCAACCACCCCAUUUAUUCUGUAUUUCAGCGCCAAGUAAUGCGUGGAUACAACACAUUGGCUUAUCCUCAUGAAUGGUCUCCCCAGUAUCAUCUGGUAAGGGCUUCUUUCCUCUACCACGACGAAGUCCAGCAUCAUCGUUCGUUCAAACGGCUUUGUCCCCACAGUAAUCGGGAGUUCAAUGAUCCCCAAGGGAGUUAACCGUCCCCCUCCAAAUCCUUUUAAGGAAGUAUUUGUCCGCUCCAGUUUUAAAUCUGAAAUCCCCAUAUCAUCUAAGGCUGACUUAAAUAGAAUGUCAACUGAACUGCCCGUGUCCACCAGUAUUCGCCGCAAUUCUGUGCUAGCCACCGAUGCUUUAAUCACUAGUGCAUCCUCAUGAGGAUAUAAAAUACCCUCUUCAUCCUCAUCUGUCCACAUAAUGGGAACUUGUCGCACUUUUGCCUUCUUGGUUGCUGGCAAAUUGAAAAGCACUUCUUUGCUAGUCAGGGCGUAUCUCCCAUAGUUCUUCCGUGCCCUGUUCGAAUCUCCGGCCAAUGUUGGCCCUCCUGCUAUCACACGGAUAGUCGGCUGUUCACGUUCCAGAUCCCUCUCAACUCCCUCAUCCCGCGUAUACUGUGAUUCAACGACGGGGAACUGCUGUACGGCCAAGGCAUCCAAGUAUUGGUUCCUCACCAAAUCCUCCACCUGAGUUUUUAGGUCACGACACUGGUUUAUUGUGUGACCAUGAGUAUCAUGGAAUUUGCAGAAUCUGCUCUUAUUUGUGAGCAGGUUUUAUUACGGGGGCAGGAGGGUAUAGCAGGCUUCGCCCUUCGAUCCUCUCAUAUAACUCCUCCAUAGAGACUUUUAAUGGGGUGUAUUAUCUAUACGUCGAGCUCUGGUCAAGCAGUUGGACUGCUCGGCUAUCCUGGGUAUCGUCCCGAGCUGGCAUUGAUGGUAGCUGACUGGGUCGUCCAGCUCUGGAGUUGACUACAUGUAGUGCCCUGGGAGCGUUGUGAUAAGGGUGGGCAGCCAACUGCCGGAAUUCUCGUUGACGCUCCGAGAGUAGGGGGCGUGGAGGCUGAGCCCGGCUGUGUUGGAACUGUUGUGGUCUCUGAGCUAUGGGGUAAGGGCGGGACCGAGCUGAUAUCCCGCCCAUUAUUGAGGAUUCCCCAACUCGCUUUCCCGACCCGCUCCCGUUCGGGGUUCUCCUUUCUUUUCGUCUCAGCUCCUCCAACUGUUCACUUUUUAUCCUCGCCGAUUUCUCCUAUUCUAUUUCUAUAUCACUCUUCGCCUGCUCAUACCCCGCCGAAUAAUUCUGCACUAGGGGGCUUCUCAAGUUGUACCACAGUCGGCUUAUCCUCACGCCCUCUUUUAAUCCCCUCAAUGCCUGCGGGUGAUUGAAAGCUCCCAGAUCAAGCACUGCCCGGUGGUAUCAUUUUACAAAUUCCCGAAAGGAUUCAUGUUCCUCCUGUUUUAUCCCUAUCAGCUCCAUCAUAUCGUCCUUUGGGGCUACUGCUCCUCGAAACUGCUCGACCAACUCUUGGCACAUCUGCUCGUAUCCUUUUAUACUUCCUCGUGGCAGCUUGCGGUACCACUCUCGGGCUCGUCCCUCUAAUGUCAAUGGGAAUACCCUGCACCUCUAAGCUAAUGUUCUAGUGUCAACGGGAACGCCCUGCACCUCUGAGCUGAUGUCAGCCCCUGCACACCCGUCAUAUCGUUGAAACGCUCAAUGUGCACCAGUGGGUCACUUCGCCCGGAGUAUUUGAGGUCGGGGAAGCGGAAAUCUCUUGGGAUUAUGGUACCCAUGAUCUCGAUUGAUAACGGAGAUUCUUCAUCUAACAUUAUCCUCCAGCUUGGGGGCUUUCUCUUGCCCUGUAUCUCCUCUAUCACCUGCGCCAACCUGCGCACCUCCCCCUCCAAUUCUAUAGCACGGUUAGGAUCACGCGCAGCUAUCUGGUCUCGCUCCUGCUCGGCGUUCUGCAACCGCUGUCGGAGCUCUCCUUCAUCAACACUGGCACCUCGGCCAGUAGUUUCCAGUACCCGUCCGGGGUGAGUUUGGUCUCUCCCUUCAUCCCCGUGUUCUCCUGGGAUUCGUUCAAACGGCUUUGUCCCCACAGUAAUCGGGAGUUCAAUAAUCCCCAAGGGAGUUAACCGUCCCCCUCCAAAUCCUUUUAAGAUGGCUCCUGCAUUUUUUAGGCCGAAAGGCAUUACCCUGUAACAAAACAAACCCAUGUUAGUUAUAAAGGCAGUGCUUUCCUCAUCCUGCUCGUCCAUGGGUAUCUGGUUGUAUCCAGAAAAUGCAUCCAUGAAAUUGAGCAGACUGUGACCUGCUGUUGAGUCUACCAGCUGAUCUAUUUUGGGUAGGGGAAAACUGUCCUUUGGGCAUGCCUUAUUGAGGUCCGUGAAGUCCACACACAUUCUCCACUUCCCGUUGGCCUUUUUUACCAGGACUACAUUUGAAAUCCAUUCUGGGUACUUGGCUUCCCUUAUAAAUCCUGCUUUCAACAACUUCUCCACCUCGGCAUUUAUGGCCUCGUACCUUUCCUGGUUGCAGCAUCUCCUCUUCUGUCUCACCGGCCUUGCCCCCUUCUUGAUUGCCAACUUGUGGCAAGCUACCCCGCGAUCAAUUCCGGGCAUAUCUUCAUGAGACCAGGCGAAUAUAUCCGCAUGAGACUGUAGGCAAUUUACCAGCUUACUUUUUACUGCCCCAAUCAAUCCUGACCCGAUCUUCACUACUCUGCUCGGGUUGCUUUUGCUUACCGCAACUUCCUCCAGUUUCUCAACAGGCUCUUGGCGGCCCUUUUUAGACUCUCCUCGAUUAUCUAGAGAAGUAACCUAUAGUGUCUCCUUGGCCGCCGUAGCAUUAACAACUCCUUGCCAUCCUCUGGUCGCCUUUUACUACGCCAACCACCCCAUUUAUUCUGUAUUUCAGCGCCAAGUAAUGCGUGGAUACAACGCAUUGGCUUAUCCUCAUGAAUGGUCUUCCCAGUAUCAUCUGGUAAGGGCUUCUUUCCUCUACCACGACGAAGUCCAGCAUCAUCGUUCGUUCAAACGGCUUUGUCCCCACAGUAAUCGGGAGUUCAAUGAUCCCCAAGGGAGUUAACCGUCCCCCUCCAAAUCCUUUUAAGGAAGUAUUUGUCCGCUCCAGCUUUAAAUCUGAAAUCCCCAUAUCAUCUAGGGCUGACUUAAAUAGAAUGUCAACUGAACUGCCCGUGUCCACCAGUAUUCGCCGCAAUUCUGUGCUAGCCACCGAUGCUUUAAUCACUAGUGCAUCCUCAUGAGGAUAUAAAAUACCCUCUUCAUCCUCAGUACGGUACAGCAGCACCGGCCUUGCCCCCUUCUUGAUUGCCAACUUGUGGCAAGCUACCCCGCGAUCAAUUUCGGGCAUAUCUUCAUGAGACCAGGCGAAUAUAUCCGCAUGAGACUGUAGGCAAUUUACCAGCUUACUUUUUACUGCCCCAAUCAAUCCUGACCCGAUCUUCACUACUCUGCUCGGGUUGUUUUUGCUUACCGCAACUUCCUCCAGUUUCUCAACAGGCUCUUUGCGGCCCUUUUUAGACUCUCCUCGAUUAUCUAGGGAGGUAACCUGCAGUGUCUCCUUGGCCGCUGUAGCAUAACAACUCCUUGCCAUCCUCUGGUCGCCUUUUACUACGCCGACCACCCCAUUUACUCUGUAUUUCAGUGCCAAGUAAUGCGUGGAUACAACGCAUUGGCUUAUACUCAUGAAUGGUCUCCCCAGUAUCAUCUGGUAAGGGCUUCUUUCCUCUACCACGACAAAAUCCAGCAUUAUUAUUCUUUCAAAUGGCUUUGUCCCCAUAGUAAUUGGGAGUUCGAUGAUCCCCAUGGGUGUUAACCGUCCCCCUCCAAAUCUCUUUAAGGAUGUAUUUGUCCGCUCCAAUUUCAAGUCUGCGAUCCCCAUAUCAUCUAGAGCCGACUUAAACAGGAUGUCAACCGAGCUGCCUGUGUCUACUAGUAUUCGUCGCAAUUCUGUACCGACCACCAUUGCCUUGAUCACCAAUGCAUCCUCAUGCGGAUAUAAGAUACCCUCUUCAUCGUCAUCUGUCCACAUAAUGGGAACUUGCCGCACUUUUGCCUUCUUGGUUGCCGGCAAAUUGAAAAGCACUUCUUUGCUAGUCAGGGCAUAUCUCCCAUAGUUCUUCCACUCCGUCUACAUACUCAUCCAAGUAUCGGUUCCUUACUAAAUCUUCCACCUGAAUCUUCAGGUCACGACAUUGGCUGAUUGUGUGACCGUGAGUGUCGUGGAAUUUGCAGAAUCUGUUCUUAUCCCGUCGAUGAGCCGGUUUUGUUAUUGGGGCUGGAGGGUAUAGCAGGCCUCUUCCCUCGAUCCUCUCAUAUAGUUCCUCCAUGGAGAUCUUUAAUGGAGUGUAUUGUCUAUAGGCCGAGCUCUGAUCUAUUAGCUGAACUGAUCGGCUAUCAUGAAUGUCACCUCGGGCUGUCCCAGUUGCUAAUUGAUCUAGUCGACUAGCCCUGGAAUCGGUUGCAUGUAAUGUUCUAGGAGUGUUGUGAUAGGGGUGGGCAGCCAUCUGCCGGAAUUCUCGCUGCCGCUCUGGGAUUGGGGGGCGUGGAGGUUGAGCCCGGCUGUGUUGGAACUGUUGUGCUCUCGGAGUUAUGGGGUAAGGGCGGGACCGAGCUGAUGUUCCGCCAUCCCUGAAGAUUCUCCAGUUCGCUUUCCCAACCCGCUCCCUUUCGGGGCUCUCCGCUCCUUCCGCCUCAGCUCUUCUAGCUGUUCACUUUUUAGUCUUGCUGAUUUCUCCUCUUCAAUUUCAAUAUCUCGCUUUGCCUGCUCAUAUCCUGCUGAAUAAUUCUGCACCAGGGGGCUUCUCAGGUUAUACCAUAGCCGGCCUAUCCUCACACCCUCCUUUAAACCCCUCAACGCCUGCGGGUGAUUGAAAGCUCCCAAAUCAAGUACGGCUCGGUGGUAUCGCUUUACAAAAUCCCGUAGGGACUCGUGCUCCUCCUGUUUCAUCCCCAUCAGUUCCAUCAUGUCGUCCUCUGGGGCUACUGCCCCUCGGAACUGCUCGGCCAACUCCUGGCACAUCUGCUCAUACCCCUUUAUACUUCCUCGGGGCAGCUUGCGGUACCAUUCUCGAGCUCCUCCCUCUAGUGUCAACGGGAACGCCCUGCACCUUUGAGCUGAUGUCAGCCCCUGCACACCCGUCAUAUCGUUGAAACGCUCAAUGUGCACCAGUGGGUCACUUCGCCAGGAGUAUUUGAGGUCGGGGAAGCGGAAAUCUCUAGGGAUUAUGGUACCCAUGAUCUCGAUUGAUAACGGAGAUUCUUCAUCUAACAUUAUCCUCCAGCUCGGGGGCUUUCUCUUGCCCUGUAUCUCCUCUAUCACCUGCGCCAACCUGCGCACCUCCCCCUCCAAUUCUAUAGCACGGUUAGGAUCACGCGCAGCUAUCUGGUCUCGCUCCUGCUCGGCGUUCUGCAACCGCUGUCUGAGCUCUCCUUCAUCAACACUGGCACCUCGGCCAGUAGUUUCCAGUACCCGUCCGGGGCGAUGUUGGUCUCUCCCUUCAUCCCCGUGUUCUCCUGGGACCCGACCAGUACUUCUGUGGGGAUGCACCCCAUUAGGUUGGUCUGCGGGCGGAGGAAUGUCCUCGACUCUACGUCUCCGGAGGCUGGGUUCUGCUCCGACUUCAUCUCUUCCCACGGGGGUUUCACAAUCCCUUCUCCGCUCAUCCCUCAGCUCAAACAAUAUGGACGCGAGAGUCUCCAUUUGUUUCUCCAUCCGCUCCAGUCUGUCUUGCAUCAUCCUCUCUCGGGCUUCAUUCGCAAUUUCCCGAAGAGUGAUUGUCUCCCCAGCCUCGUUAUCCUCCCUCAAAGCGUCCUUCCUCGUCACAUCCAUGUCUAACCGUUCGCUAUUUCUCCGGUACUUCCUAAUUCGGUGGUAGCUUUUUAUCCAGCUCCCCACAGACGGCGCCAAAAUGUUGAUGCUUAAAUCUGCUCGCAUUUGGACCGACCAUAUUCUUUCACCAACGUUUGUGUUAUCUACUGUUGCUCGUUCACUGGGAUUGGAAUCGUACUCCUUUCUCACAAUAGACCUGCGCUCACCAAAAAUGGAUCAGAGAUGCCGGUGGUUUUGCCGGCGUAAACCCUCCGAUGCCUAAGUUAGCUCAAGGUGUUUACGGGAAAACAGUGAAAUUUAGAUCUCAAAAUGGUUUCUAAAUUAUUCGGAGUUUAUAAGAAAAUAGCCUGGUUUCAAUUUGGCAGCGUUUUCCCUCUCUCAAUUUUUUCUAUCCCUUUCUUCAUCGAUUUCUCCUUCUUUUAUAGCCGCUGUCCCCACGUUCCCGCUUGCCCUUCAUCCCACCUUUUUCGGGUAGUGGUAGCCCCUCAUGGGGCUCUGACCGUUGCAUUGUGGCAAACGUGGGAUCUUAUGUGUCCUUCAACGGUUCCGGGAAAGGCGCAGCAGCCGCGAUUCUGUGGGAUCGUGUUCCCGCUUUUCUGGGGAGUGUGUAUCGGUUCGGUAUUAACAUCUGGUCGGUAUACGCUCCCGUGCUCUGCUCGUACCCACAGCUGAGGUGAUCCAUGCCGGGGUGGAGGUAGUAGCAUGGUCGACCUGGUGCUUUUGUUAACUCAACAAUCGUAUUAGAGCAUCUUGACAUCAUGUAAAGAGUGAAAUCUCCUCUGUAAUUCUGGAGUAAUUUUUGCCACUAAUAAUAGAGAAUGAUGCCUGUUCUUGUUCAUUGAAAUUAUGUGUUGUGUACGAAUCAGUCUAGCUUGCUGUUACCCCCAAGUCUUGGUGUCUUUUACUCACUGAAUCAACUUUGGAGGAAAUUUGUUCGAGUAUUCAUGGAUGUUCAACUCAUCUUGAUUAAGUUUUGGUGUCAUGUCUCCUGGACAUCACUUAUAGCCUAAUUUUUUCCAAGUCUUGUCUGGUCGGCAUUAUUUUGAUAAAAAUUUAUGAAGCCAAGUCUGAGUGUUGUGAUUCGUCCAUACCUCAUUUGUGGAAAUUGUUAGAGUUUUAUUAGUAUUUCAAAAUAUUAACGUCGCACAAUGGAAGAAAAUGAGAACUUUACACUUGAUUUGAAUGUAUAAAAUUAAAUAUGUGCAUAGGACGAUAAGUGUUAAAACGAGAUUGACAAUAAUGAUUAAAUUGUAAUAGAACCUUCUAGAUGCAGAAAUCAAAAUCCCAUGCAUAUAAGUUCUCGAUAGAGCUGAGUUUAAGGGGUCUCUCUCUCUCUUUUAUUUAAAGUAAUUAAGAGGCAAUAUAAUUAAAAUUUUAAUAACUUUGUAAGAUAAUUUGGUACAUCAAUUUUUGGCCUGGUAAUUUAACAAGACUGCAUUAGCAAUUAUGAGGUAAUUAAAUAGCAAUAAUAUAUCCAUCAUUCUUCCUUUGUUGGAGCUUUUUAUGAGAAACAUUUUCUUUUAAAGAACAGCUAUAUUUUUCAACAUUCCACACGAUUAGGUAUGAAUUUGAUAAAAAUAAAAAAUAAUCUUCAAGUAACAUGAACUUAAUAAGUAGUUUUCUUUUGUGAAAUCAAAAUAGGUAUGAAUUUGACUAAAAUCAAAUAAAUCUAUAAGUUGUUCUAAUAAUUAAGUUAAAAAAUAAAAUUGUCAAUUUUUGUUUUGUCUUAAGUUGAAAAAAAUCUAAUUAGAACAUCUGACAAAGAUAUAUUUUAGUGUUUAGUAAAAAACUAACAAUGCUAAUUAACUUAUAGCCAGCACAGACGUACGUAUAAUGCAAAUAUUGGACGACUAUGCAGGUGCCUAUUUUGACGGCCAUAUUAUAUCAUGCUGAUGAUCAAUAAUUCAACAUUGCACAACGGAUAAUGCUUUAUAACUUCUCUGUUCCUGAAAGUGGCAUUGUCAAAAAGAGAAAUCUCUUCUUUUUGCGUUUUGAUGAGCUAGAGAGCUAUAGCUUUUAGCCUGAGUUGUUACUUGUUAUGGAGAGUGGUGACAUUUACAGAACAACUACUAGUUUACGUAGAAGUGCUUCCAGAUGGGGAAGCGCUUCUGAGGGUGCAUUUUCGAGGUCUUCAAGAAGAGACGAAGUUGACGAUGAGGAGGCUCUAAAAUGGGCUGCUCUUGAGAAAUUGCCUACUUAUAAUCGUUUGAGGAAAGGAUUACUGAGCACUCCAAGUGGGCAUGGUAAUGAAAUUGACGUAGACAAUCUUGGACUGCAAGAAAGGCAACUGUUGAUUGAUAAGUUGGUCAAAGUCCCAGAUGUUGAUAAUGAGAAGUUCUUGUUGAAACUUAAGAACCGUUUUGAUAGGUAAAAUUUUGUUUUUUUCAACUUACAUAAUUAUCUUCUUCUUUUUUUAACCACUGGAGCAGCGAGACCAAAAGCUCAAUUUAGACUUUACCCACUUCUAUACUUUUUUUUGUUUUCAAAAAAAGAUGUAGAAAAACUUAGCUAGGGCCGAACAUGAUAGGAUGAAACUAUGUAGUCUGGUGAUGUUAACCUCACAAAAAUAAAUGAGACUCUAUCCUAAACGAGGUUCUUUCUUCAAAGAUCGAUCAAAUUCAUAUUCAAAUAACCAUAAAAUCAAGAUCUUGACCCUUUACUAUAAAUAUAAAAAUCAAUGGUAUAAGAAAUCUAGGGUUGACAGUACAUUCAAGAAAGAAAAGAAAGAUUGUGAGUGAUAAGUUAAGAAAGGCACAAGAUGAAAUAUUGAUAAGUUCUAAAAGUUCUUUGAAGAAGUAAAAAGAAAAGCUCUCGUUAUUAUUAUAAAAUCAAAUCUAAAAUUUUCAAUAGACAUGGGUUUAUAUAGCUGAAUCUAAAAUAAAAGAUCUUGUUGAUUCUAAAAUAAAAAAGAAAUAAAAGAUUCCAAAAUGAAAAGGAAAUAAAAGAUCUUGUUUUAAAAUAGAUUAAGAAACAAGUAUUGCGCUUGAUUUUUCUUUCUAAUUUGAUAAUGCCUUAUUUAUUUUUCAUGCAAAUCACUCUAAAUCAGAUGUAAAAGAUUGAAUAACAUUGACAAAGCAUUGACUACCUUGAAUACUCACUUCAAGCAAAUUAAUGUCUUGAACAAGACAUGAAUUUAAGAUGUGCUCAAAUAAUCCAUUUAAUACUUCUUUCAUUUUUUUAGUUCUUACCCUUUUCAUUGGACCUUCAUGGAUGCUCAAUGAAUUUUCUAAAGUUUUAACAACUUGGUUCUCAACACUUGGAGUGUAGCUUCCUGAGUGAAAAUAAUUUAAAAAAAAAAAAGAUUUUGACUCUAAGUUGUUUAGUAUUUUUUAAUACGAAUUGUAUAUUUUUGGUCCCCUCAAAUUCACAUGUUUUGUGUUAUACUCUUCCAAUUUUUUUUCUUCUUUCAUUAUUUUGUCUUUUGUUGAAAUAAAACCAUGGUUAGGCUACAAAGUAAAGGUGAGGAAAACCCUUAGUAAAUGAAAUUCUUAUUAUUUAUGAGAUUAAUAAAAUUAAAAUUAAAGGGUGGGACUACUUGAAUUUAAAUUUUUGACACACCUUUUUAAUCAUUAAUUUUCAAAUAAUCAAUGGUAGAUAUUGAAAGUUAAGUUAGCAUUUAAUGAUGGCUAGAUAAAUUUAAAAAUAUACAAAUUAUAUCUUUAUUAGAAAAAAAAAAGAAAAAAUAUUGUCAAGGUCCAAAAGAGUAUUAUUUGUUUUGUAUAUUGGCUUAAUAAUACAAUUCCCUUCUCACCUGCCUAAGCAUUACACUUGUGUAUCUACCCUAAUGAUAUUAUUAUUCUGUACAAUUAGUUAAAAGGAUUCGGAAAAAAUAUGCAUUUCCUCUGGAAUAAAAAAAAGGUAAUCUAUUUUUAUUUAGUAUUUUAACUUAAUUUUUUUGAGUCAUUGAUACUUAAUGAACGUUUCUUUCUUUUUUUUUUAACGAGAAUCCAAGCCAACAGAAUUCUGGAAUGAAGACAUAUUAAUUAAUUCAAUUUCGGAACUCCAAGUCUCUGAUGCCAUCCAAAAUCCUUUUAUAUUAUUACCAAAAUACACAAUGUUACAGUCAAUUUUUUAAAUUAUUUUUCUUAAAAGCAUGUCAAUACAAUAUGUUACAGAUUUGCCCCUUCUGUUGAAAAUUUUGAAAGUUGCCAUAGUAUGCAUAAUCAGAACAUGAUUUUUAAUAUUUCUGUUUUCUUUAUAACCAAACCUCAUUGAAAAAACUAUAAUAUUUUAUAGUACUAUUAAAAUAACGUUCUGUUAAAAAUAUUAAUUCUUAUUUUUCAUAAAAAGUAUGUAUAUUUUUUUAAUGAUUAAUUUUCAUGGUUUCCCAUUACUUAUUAUUUUUAAUUUUUUUUUGUCAUAAGAAAAAUGUUAGAAAGGAACUGUAAGCUGAACUUAGGGUGUUAGAAUUCACAAUAAACCCAGGCGGGAUUAUUGUGUUAAUUGAUUAUUUUUAAUUAAUCCGCUUCGGCAUUACCUCUGUUUCUAUAAGCGCUGUGUUAACGUGUGUGUAUAUGUUUUCUUUUAUGUUUAAAUAUUAGCGUUUAAUGUCAAACUGAACAGUUAGCUCCAGUAUCUUUUAAACUACAAUUGUUGAGCAAAAGAAAUUAUAAUUAAAAAAAAAUUAAUAAUAUAUAAUAAAUUUAAAAUUAAAUAAUAAUUUUAACAAAAUUAUUAAACAUACAAUAAAUUUUUGAUUAUACAAAUAAAAAAUUAUAUUAACGUAACUUCUAAGUUAUAAAAAGUAAUAUUUAUCAAAUAUUUUAAUAUUAUAUUUUAAAAGAUACAGAUGUAUAACUUCAAUCACAAACGCACCUUUAAUACCAUACUUUGUGAAAACAGAUAAUCAUAUUAUGCAUUCCUUCUCAAACUUUUAUUUGGGGGGAAAUUUUAUCAGUUGUAUUCUACUUUCUGAAGUUGUUAUUUUCUUGUAUGUCGUACUUUGAUUUUAUCAGAGUUGGAAUUAGCAUGCCCGAAAUUGAAGUUCGAUUUGAGCAUUUGAAAGUUGAAGCAGAAGCAUAUGUAGGAAGUAGAGCCUUGCCAACAUUCAUUAACUUCUGUGCCAACAUAAUUGAGGUACCCACCUGCAUAUAUAAUUUAUUAAAUGUUUUCAAAACUGGUGAAUGAUCAAGUAAUUUUGUUAAUUUCUCUUCUAACAAUCUGUGAAUUUUUUUAAGGGGCUUUUGAACUGUCUUAACAUUCUUUCAAGUAGAAAGAAAAAUAUAACAAUUCUCAAGGGUGUCAGUGGAAUUAUUAGACCUGGCAGGUGAGAACUUAAUUGAAUAAUACUACUGUUUUUGUUGUGCCCAUGUCUUUUGUUACAAAUUUAGAAUAUUUGGGCAGUCCUUAAUUUCACAUUGUAUUCAUGUCUUUUGCUGCAGAAUGACAUUGCUUUUGGGUCCUCCAGCUUCGGGAAAGACUACACUUUUGUUGGCCUUGGCUGGGAAGCUUGAUUCUAGCCUCAAGGUGAUUGUUUUAUAUUGUUAAAAGCACUAAUUAUUCUUGAAGAAUUUGGCAUUGACCAUUGAGAGUUCACACUUUGCUUUAAUCUCUAAUUUGGUGAAUGAAAACGUCUCUAUGUAGCUUUAUGGUAGGGUGACAUAUAAUGGCCACAACAUGGAUGAAUUUGUACCUCAGAGAACAGCUGCUUAUAUCAGUCAACAUGAUGUUCAUAUCGGCGAAAUGACCGUGAGGGAAACCUUGGCUUUCUCUGCUAGAUGCCAGGGAGUUGGAUCCCGUUAUGGUUGGUUUGAUCGUUUUCCUAUUUCUUUUUUUUUUUUUUCCUCUCUUUGAUUGUAAUAGUUAUUUCUUUUGGAAAAUGCAGAAAUGCUAACCGAGUUGGCCAGACGAGAGAAGGCAGCAGGUAUUAAGCCUGAUCCUGAUCUUGACGUCUUCAUGAAGGUGAGAAGCUGAAGCCAUUUAUUAAAAAUGAUAAACAGUUGCAAAAAACUAUACAUAAAAUGGCUAUAAACAUCAAUGUCAAACACUUGAGUCAUUUACUUGAAGUUGGCCUUUUUAUCUUGUGUUCUUUGGUUAAUACAAGUAGAUAUCUGAUAAUCAUGGAGUUACACCCAGUACGAUUGAGCUUCUGAUUAUCAUCGAUUCACUGUCAAUUCUCAUGUAACAGGCUGCAGCAACAGAAGGCCAAGAAGCCAGUGUGGUCACUGAUUAUAUUCUAAAGGUUAGAUCAUCGUGAAAAGCUCUAAACUUAUGAUUUACUGUUGAGAACAUGUAAUUUCACUACUUUGAUGAAAUUUCAUCAUAAAUUUACAGAUUCUAGGCCUGGAUGUCUGUGCUGAUACCAUGGUAGGUGAUGAAAUGAUAAGAGGCAUAUCAGGAGGACAACGGAAGCGUGUUACAACAGGUAAAUUUCAAAACUCAUCAGUCCAUAUCUAUUACGCAGAGAAAUUAAUUCAAGCAUAUGAUAAUUAAAUGAUUGAAUUAUAGGUGAAAUGCUGGUUGGACCAGCACAAGCAUUCUUCAUGGAUGAGAUAUCUACGGGUUUGGACAGCUCUACAACUUUCCAAAUUGUGAAUUCUCUUAGGCAAUUCAUUCACAUCCUUAGGGGAACCACUCUGAUCUCUCUUCUACAGCCAGCACCAGAAGCAUAUGAUCUAUUUGAUGACAUUAUCUUAAUAUCUGAUGGCCAGAUUGUGUAUCAGGGUCCCCGGGAACACGUACUGGAGUUUUUUGAAUUCAUGGGCUUCAAAUGUCCGGAAAGAAAAGGUGUUGCUGACUUCUUGCAAGAAGUAUGUCCUUAUUGGGCUCUUUUUAUGAUUUUUCAAAAACAUAUAUGAGUCCCCCCCAACCUGAAAGAUGAUCUUUGCUUCUCAAAUUUUUAAAUAAAACCAUGAAAGAAAUUAUAGGACUAAGAUGAGAAACUUCUCAUUGAAUCUCCAUGAAAAAUGAAAAUGUUGCAGGUGACAUCAAGGAAAGAUCAGGAGCAGUAUUGGGCAAAUAAAGAGGAACCUUACAGGUUUGUCACAGUCAAGGAAUUUGCUGAUGCAUUCCAAUCAUUCAGUGUGGGACAGAUACUUGGUGAUGAGCUUGGAAUUCCAUUUGAUAAGACAAAGAGCCACCCAGCUGCUUUGACAACCAAAAAAUAUGGUGUUGGCAAAAAGGAGUUGUUGAAAGCUUGCAACUCAAGAGAACUUUUGCUGAUGAAGAGGAACUCAUUUGUCUAUUUCUUCAAGCUCUUCCAAGUAAUUACUUAGUUAAUCUUGAAAUUUUCAAAUCUUUUUCUUUGAAGUGAUAAUGAUUUACUAUUUUUUUUUUUCCUGUACUAGCUUACUACUAUAGCACUGGUUACUAUGACACUCUUCUUCAGAACAAAGAUGCACCAAGAUUCAGUAACUGAUGGAGUAAUUUAUGCUGGUGCAACAUUCUUCAUUAUCAUUAUGAUCAUGUUCAAUGGAAUGGCAGAGAUUUCUAUGACCAUUGCAAAGCUUCCCAUUUUCUACAAGCAAAGAGACCUCCAAUUCUAUCCUUCAUGGGCAUAUGCUUUUCCCACAUGGAUCCCAAAGAUCCCCAUCUCAUUUGUAGAGGUUGCUGUUUGGGUAUUCUCAACAUAUUAUGUAAUUGGCUUUGAUCCCAAUGCUGGAAGGUAAGACUAUAAAAGCAAAGUGCCAAACAUUAGAGAGACGAUUAAUCCCAAAUGUAUUAAAAACUAAUUAUCUUGCUGCAGGUUUUUCAGGCAGUACUUGCUGCUCUUGUUUGUUAACCAGAUGGCUUCUGCAUUGUUCCGGUUAAUUGCUGCAACAGGCAGGAACCUGGUUGUUGCUAAUACAUUUGGUGCAUUUGCAUUACUCCUGCUUUAUGCACUGGGUGGUUUUGUCCUAAACAGAGGUAUAACAAGUAAAUAAGUAGAAAAGAAAGAGCGUUAUCUUUUUUAAGUUUAACCUAAAUUCUUUCUUUUCUUGUUUAAUAAUGCAGAGGACAUAAAAUCAUGGUGGAUUUGGGCUUACUGGUGUUCACCUCUGAUGUAUGCUCAGAAUGCAAUAAUGGUUAAUGAGUUUCUUGGUCAUAGUUGGAGAAAGGUAAUGCCUUUGAAUUGGAUGAGCCUUGUAUUAAUGUAUUUACUGCUGAGGAAGGUGCUAAUGUCUGAACUUCUUUCGCAAAAAGAUUCUGCCAAACACAACCGAACCACUGGGAGUUGAAGUUCUGCAGUCUCGUGGGUUCUUCACUGAUUCUUAUUGGUAUUGGCUAGGAGUGGGAGCUUUGCUUGGUUUUAUAAUACUGUUCAACAUCGGAUUUGCUUUGGCUCUAAGUUUCCUCAACUGUCUGUAUUCUUACCUUCUUCAGUUUUGAUCUUUUUAAAGUGAGCCAUUCUCUGAUAUAGUUUUUUCAUAUGUGCAGCAUUUGAUAAGAAUCAGGCCGUUACACCUGAGGAAUCCCAAAGUAAUGAGCAAGAUAAACGACCUGGGGGCACUGUUCAGUUAUCAAACCGUGCAAGUAGUUCUAGUCAAAUAACACCCUCAGGUCAUAUGGCUCUUUUGAUACCUUUCAGAAAAGCAUGAUAUGUUUUGCGCACACCUUUUGAUCACAAUUGAAUAUUUUAAAAUGCAGGGAGUGCGGAUGACAUUAGGAGGAGAGAUUCCUCCUCCCAGUCCCUGGAAACAACAGCUGAGGCCAACCAACCUAAGAGAAGAGGAAUGGUUCUUCCAUUUGAACCGCAUUCCCUUACCUUUGAUGAUGUUACAUACUCUGUUGACAUGCCACAGGUAACAAUAAUUUGGAAACCAAGGGGUAUAUUUCAAAAGUUGGAUCAUAUCUUGAUUAAGUACUACAUUCUCCAGACAUGAUGGAUUGUUUUGAUUUAACGUUGCAGGAAAUGAAACUUCGAGGUGUUCUUGACGACAGAUUGGUACUUUUAAAUAGUGUUAGUGGUGCUUUCAGACCUGGUGUUCUGACAGCUCUGAUGGGUGUUACUGGUGCGGGUAAAACCACGUUGAUGGAUGUGUUGGCUGGUAGGAAAACUACCGGAUAUGUUACUGGGAACAUCACAAUAUCCGGGUACCCAAAGAAGCAAGAAACAUUUGCUCGUAUUUCUGGGUACUGUGAGCAAAACGAUAUCCAUUCUCCUCAAGUUACUGUAUAUGAGUCCUUACUCUACUCAGCCUGGCUUCGAUUAUCCCCUGAAGUUGAUUCCAAAACAAGAAAGGUUAGUACUGAAAUCCGAUGGUUUGCAAACUUUCUGUCAUUGUUUCUACUUGUAUCAUUGAGAGUUGAAACAGAUUAAGCCAAAUGAGUCAUCGUGAAGAGGAACAGCUUGAAUUCUUCAAUGCACUAUUGGACAUCCUUAUACUAAUUGUUUGUUUCACCUUUGGUUUUUAGAUGUUUAUUGAGGAAGUCAUGGAGCUUGUGGAGUUGAACCUAUUGAGACAAGCACUGGUUGGUUUACCCGGUGUAAAUGGUCUGUCAACAGAGCAGCGUAAGAGGCUUACAAUUGCCGUUGAGCUUGUGGCAAACCCCUCCAUCAUUUUUAUGGAUGAGCCAACAUCAGGACUAGAUGCAAGAGCAGCUGCAAUUGUUAUGAGAACUGUUAGGAACACAGUAGACACGGGAAGAACAGUAGUUUGCACCAUCCAUCAGCCAAGCAUAGACAUAUUUGAAGCUUUUGAUGAGGUAAGAAAUGUUAAUUCUAGAGUUAAUAUUUUUCUCUCGGUGAUUUAAUUAUGAUCAUUUAACUUGGCAUUGCAGCUGUUCCUGCUGAAGCGAGGGGGACAAGAAAUAUAUGUUGGGCCAUUGGGUCGCCAUUCUAGCCAUCUUAUCAAGUAUUUCGAAGUAUGAAACAUUUUCAUAUUGCAGACAAUAGAAACUUCAAAUAACAUUAUGAAGAGAGCUACUAGAAGAACAUAAUUAAUGCAAGUAUAUUUCUUUAUAUGAAGGGAAAUCCAGGAGUUAGUAAAAUAAAAAAUGGUUAUAAUCCAGCAACUUGGAUGUUAGAAGUUACCAGUCCAUCGCAAGAAACAGCUUUGGGGAUUGAUUUUGCUGAUAUUUACAAGAGUUCAGAACUCUACAGGUUGGUUCAUGAUGCGCUGCUAGAAUCCAAACAACAGGAUGGCAUGUCAGUGUUUUGUUUUUUUUCAAAAUUGUUGCUGAUGUAUUUCUUAUGCUUCAGGAGAAACAAAGCACUGAUCAAAGAUUUAAGCAAGGCUGCUCCUGGUUCAAAGGAUCUCCACUUCGAUACCCAAUACGCACAGUCAUUUUUCACCCAAUGUAUGGCUUGCUUAUGGAAACAACGUUGGUCAUACUGGCGUAAUCCACCAUACACUGCUGUUAGGUUUCUGUCUACGACCAUCACAUCCUUGACGUUUGGGGCAAUGUUCUGGGACAUGGGCACUAAAAUGUGAGUUACAAUUUGAAAUUGGAGCAGUAUAGUCAAUCUUGAAUUUACCUAUUAAUCUUAAAUUUGACAUUUCAAAUUGCAGGACAAAGCAACAAGAUCUCUUCAAUGCAAUGGGUUCCAUGUACACUGCUGUUCUUUUCAUUGGUAUCCUAAAUGCUGUGGCUGUACAGCCAGUAGUAGCUAUUGAAAGAACAGUUUUCUACAGAGAAAGAGCUGCUGGAAUGUAUUCGGGCAUGGCAUAUGCCUUCGCACAAGUAAACUGUCUGACAAAUGACAUACUGCAUAUGUAAAAUUAUUUCUGUUUCGUUACUGAAUGUUUUUGUAUUUUCUGCAGGUUCUAAUUGAGAUUCCUUAUAUAUUUGUUCAAGCUGUCACAUAUGGUCUUAUAGUCUAUGCAAUGAUGCAGUUUGAAUGGACUGCCGCAAAGUUCUUUUGGUAUUUAUUCUUCAUGUUCUUCACCUUCUUGUACUUCACCUUCUAUGGCAUGAUGGCCGUGUCUUUGACUCCAAACCACCACAUAUCUGCCAUUGUGUCGUUUGGAUUUUAUGCCUUGUGGAAUGUGUUUUCUGGGUUCAUAAUCCCAAGACCAGUAAGUAUCUGCAGUAUUUCCAUUACUGUUAUAAAUAAUGCAACAUUUCCAUAGCUUUUAGAAAAGACUGAUUGACUAAUUAUCUGCCUGAAUCUUUUUGACUUGCUCAAUAACAGAGGAUUCCAAUAUGGUGGAAAUGGUACUAUUGGGCAUGCCCAUUGGCUUGGACGUUGUACGGAUUGAUUGCAUCACAAUAUGGAGAUAAAGAAGACAGGCUCGAGUCAGGUGAAACAGUGAAGCAUUUUUUGCGAAGUUAUUUUGGUUUUAAACAUGAUUUUCUUGGAGUCGUUGCACUUGUUGUUGUUGCGUUUCCAAUGCUAUUUGCAUUCGUUUUUGGUCUAGGAAUUAAGUUCCUCAAUUUCCAGAGGCGAUAGUGUUGUGAUUUUUUUUUCCCCUCUUACACAAGUCUGUUCUAAAGUAUUACUCGAAACUAUUUCUUGCAAAUUUGUAAGUUUAGAAUUGCCUGAGCAAGAAUAUUUCUAACUUUCUGAAUUCAACGCUUUAGUAGAGUUUAAUGCCGUUAAUAAAUAUAUAAGAAAAAAAGGAGAUCGGCAAAUAGGUUUGGAUUUCAAUGAAGUUUAAAUAAGUCUAAAUGUAUAUAUUUGAAUGGUAUGUUUCAAUGUUAGACUAUUAAGUGCUAUUGUCUUUUUUUUUACAUAAUAAAAUUAUCUAAAAAAUAAUAUUUUGAUGUAUAUGCGUUAGUAUAUACUUGAAUUUUGUGCUUAUAAAUUUUUAGUUUAUAAGCUAAACACUUCAAAAGAUGCAAUUAAAUUGUUAGCAUAUCAAUUUUGAAUUUUGAUUAUGCUUACUUAAUAAUUUACUAGUUUUUUAAAUGCCUAGUAUGACUGGUAGUUAAAUGACUUUACUCAUGUGAGCAAGAAUCGAAUCCAAUGAGUCUUACUUAAUUUUAAUUUUUUGAAAAGAAAGUAUCCAAAAAGAAAAUGCAUGACAUUCGUUUGGGAUAAUAUCAAAUUACCAUCUAAUGAAAUUGUUAUUUUUAAAACUAUUGUAAACUUCAACUUAUCCUUUUAUUUUUUUUGAGGAAAAAAUUACAUUGGUCAGCUCCCAUUUUCCUUUAUCUUUUGAAAAAAAAAAAGUAAAUUGAAAUUUACAAUAUUUUGAUUUUUGAGGAUAUUUUAAAGAUUUUCACUUGACAAGAUGAGUAAUCUAAAAUUUACCCUAUCACAUAAACAACUCAGACCGCGCUAAUCAAAUACGCAUAAGUCUCAAGAUCAUCAUUAUAGUUAAGAGAUUUUACCGACCAAUCUAAUUGGCACCCAAUGUUAACAAUUUAUAAACAGAAGUUUAAAAAACAGCCAGGGAUAUUGAAUAAAACACAAUUUCUCAAAAAUGUCCAAGGAAUUUUAACAAAUGAAAGAAUUUUAACAAAACCCAAAUUUUAGAGUUUAUAUCCUUACAGCAAAAUAAAAAAAGAUAAAGAACUCAUAUCCAAAAACAUUUCCAAUGAAAUAACCCAAAAAUUUGGGAGUUAUCAAUCCUACAUUCCUACUGAAAUGAAAAGCCAAUGAAGCAUUGAGAGUUCGGUCAUAGGGGAAAAAAAAUUAAAAAAAUUUAUGUGACCAGUUUCAACAAAUUUUGAAAGAGUCAUUUUUCUUUGCAAGACGUUUUAUAAUGGGGACCACAAGGAAAAUGAGAAAGAAAAAGACGAUUUUCUUUUUAUUUAAAAAUAAAGAAGAUGGAAUUUGGUUUUGAUUGAAUUGAAAUUUAGGACGAUAAGAGAGGAAAUAUCAAUAUAUUUAAUUAGGGUUAGUUAUGGAAUCAUACGAGAUUUAAAAAGUGAAAAGCUAAUACUUAAUUUGAAACCAUAAGCCUACAAAAUAAAUAGGUGUAGAGAGUUAUUUUAUGGCUUGAAGUAGCAACAUCAUUUUAAAAAAUGCAUCAAGACACUUUUGUUCUUAAUUAUAAUACACUCUUAUCUUUUUUUUUUUCACAAAAAUACUCUUACAAUAUUAUUUUUAGAGAUAUUAAUGGCAAAAAUGUGAAUUUUUUAAAUUAGCCUUAUAAGUAAAAUAAAAAUUAUUACAAUUUUUAUUUUACUUAUUUUACUUUUAUGAUUGAUUUGAUAAAUUAUUUUUUUAUAAAAAUUAGUAAGAUUGAUGUACGGGUAUUAGACAUUAUUUUAAAUAGGUUGGUUUUAAUUUAUUUAUUGCUAGCAAGAUUAUUGUAAGGAUUAAAAAAAUACCAAUUGUUUCAUACUGAUAUUUAUUUUUUAAUUUAUUAAUAAGUAAUUUACUAAAUUAACUUUAAUUUACUAAAUUAACUUUUUCUUUCAAAAUUUGUACAAUCUUUUGAGUUUGUUCUCCAUGGAGUGUGGUGAUAUUUAUAGCGCAAGUACUACUUUACAUAGAAGUACUUCUAGAUGUUAUCAAAAAAAGAAAAAAAAAAAAAGUACUUCUAGAUGGAGAAUGUCUUCUGAGGGUGCAGUGGAGUAAUUCUGCCAGUGCUCAUCGAAGCGCAGUUGUGUGAGUACUACCAUUAAACAAAUCCUAUUAUGUUAUCAUAAUUUGUUGAUUGAUGAAAUAGUUACUGACGCAACUUAAAAAUAAUUUAUAACUGUGAAAUAAAGUUUAUUAAGUCGAUUCAUAAAGAAAAGAUUUAAUUUAUUAUUAUUUUUAAUUUAUCUAAAAAAAAGAAUUUAAAUUCACGCUAUUUAAUUUAGUAAAAUGAUGAAAAUAAAUUAGUUAGGGUUAUGAAUCUACUCUUAGUGGUAAAUAUAAUUUAAUAAAUUUUUUAUUUUUAUUUUUUAUUAUCCAAAAUAUUAAUUAUAUAAAUUAUCGUUAUUUUUCCAUUAAUUUUAUUAUGGAUUAAAUACUUAAUGUGCCAAAAUUCAGUUUAUCUACAACAAGUUAAAAUGCUAUUUUACCAUACUUUAUACUAAGAUAUUAAGAAUUUAUUGUGCCAAAACUCCUUUUUUUGUCUACAAUAAAUCACAAUUUUGAGAUAUAAAACAUGGAUGAAAUUAAAUAGAAAAUAAUUUAAUUUAUAUAAUUAAAAAUUAAAUUUUAAUGAAAUUAUAUUUUUCUACUAAGAGUUUUACUUUACCCUAACUAUUAGUGCUAUAGCCAAACAUAAUUGAAAAAAAUAAUGAGAAAUUAUCUACCGUCCACCCGUUUUUUCACUGUUUUUCAAAAAUACACAAAUCUUUUUUUUUUUUUACAAUGCUCCGCCUGAAGUAAAUAUUUUUUUUCAUUGGUCCACUCUCGUUAUAUCACCAUUAGAACUUUACUGACAUCAUAAGGGUAAAAUUAUCAUUUCACAACGACAGAGUAGUGGAAAGGUGAAAAACGACCUAACUUCAAGUGGAGUUCAGCCAAAAAAAAAAAAAGAAAAGAAAAAGAAUUGUGUAUUUUUGAAAAAAUACAAAAAAAUGGUGAUCGGUGGAUAAUUUAUUUUUUACAUUUGAAGGUAAAAAAGUCAUUUACACAAUAUUCCAUUAGUUUUCUUAAUGGUCUCCAAAUGAAAGUGGAAAGGUGAAAAGAAAUGUAAUUUCAUAUAGAUUCUAGCAAAAACAAAAUUGUGUAUUUUUGAAAAAGUUAGAAAAAACAGGUAGACGGUGGAUAAUUUUUCAAAAAUAAUUAUUAAAAUUAAAUUAUACAUAAUUUGAAAAAAUGGUAUUUAAAAAUUGGAAAUUAAAUUAAAUUUAUUUGAUGAAAAUAUAUUACAAAACAUUAAAACAUAUUUAAGAUAGAGAGAAGAGGAGAAGAAUUUGGAAAGAAAUAAGUGAAGAAAUGUGUAGAGAGGUGUGUUCCCCCAUAUGUUUUAUACUAAUUCAUGAUUAAUCCAUGCCACACACAUAAAUAAAGUCAAUUAUAUUAUGGCCAUACAUUUAUUCCACUAACCAAAGUAAACCUAACUCAAUUCAUUCAAGCACACCCAACUCAUUCCACUAACAAUUACUACAUUUAAUAUGAUAAAAACUUAUAAUUUCACAAUUACCACACUUAAAAAUGGAAGAAAAAACUUAUAAUUUCACAACAAAAGUUAUGAAUCAUACCUGAUGAUGACCUAACUUUUUGGACCUCUGGAACCGAAAUUUGACAUUCAUUCAUUUGUUUGAAGUAUCGAAUUGCAUAAAAUUAUUAUUUUUACCUAAUAAACCGUAAAAUCCACUAGAUUAAAUAUUUAAAAAUGUAAUUAGAAAUUUACAAUAUGUUAUAUAAUUAUAAAUGUAAAUUAAAACAUAAGUACAAAAUAACAAUUUUACCCCUAGUGGACAUACAACUUUUAACACUAAUUAGCUACUAAAGAGAAAUUCCAGUAUAAAAUAUAUAUGUUAAAUCACUAAUUACUCUAACGAAAAUAACUUGUAAAUUUUGUAGAAUAAUCAUGCUCAAGUGCGAAUCUCCACAUUUUAUAAAGUGAGGAUUCAUUUCUUACAUUAUUAUAAUAAACUGAUUCAUUUUGUACAUAAAUGUAAAAGUAUUUUUCAGUGUUGUAAAGGUUUUUUAUAUCGAUAUAAAAGGGCGAAUCUAAACUUUAUAAAAUAUGGACACCCGCUCCUUAGUAUCAUCAUGUUUAUGAAAAAAAGAGAGUAAGAUAGAAAUAAUACAAGAAUACCACAAGCAAAUAAAUGUACCUUAAACAAAUGCAUGCACAUUGAUCUAAAGAUAGUGAAAAAAUUUAACCAGUGAAAUGAUCGAUGGAUUAUUGACCAUUGGGUCGAUUAAAGGGGUUGAUCUCCCCGACCCUAGUUGUUUUUUAAUAAUUAAUAACAACAAAUUAUUUAGAUUAUAGGGUAACUUUUACCUGAUGAUCAGGUUAUAUAUUUUCAUUUAUGCGAGAGCUCUAAAAUUGAAAACAGUAAUUAUUUGUUAAAAUAUUGCAUUUACCCUUCGGCCAUAUGUUUUUGCUGAUAUUGUUUUAACAAACGUAAUAAAAUGAGAUAUUACAAAUUUAUGCGCUAAAAAUGAUCCUGCAAAUUCUCAUUCUCCCUUUAAGAGUUUAAGUUUUGAAUUCAUGUUUAAGACGUUAGAAUAUCAGAGUAAGUACAUCACCUUGCAUUACUUAUGCAAAUUAAAUUCUAGAUUUUAAUGAUAGAACUAGCUAGUCGAUUAAUUCUUUGCUUUGAUUUUGAUAACAGAGGAUUCCAAUAUGGUAGAGAUGGUUCGAUUGGAUAUGUCCAGUAUCUUGGAGAGAAAUAUAUUGGAGUCCCCACAUAAUAAUAAUAAGGGUGCCUCUAAGUUACGUUAAGCGUAACUUACGUUUUUUGUCUUUUUUCUUCUGGCGAAUUUCACACGAGUCCUUGUAUUCUUUAUGUUUAUGGAUGUAUUUGCCUUCUUUUAUCAAUUAUACAUCUAUUUUUCAUUCUUUCCAAUGUUCUUUUUAUUUUUUUAAAUAAUAACAUACGAUUAUCAAAUGGCCAAACCUAGGUUACGUGUAACGCAACAUACAUUCAAGAAGUGAAAUAUCUAUUGGCACCCUUGAAUUUUAUGGAAACUACAUUAAUUGAAUUAAAAUGGUAAAUUAAAAUAUCAAAUGGUAUCUAUUAAUCAGAAUUAAUCAGAGUAUAUGUUGAUAAUGCCCUUUAAUCAGAAUUAAUUCUUAGGAAUGAUUUUAACGGUAAUUCUGAAAGCUAUUGCAUGUUAAUUUUGAAGUCUGUCAUGUAUAUUUUUUAUAUUUUUUAUAUAAUUUCUCUUUAAUUUAAUUAUAUAAUUAAAUUACAUGCAAUAAACCUACAAUUCAAGACUAGGAUUAAUAAAUUUAGGACCAGAAGUUUAUUCUGAAUUUAUAGAUUUGUAUGAAUUUGAUAAUCAUUUAAUAAUGUUUAAAGAAAUAAAUAAAACUUUAGAGAAAAUAAAAAAAUCGAUAGGAGGGAUGGAAGAAGACAAAUACAUCCACAGCUGUAAAAAUUGAAAAUAAAAAGAAUUAGGAGGGCUCAUAUGAUAUUUGCCAAAAAGAAAAAGACAAAGAACGUAAGGUACAUUGAUUGUAACUUAGGCGUUCCCUAAUAAUAAUAAUGUUCUAGUUACAUGAGCUUAUGUCGGCAAUUUUUCUUUUAAUUAAAAUUUAGAUAGAUCUAAAUUUGACUAAAAUUUUAAUAGAUAGAUAAGUUUUAGUUAAUAAUGUUUAUAUGUAAAUAAUUAUUUUUAUGCAUUUAAAUUUAACGACAAGUCAAAAAAGUGCAACUGAAGUUUAUUGAUAAAAUUAUUAAUUAAAUCGAAAAACAGGCGCAGUCAGAACAAGUAAACAAACGGAAUGACUAACACGAAGUUAUAAGAAGUUUUUAGUCAAAAGCAAAGACAGAAAUCUCUGGACAUCCUAGAUCUUUUUUUCUAAAAUUUAAUUUUAUCCUAAUUAAUUUGAUAAACAAUUUGAUACACGUAUCAUUUAUUUAUUAGAUGAUAAAUUUGUAUAUGUUCUAAACGAAUUUAUUACGUUCAACAUUCAUUUGAUGAAUAAUACAGGCCAACUAAUUAAAUUUGCGAUAAAAUUUUUUAUUUCUUUUUUUUUAAUAAUUUCGUUGCCAAAAAUUAUUUAUUUGGACUAUUGGCACCUAAAUCCGCUCUCACCUUAGGAUUCGUACCUCGUAUUUCCUAUUUUCAACCAAAAAAAAUUUCCAUCUGAAUUAUUUGACACCCACUAAAAUUUGCAAUACUUCAACUUUAUUCAAAGUAAAAAUUAUCAAUAAAAAAAUUACAGUGAUAUUGAAAAGUACUUUCAAAUUUUAUUAUCUUUUUUAGUAUUGGAUGAAUUGGAAAAUGGGAACUAAUAAAAUUAUCCUAUUCAUCACAUGAACGGUAAUAUCAAACACCAAAACUGAAAGGUGCUUUCAAUUUGGGCAGACGAAUCAAUUAGCACCCACGUGUAGCUAAGUCGAAUUAGUCACUCUCAUUUGCAGUAAAGAAACGUGUAACUUCCAGAUUUUGGAUCAAUCAUGAAUAUGACAACUGCCCAUGUCGUCCGCCAUUUUAUACGGUAUCAUUCUGAAAAUAUUUUAACAUUUAUUGAUGAUAUAUAUGUAGCACAUUGCAGAUUAAUUACUGUAAAAAGCAAUACCUAUACCUGUUCUUGGACGUGCGAUUGUGGAAAAGUGAAGCACUUUUCUGGGUUUUGGUGCGCUUUAGCUAAUUUUAGUUAUAGCCUGAGUUAUUAUGGAGACUGGUGAUAUUUACAGGGCAAGUACUAGCUUACGUAGAAGCACUUCUGGAUGGAGAAGCACGUCUGGGGGUGCAUUUUCUAGGUCUUUAAGAAGAGAAGAGGAGGAGGAGGCUCUAAAAUGGGCUGCUCUUGAGAAAUUGCCUACUUAUAAUCGACUGAAGAAAGGAAUACUGAGCACUUCCAGCGGACAUGCUAACGAAAUUGAUGUGGACGAUCUCGGACUGCAGGAAAGGCAGAGGUUGAUUAAUAAGUUGGUCAAAGUCGCAGAUGUUGAUAAUGAGAAGUUCUUGCUGAAGCUCAAGAAUCGCAUUGAUAGGUACAAAUUUUCCUUUCUCAGCUUAGAUUCAAGUGCAAUGCUUUUUCCUUUUUGUUUCAUAAGAAAAAAACUUUGCCCCCUUCGGGGCUGCAUGCAAAUACACUUUUGGAUUUGCAGUCAUUCAAAUUCGAGUGAGAGAUAUGUCACAUCCCCAUUUAAAACAUUUUGAAAAAAUAAACAAAUUUAUGGGUUGCACAAGCGUCUUCAUGAAAGUGGCCUACUCCCAAGAGAUUAGAGUUUUAGCCCAUUUUUCUUUUUAUUAUUUAGUCUCACAUACUCAUAUGAAUGGAGUUUAAAAUCUACUGCUUGUUCUCAACACAACAGAUUUACUAUUUCAACCAAAUGGCAGCCAUUGAUUUUAACUGAAAUUAAAUACAAUAAAACCUCUAUGAAUUAACACUCAAUAAAUUUAUAAUAAAACCUCUAUGAAUUAACACUCAAUAAAUUAAUAAUCUCCAUUAUAUGAUAAAUUUUCACGGUCCCGAUUUAGGUCAAUAGACUAAAUUAAUAAUUUCGAUAAAAUAAUAAUAUAAUACUUUUCUAAAAAAUCUUAUAUAACUUUGUGGUCUUAUUCAAAUUAUAAAUUAAUAAUUUACUGAAAUUACAAAUGUAGUAAAUAAUAAUAAAGUUAUUUAGUUACAUAAAAUAUAACUUUAUUAUUAUUUUUUAAAAAUUUAAAUCUAAUUAGAUCUCAUUUUUAAUUUUUCUUAUUGCAUCUAAAAGUUCUGAAGUUGACUUCUCAAAUUAUAGUAAGAAAUCAUGAAAUAUUAUUGAUAUAUAUCAAUUGAAUUAUAAAUAAUUCUGUAAAUUAAUAUAAUUUCUCUUUUAAUUAAUAGAUUUUAUAUGCUCCUAACCUAUUAUAUUCUACUUAUAUUUUAUAUGCUCCUAACCUAUUAAUAUAAUUUCUCUUUUAAUUAGUCUACAGAAGUUCUACUUAUAUUCUUUUUAGUUUUUAUUUUUGUAGUUUUGGUCCUACAAAUUUACUGUUUUUAUAUUGCCUUCCAAAUCUGUUACUUUUAUUAGGAUGAUGUCACUCUUGUCUAAACAAAAUACCGCAUAGACCAUACAGUUAAUGGCGAAUCCAGCAAAAAAAUUAUUCAGGGCUAAAAUUAAGCAAUAACAGGAUGUAAAAAUUGAAACUUGAAAAUAUAAAAUACUUGUUCAUCUCCCAUCCGAUUUUUAAUUGGUGCCGAGAUGAUGAAAAGAUAAAUCCACCCGGCGGUUCAAGUCCCAACCCAACAAUAAUUAAAUAAAUCACACCAUAUCCCUUUGCUUUCUUCACGAACGCUGAGAGUAAACAGAGAAGAAGCUCGAAUGCCUGCAGCUUGCCGAACUAUUGUGACUGAAAGUGUGACACCCGUACUUCUAUUCUUGGAAAUUGGAAAUGUUUUGGGCUGUGGGCUAUUUUUUGUUUCGUCAAAAUGUGGCUAAAAAUUCACAUUAAUGCAAAUAACAUAAAAAAAAAAUCUGGAUUUUCUGUAAUUAUUUAUUUGAAAGUGGGUUGUGCAGUGUGCUUGCACAAAUUGUGUGGAAAAUGUCACCUAAUGAAAGCGUGUCGUCAUAAUUUGAAUUUGUUCCGUAAAUUUUCUUGCACUAAAAAAUCUGGGCAGUUGAGUUUCUGGUUUUUGAAGCUCCUGUUUUCAUGCGUGUUGUAUUUCAAUUUAAGUUAUGAUUUAGUUUCUUCUUGGAUUUUCUCAGAGUUGGAAUUAGCCUUCCCACAGUUGAAGUUCGAUUUGAGCAUUUAAAUGUUGAAACAGAAGCAUAUGUAGGAAGUAGAGCCUUGCCAACAUUCUUUAACUACUGUGUCAACACGAUCGAGGUACCCACCUGCAAGCACAAAUUAUUAGCUUUUAUAAAAUUAGUUUUGUUAAGUUUGUUAAUUUCUCUGCUCAACUUCUUAAUUUUAUUAAUUUCUCUGCUCAAUUUGUACCAAUGUGUAUAUGUGUUUGAAGGGUUUGUUGAACUCUCUGAAUAUCCUUGCUAGUAAAAAGAAACACUUGACAAUUAUCAACGAUGUCAGUGGAAUCGUAAGGCCAGGCCGGUGAGAAUUUAGAACUGAAAUAAUUUCGUUAUUUUUUUAAUAUAUCCUUCAACUUCAUAGCAAAUUUUGAAUAUAUGGGCAGUCUUUAAUUUCUUAUUGAUAUUUUUUUUUUCUUUCGGUACAGAAUGACAUUGCUUUUGGGUCCUCCAGGUUCUGGAAAGACCACACUUAUGUUGGCUUUGGCAGGGAAGCUUGAUUCUAGUCUAAAGGUUAUUAUUUCAGAGGGAUUUGGCUUUUGGCACUGUCUUACAUUCUUUGGUUUUAUCUCUAAUUGGAGAAUCGAAAUGUGUCUUUCUAGGCGUCUGGGAAGGUGACAUACAAUGGCCAUGACAUGCAUGAAUUUGUACCUCAAAGAACAGCUGCUUAUAUCAGUCAACAUGAUAUUCAUAUAGGAGAAAUGACCGUGAGGGAAACCUUGGCUUUCUCUGCUAGAUGCCAGGGGGUUGGAUCCCGCUACGGUCGGUUUCAUUUUUCUUUUUCCCCUUAAUUUCUUUCUUUCACUUUUGGAUAAGCAUCAAAGGUCAGUGCUUUUGCGACAUGCAGACAUGUUAGCUGAGUUGUCCAGAAGAGAGAAAGCAGCAAAGAUUAUUCCUGAUGCUGAUAUUGAUGUCUUCAUGAAGGUGAAAGAGAGGCUACCCGUAGCAUUUAGCCAAGUAGAAAAUAUUAGACUACAAUCCAACAAGUCUUAUUUAUUUAUUUAUUUAUUUUUUGUUGUAUCUAAUAAAAUGUAUGUGUUUUCUUUUUUAAAACUUGUCUUCAAUCUGGAGUUUCUAUGACUUACAUUGGCCAUUAUCAUGUAUUAGGCUGUGGUAAGAGAGGGCCAAGAAGCAAAUGUGAUCACAGAUUAUAUUUUAAAGGUAUCAGCAUUAUGAAUCACUUUAAAUUUAUGAUUUUUUUUUUUUUGGGCAGCAUUAUGAAUCACUUUAAAUUUAUGAUUUUUUUUUUUUUGGGUGAAGAAUUCCCAAUGUUAUGUCACUAUUUUGAUCAAUUUUCUUCAUAAAUUUACAGGUUCUCGACUUGGAUGUCUGUGCUGAUACCGUAGUAGGGGAUGAAAUGUUAAGAGGCAUAUCAGGAGGACAAAGAAAGCGUGUUACAACAGGUAGAUGCAAAAUAUUGUCGAUUAAUUACUGUAGAACAGAGAGAUAAAAAGUUCUUACUGUCCAUUUAGAUUUAAACAUGUGAGAAUUUUCAAUAAUUGUAUUACAGGUGAAAUGCUGGUUGGACCAGCACAUGCACUUUUCAUGGAUGAGAUAUCUACCGGUUUAGACAGCUCAACAACUUUUCAUAUUGUGAAUUCUCUCGGGCAGUUCAAUCACAUCCUUAAUGGAACAGCUCUUAUCUCUCUCCUGCAACCAGCACCGGAGGUUUAUAAUCUAUUUGAUGACAUUAUCCUAGUAUCUGAUGGGCAGAUUGUGUAUCAGGGUCCCCUUGAACAUGUGGAACAGUUUUUUAUAUCCAUGGGAUUUAAAUGUCCAAAAAGAAAAGGCAUUGCGGACUUCUUGCAAGAAGUAGGUGCCUUUAAAGCUCUUUUUAUGAUUUUUCCAAUAACAGAAACAAGAUAUAAAUUUAUUUAUUUUUCUUAAAGGCUGAGCUUUAUUUAUCUGAUUUACCAUCUAAAUAUACAUUUGACAACUGAGAUGACCAACUACUCAUUAAAUCUCAGUGAAUAAUGAAUAUGAUUCAGGUUACAUCGAGGAAAGAUCAGGAGCAGUAUUGGGUGCGUAACGAUGAACCCUACAGGUUUGUCACGGUCAAGGAGUUUGUUCAUGCAUUCCAAUCAUUCCACGUGGGACGGAAACUUGGUGAUGAGCUUGGAAUUCCAUUUGACAAGAAGAACAGCCAUCCAGCUGCUUUGACUACUAGAAAGUAUGGUGUUGGCAAGAAAGAACUGUUGAAAGCUUGCUUCUCAAGAGAACAUUUGCUGAUGAAGAGGAACUCUUUUGUGUACAUCUUCAGGCUCACUCAAGUGAGUAUUAACUCUAUUUUCAAUUGUUUCAAUCUUUUAUUUAUUUGUUUAUUUAUUUUUUUAAGGAUGAUGAUUUAUUGAAUUUUCCCUACUACAAGGUCAUGUUCUUAGCAGUGAUUGGUAUGACAAUCUUCUUAAGAACGAAGAUGCACCGAGAUUCAUUAACUGAUGGUGUAAUUUACACUGGCGCCUUGUUCUUUAUCCUUACAACAAUCACAUUCAAUGGAAUGGCUGAGAUUUCUAUGACCGUAGCAAAGCUUCCUGUUUUCUAUAAGCAAAGAGACCUCCAAUUCUAUCCUUCAUGGGCAUACGCUCUUCCCGCAUGGAUCCUCAAGAUCCCCAUCUCAAUUGUAGAGGUUUCUGUUUGGGUAUUUAUGACCUAUUAUGUAAUUGGUUUUGAUUCCAAUGCUGGAAGGUAAGAAGAUAAAAACAAAAUCCUAAACUUUGUAGGAGCUGCUGAAGAUUUUGUUACAUGUUUAAUAUCAAUUGACCCAACUAUUUACAAGGUGGUUAUGUUUGCCGCAGGUUUUUCAAGCAGUACUUGUUGCUCUUGAUUGUCAACCAGAUGUCCUCUGCAAUGUUCCGAUUAAUUGCAGCAGUAGGCAGGAGCAUGGUUGUUGCUAAUACAUUUGGUUCACUUGUAUUGCUCCUACUUUUUGUACUAGGUGGAUUUGUCCUUUCACGAGGUAUAAGAAAUGAAUAAGUUGAGAACAAAAACAUCGUUUUUUGUCAAAGUUUUAACCAAAAUUAUUACUUUUCUUGUUUAGUAAGUUGAGAAUAGAAUCAUCAUUUCUUCUCAAAGUUUAACAAAAAUUAUUACUUUCCUUGUAUAAUGAUGCAGAUGACAUAAAAAAAUGGUGGAAAUGGGGUUACUGGUGUUCACCUUUGAUGUAUGCGCAGAACGCAAUAGUGGUUAAUGAAUUCCUUGGUAACAGUUGGAAAAAGGUAAUGCCUCCAAUGUGCUCUGUAUUAUUUUAUUUAUCUCGUAAUAAUGUGCUAAUGUCUUCCUUUUAUAUAAAGAUUUUGCCAAACAAAACCAAACCACUCGGAAUUGAAGUUUUGGAUUCUCGUGGGUUCUUCACUGAUGCUUAUUGGUAUUGGCUGGGAGUAGGGGCUCUGACUGGUUUUAUUAUACUGUUCCAAUUCGGUUUCACUCUGGCUCUAAGUUUUCUCAACCGUCUGUAUCUGUACAUUAUUCAGUUUACUUACUUCUAAAAUUGACUGCUUCUGAUCUAAAUUUUGAAAAGAUGUGCAGCAUUUGGUACGAGUAAGGCUUUUAUAUCAGAGGAAUCUCAGAGUACUGAGCAUGAUAGCAGAACUGGGGGAACAGUUCAGUUAUCAACCUGUGCAAAUAGCUCAAGUCACAUAACUCGCUCAGGUCAUAAAGCAAAAUUUGAUACUUUUGAGGAAGCAUGAAAUAUUUGGUGUUGCCCUGUGAUUACAGUUGAUUAUUUUAAAAUGCAGAGAGUAGGGAUUACAUUAGGAGGAGGAACUCCUCUUCCCAGUCCCGGGAAACAACCAUCGAGACCGACCAACCAAAGAAUAGAGGAAUGGUUCUUCCAUUUGAACCGUUUUCCCUUACUUUUGAUGAAAUUACGUACUCUGUUGAUAUGCCACAGGUAACACUAUGUUGGAAACCAAGGGAUAUAUUUCAAUAGUUUGAUGACACCUAGAUUAAGUAUUACAUUUUCAAUACAUGAUGACUAAUUGGUUUGAUUUAACUUUGAAGGAAAUGAAACGUCGAGGUGUUCAUGACGACAAAUUGGUACUUCUAAAUGGUGUAAGCGGUGCUUUCAGGCCUGGUGUUCUCACAGCUCUGAUGGGUGUAACUGGUUCUGGUAAAACCACACUGAUGGAUGUGUUGGCUGGUAGGAAAACUAGGGGAUAUAUUACUGGGAACAUUACAAUAUCUGGGUACCCAAAGAAGCAAGAGACAUUCACUCGCAUUUCUGGAUAUUGUGAGCAAAAUGACAUCCACUCUCCUUAUGUUACUGUAUACGAGUCCUUGCUCUACUCGGCCUGGCUUCGUCUAUCCUCUGAAGUAAAUUCCAAAACUAGAGAGGUUGGUAUUGAAAUCCCUUGGUGUUUCAGACUUGCUGUCAUUUUUUCUUCACGUAUCAUUGGGAGUUUAAACAGUUUGAGCCAAUUGAGUUAUCUGGAAGAGAAGCAGCCUGAGUUGUAGAAUCCACUGUUGGAUAUUUAUUGUUUCGUCCGUGGUUUACAGAUUUUUGUUGAGGAAGUCAUGGAACUUGUGGAGCUGAACCCUUUGAGACAAGCACUGGUGGGUUUGCCAGGUGUAAAUGGUCUAUCAACGGAGCAGCGUAAGAGGCUUACUAUUGCAGUUGAGCUCGUGGCAAAUCCCUCCAUCAUAUUUAUGGACGAGCCAACAUCUGGGUUAGAUGCAAGAGCUGCUGCAGUUGUUAUGAGAACUGUUAGGAACACAGUGGACACUGGAAGAACGGUGGUAUGCACAAUCCAUCAGCCAAGCAUUGACAUAUUUGAAGCUUUUGAUGCGGUAAGAAGUAUUAAUACUGGAUCAAAGGAGUUAAGUUUUUCUCUUUCUGUGACAUGAUUAUGAUUAUUUAACUUGAAAAUGCAGCUGUUCCUUCUGAAGCGAGGGGGACAAGAAAUAUAUGUUGGGCCAUUGGGUCACCAUUCUAGCCAUCUUAUCAAGUAUUUUGAAGUAGGACAUAAUUGAUCAUUUUCCAAUUAUAAGCAAGGAAAAUUUAACUAGCAGUGAGAUACAUAUAUUACAUUAUGAAACUAGCUAAUGCACAUACAAUUUCUUUUUUAUGAAGGGAAUUCCAGGGGUUAGUAAAAUUAGAGAUGGUUAUAAUCCAGCAACUUGGAUGUUGGAAGUUACUGCUCCAUCACAAGAAAUAGCUUUGGGAGUUGAUUUUGCUGCCAUUUACAAAAGUUCAGAACUCUACAGGUUGAAUUGUGAUACUCUGCUAGAACCCUUUCAACAGAAUGCCAAAGUGUUUUUUUUUUUUUUAGCUGAAAAUUGACAUUGAUCUAUGCCAUAUAUGUCAGGAUAAACAAAGCACUCAUUCAAGAAUUAAGCAAGCCUGCACCGGGUUCUAAGGAACUCUAUUUUGCUAAUCAGUACCCACUGUCAUUUUUCACUCAGUGUAUGGCUUGCUUGUGGAAACAACACUGGUCAUACUCACGAAAUCCACACUACACUGCUGUUAGAUUCCUUUUUACGAUCUUUAUAUCUUUGAUAUUUGGGACAAUGUUCUGGGAUAUGGGCACUAAAACGUGAGUCACAUUAGGAAAUUGAAGCAUUAUAUUUAAUUAUUAUUUCAAAAUCUUGUAGUUUCAUCUGCCUACUAAUCAUAAUUUUGAGAUUUCUAAUUAUAGGACAAAGCAACAAGAUCUGUUUAAUACAAUGGGCUUCAUGUAUGUUGCCGUUUACUUCCUUGGUGUCCUAAAUGUUUCGUCAGUGCAGCCAGUAGUAGAUCUUGAAAGAUCAGUCUUCUACAGAGAAAAAGGUGCCGGAAUGUAUUCACCCAUGGCAUAUGCCUUUGCACAAGUAAUCUUCACAACAGAUGACAUGUUUUGAAAUGUAAAAUUCGUUCUGUUUCUUUACUGAACAUUUUAGUAUUUCCUGCAGGUUUUAAUUGAGAUCCCUUAUAUAUUUGUUCAAGCUGCACCAUAUAGUCUUAUAGUCUAUGCAAUGAUUGGAUUCGAAUGGACUGCCGCGAAAUUCUUUUGGUUUUUAUUCUUCAUGUUCUUCAGCUUGUUGUACUUCACAUUCUUUGGCAUGAUGCUUGUGGCUUGGACGCCAAACCACCACAUUGCUAGCAUUGUAUCAACUUUAUUUUACGGAUUAUGGAACAUCGUUUCAGGGUUCAUUAUCCCCAGAACAGUGAGUAUCGACUUUCCAUUACUCAUACAAUUAAAUUCUUCUUUUGCAUAGCUAACAGAAGAUUGAAUGACUAAUUCUUUCAUUUCAUCUUUCGAGAUAACAGAGGAUUCCUGUAUGGUGGAGAUGGUCCUACUGGGCAAACCCUAUAGCUUGGACAUUGUAUGGAUUUUUUGCAUCACAGUUUGGAGAUGUACAAGAUAGGCUUGAGUCAGGUGAAACAGUGAAACAGUUUUUGAGAAGUUAUUAUGGCUUCAAACAUGAUUUUCUAGGAGCUGUUGCAGCUGUUGUUUUUGUAUUGCCAUCGCUUUUUGCUUUUGUCUUUGCUUUAGGAAUUAGGGUGCUUAACUUCCAAAAGCGAUAGAAAAUUUUUUUUUUUCCUAUAAACUUUGCACGUUGGAUCAUCAUCUCUGUAUGUAAAAGGAUAGUUUCAAGUUCUUGUACUUCGAAGUUAUAUAAAUAAUGCCCAUGGCAUUUGAUUAAUGUCAACGCAAUUAACGAGUUCAUCAACCUUGGAAUUGUCCCGGACCCAGAGAGUUGGUCUUUCAAAAGCUGUACCACACGUGAAUUAAUAAAGGUAGUAAUAAAUGACUGAAAUAAAAUUUUGUCUAUAUGUACUGAUAUAAGUGACCGGUCCGAAAACCCAAAUUUUAUGAUAAAUAGUAUUAAAAUUAUAUAUUAUUUUAAAUUAUUAUAUUUACUUAGCCACCAACAACUUAUAUUUGAAAUUUUAAAUUUUAAAAUUCAUAUUUUCAAGUGUAAUUUCAUUAAAUUAAGUUUUCAAAUAAUUAAAAAAUAUGUAAAAAAUUAUAAAACAUAAAAUCCGAGUUUUUUAUGCUCGGAUGAAAAAGUUUGGUCCAGUGUCAAGCUUUUUAAGCCCGGUUUAGGUGUUCUAAAAAUAUGUCCAGACAGGAUUCGAGCACUGCCAUAACCAAGACUGGUCCAAGGUUUUGCCAUGUCUAAUAUAUACAAAAAAAUUUCAGUCCAGACUUAAAAUGUGGACGAGUUGCAAUGCUGUCAAUAGAUUUUUACAACAUUAUAAACUAUUUGACAAUGUUGUUUUUUUUUUUUUUAAUACAUAAGACUAUUGCUCAACUCAUAUUACAUAAGACUAACUGAUAUUUACAAAUUAGACUAUUACUGGGACCAACUUACAUCAAUGCUAAUAGAGCGCACUGCCCAAAUUUUAACCCUCACAAAUAUUCGAGAGAUGUCUACUCCUCACACUUGAGUAAGGAAGAAGACUGCUUUUACUCAAAUUUAAUUAAAAAAUAAAAUACCCCCACAAUGUAUUUGUGGGGAUUCGAACUGCUGCCCUCCACUUGGAGGGUAGCAGCCCUGACCACUCGGUCGAGUGGUCAUUUGACAAUGUUGUUGAGCUAUAAAAAAAAAAAAAAGAAGGUUUACAGUAUCGUAAAUCUAUCCUGGGUUUUUAUAAUAUUUAGGAUUCUUGCAAAAUAUUUUUUAAUGUCGUAAAAUAUUUUGCGAGUUCGUAAAUUUGUAUAUCUGCAUGAAAAAUCGUGUGGAUAAUUGUACUUCAGAAUAAUUGUACAUAUAUAUAAUAUGAUUUGCAUUUCGCCCCCUCAAUUUUAGAUUCCUUUUCGUUAUGGCCUAAUUAAGUUUAUAGUCUUUUCAAUAUGGUCCCCAUCGAAAUAAAACUGUUACAAGUUUGUGAUCAGUAUGCUCAAAGCCUCAAAGCAAAGUUCUCACAACUGAGUCUUACAAGCACCGGGAUAAGAAUUCAAAGCCUGUAAGCCAUUGAUUCAUUGACCGUUUAGUUGAAGCAACUUCAGCUCCAAGUCGAUUGACAUGAACCGACAAUUAGAGAAUUAAAGCACCAAAUCUGUUUCCAUAUUGAUAUUUUUUUUUUUUUUUUGGUUAAGAAACAAAAGAUUACAUAAAGAACUAUAUUAAGUUGACACACACACACACAAACACAUAGAUAUGCACUGUUGAUGCUGAAAUCUGAACUAGUUGGUUAGAGACUCAAUAUCAGAUUCCUGCAUCAGCAUUAAAUUUGUUUGGUGGGAAGCUGUUGGUUGAUCUCUAAGAAUAUUCUCUGACUAUGAGCAGAACAUUCAUGAGCAUAUAAUCUUCAAGCUGACGAUCAAUAAGUACCUGAAAUUACAGAGAAUGGUCAGAGGUGCCGGAAGUUUUUCCGGCGUAAACCCUCCAACGCUCAAGUCAGUUAUGGGGUUUACAGGAAAAACCAAAUAUGCCAUUUUUCAUAUGGCUUAAUAAACAUUGCUUUAAAACCAAAAGCUUUUUGAAUAAUUUACAGAAAAGUAAAAUAGAGUAUCCAGAAAGGAUUUCUCUGUCAGAUCCAGAGAAAAAGAGCCCUCCCUUGGUGUGGUUUUCUCGGGGUUCACCUCAUAGCACCUGGCCGAGGUGAUCUGCUCCACCUCAUAGCACCUGGCCGAGGUGAUCUGCUCCACCUCAUAGCACCUGGCCGAGGUGAUCUGCUCCACCUCAUAGCACCUAGUUGAGGUGAUUUGCUCAAGCUCAUACCACAUGGUCAUCUGCUCAAGCUCACACCACCUGGUCAAGGCAAUCUGCUCAACCUCAUUGUACCUGAUCGGGGUGAUCUGAUCAAGCUCAUACCAUCUGGUCAAGGUGACCUGCUCAACCAUUUGCUCACUUUCACUUGGAGGAGAUCAUGGUCGCUCUAUUUAAUUCCUCAAACAUGCACCUCUUGGGGCCGGUUCUUUAACUGAAAUAGCCCCUUUUUGUACCUUAUUUUUUUAGUUGACCAGUAUAUGAUCCCUGUAAAAUCAAUUAAUUCUUUAAGCACCAACUACUUUAUAUGAUUGAUUUUUAUAGACAGGGUUUCACAACUUCACAAUGUGCAUACAAACCUCUAUGCGGUAAUACUCUUUUUUGCUAAUUUCAAUUACCUUUUAUAAAAUAAUAAUCUUUUAUAAAUCCUUCAAAUUAUUAUAAACUUCAAUUUAUCUCUAUUUUUAUUUAAAAGAUAAGAAAAAUAUGAAGGAGCAUUAUGAAAUUUUUUUUUUCUUAGUAAAGGUGGGACUAAGUUGAAGUUUAUAAUGAUUUGGGUACACUUUAAAAAUUGUCAGUUCAUGAGGGAUAAUAUGAAAUUUAUCCUUAUUUUAUUAAUUUCUUAAAAAUAAGUCAUAUUGAUUUUUUAUUUUCCCGGAAAAGCAGUCAUCCUCACGCGAUUUCUAAAGUCAAACUAUCUUUACCUUACAAUAAAUGUCAUUGUUUUUUUUUUUUUAACUCCACAAAAAGGUCAUUGUUAUUGCCUUGUUGGUGUCGAUGUUUAACAUAAAAAAUGAGAACUAAACUAACAUAAGAAAAGUGAAAUACUCUAAAAUACUCCUACUUUAUUUAUUACAAAGAUAAUUAAAGAUUAGUAAUUGUAGAGAAAAGCUUAUGACUUUUGUUAAGUUAUAGUGUCAGCAACUUGUAGCACGGCCAUUUAGGUUGCAUUUGUGGCAGCGCAGCUGCUCCCCAACCUAUAUUCUGAUGAAUAUUCCCCGAGAAUAAAAGGUGGGGAGCAGCUGCACUGCCACCAAACGCAUGUUUAGAAGGCGUUGCCUUAUUUUUAAUACCCAUACUUGCACAAAAUGAUUAGGCCAUAAAUUACUCGCUGUAACAUAGCAUGACCCAAAAGUUAUUUAGGAUGGUUUGAAACUUUCAAUGAGAUACCCAAUAAUUACAAGUCAUGGGUUUCAAAUUAUUUUUCUUACUUCAUUAUGAUUGAUCAACUUAAAGGGGCAAAAAAAUAUGUAUGUCUUGAGUUCUAUUAUGCUUUUUCUUGCACUCUUUAAAACUUCGGAUGAUGAGAUAAAAACUCUUAGUAUAGUGUAGGUAUUCGAGGAAUUGAAGAUCAUCUACUCAUUUAUUUUAUGUUGUUAUUAUUAUUAUUAUUAUUUUACAUAAAUAAGGAAGACAUCUUAAUAAAUUUUUGAAACAUAAAUAAGAGACAAGAUGAGUAAAGAAUGUGAAUCACCGAUUUGAACUCCGAUAAAAGUUCAAGAGAAUCUGCAUUUUGAAACGAUUGAAAAUAUACAUCACAAACUGACGAACACAAUCAAAAGCAAAAGUUUAUGAAUAUGAUGUGUUGUUAUAACGUGUCCAAAGGAGAGCACUGCUAAGAUUUGAUUUGUGAUCAGAUAAUAAAAAUAUAGCUAAUAUGCUUUUCAGGAGAGUUAUGAGGUCUAUGUAUAUAUAUAUAUAUAUAUAUAUACUGAAUCUUUCAUAGAAAAACAUUAAAAAAAAAAAAUGAUUAUGGCUUCAAAUUCAAUGCGGGGAAGUGAUGCGAGAGUUUCCUAAAUCGUAUUUUUUGAAGUCGCUGUCCUGUAAUGUGUUUUUUGUUUUGUCGAUAAUUUUGUUAAGGCAGCCAAAACUGAACAAGCUAAGCAUGGCCAUUCUCGCAAAAUUUUGCUAUCCCUAAUUUCAUUUGAUCCUUUUUUACUGUACAGCAAGCUGUUUAGUAAUUAAAAUACACUGUUGAAGGGGGAAAAAAUUAAAUUAAUUUGUUUCUCAAAAUAUUAGAUUUAAUGUUCAACAGUUUUUUUUUUAUGUGGUUGUUUUAGUGGUAGGGAUGCAAUAAGGUAUUAAAAGUUUAUCAAAGAAUUAGUAGUAAAAACAAUUUCUCAGAGGGACUAAAAAUGAUAUUCUUCCAUAUAUAAAUUUUGUUAUUUGACUAGCAGAGACAUCAAGAAAUAAAAGAAAAUUGAGACUACGAAUAAAAAAAUUUAUCUAAUUAAAGAAAACAAGACUAGGACGCCUUUUCAUACUAAUUUAAUCUUAAUUAAUUACACUCCUUGUAGGGCUAUAAACCCUUAAAAUACUCGCAUUCUCAAGUUUUGAGGAUUUGUUAUUCGACUCAAUUAUAGAAUAAAAGAAGUUCGAAAAAGGAAAAAACAAAAGGAAACGACAAUUAAAUUAAAGAAAUAAAAAUUCGAAAAGUUUUCGGAAUUAGCAAACCAUUCAACUUUGAAUUUGAGGAGGAGAAAAAAAAAACAGCGGAACAUGACAUGAACUCAAUUCGCAAGACUUUCGGUAUUUAUUCUCUUGCCAAAAGCUUCAAAAGCACAUAUACUAUUUGCUCAAAUUUAAUGUCUCCUAUGCAUAUGUCAUCAUGCAUCAUUAACUUCCCUAAUAUUAAAUUCUUUUAUUUAUAUUGUGAUCUUCUCGAGUUAGUUAUAUUUAUGUAUGUCUAGUCUUUAUAUAUAUAUAUAUAUAUAUAUGUACCCCAAAUUUUUUUUAUUUCUUUUUAACGCAUUGUAGUUUAGAUGUAAUAGAAAAAUUUUUAGACAUGUUGAUGCCGAAAUCCGGAUGAGUUGGUCAAAUCUCAGAUCCCUGCAUCAGCAUUAAAAUUGUUUGAUGGGAAGCCACUGAUUAGUUAGCACCAUGAGCAGAUUUUCUAUGAGCAGAUGUUCCAUGAGCAGACGAUCCAUGAGCAGAGAACUCAUGAGCAGACAACCCAUGAGCAGACCAUCCGAUCCAUGAGCAGAUAACCCGUGAGCAGACGAUCCAUAAGCAGAUAACCCAUGAGCAGACGAUCCAUGAGCAGAUAACCCAUUAGCAGAAAAUCCAUGAGCAAUCAACCCAUGAGCAGACGAUCCAUGAGCAGAUAACCUGUGAGCAAACGAUCCAUGAGCAGACGAUCCAAGAGCAGAGAACUCAUGAGCAGACAAUCCAUGAGCAGACGAUCCAUGAGCAGACAACUCAUGAGCAGACAAUCCAUGAGCAGACGAUCCAUGAGCAGAGAACCCAUGAGCAGACAAUCUAUGAGCAGAGAACCCAUGAGCAGACAAUCUAUGAGCAGAGAACUCAUGAGCAGACAAUCCAUGAGCAGAGAACCCAUGAGCAGAUAACCUGUGAGCCUGUGAACACAACCAAUAGUCAGGAGGUGCCGGAAGUUUUUCCGGCGAGAACCCUCCGACGCUCAAGUCAGCGAUUUGGGUCUUACUUGGAAAAACCCAUACCACAAUUCAUGUGGCUUAAUUAUGAUUGCUUUAAACAAAAAGCUUUUAAGUAAAUUUAAAGGAAAAGAAUUCAAAAUAAUCAAUCUUAAAGAAAUCACAGGCAAAAGAGAAAUUUCUCAGUGGUAGAGAGAGAAAAAGGUCCAAUGGGUUCAGUUGCUUAGAGAGAGAGAGAGAGAGAGAGAGAGAGAGAGAGAGAGAGAGAGAGAGAGAGAGAGAGAGAGAGAGAGAGAGAGAGAGAGAGAGAGAGAGAGAGAGAAAGAGCUAGAAGAAUCCCCCCCGUUUCCUUCCUUUUCCUAGGGUUUUUAUAGGAAACUAUAGCGGUUUUUAUCCACUCUCCUAGAAUUAUCAAGAAAACUACUAAUUUUCAGCUCACUAAGAAUAUGGUUCCUAAUAUUUCGGAGAAACUGUUUUGACUGAAUCGUGCUUCCUGGUAACUUCCUGGUCGAGGUGACCAAUAACAUCAUAGUCGAGGAAAUGUGCUCGAGGUCACCACAACAACAUCCUGAUCGAGAUGUUCUGCUCAACCAUUUGCUCACUUUUAUUUUGAGGAGAGCACGAUAAUGUAUGAGCAAACACAUUUAUUUUGGUCACCCUAUUUCAUUCCAUAAACAAGACAUGUAGAAAAUAAGGGAUACAUUAUGAAAAACAUUAAACAUGUAAUAAUUUUUUUUUGAAAUUAUACAUAAAACUUGAGAUGAUUCGGACAAUCAUAUAAAACAAUAAUCUUAAAUGCUUUACCGCUUUACGAUUAAAAGCACAACAUGAGUAAAACAUGCAGCCGGCUAUGAGAGAGUGCGAUUUGCCAAAAGUCUUAGAUUCUACAGGGCAGGAGCGAAGGAGGUAUAUGGUUAGAGAGUGCAAUGGUACCUAUAGAACUUGAAAAUUUUCCUUUGAAUUUGGCCUCAUGAAAUUUUAUUGUUAUUAGGCUAUUAGGCUUUGCAACCUAAAGCACAUUUAUUUAAUUAGGAGAGCCCAAUACCUAUAAAAUAGUGUAGAGGCAAAUUAGUAAUUUAGUUUUAUAACCCACAUAAUCAAUAUUUUGUUAGUAGGCUAGUGGCCUUUGUAACUUAGAGUAAGUUUAGUUAAUUAGGAGGGUCCAAUGCUUAUAAAAUAGUGCAUAAAUUUUCUCACUGGGAUGUGUGAUUAAUUGUGGGGAGCUUAUAAAAGCCAAACUAAAUUUGUUUUUAUAAUCUUGAUAUUAUUAUAUAAUGUAAAGGAUAAAGAGACCCAUAAUUGGUCAAAUAGUGUUAUUAUUUUGCAAUAUGUCACAAUUAAUCAAAUAAAAAAUAUAUAAAUAUAUUUAAUUUUGUUAGAUCAAAGAUAAAGACCGAUUGAAGACUUAGUCAAAGAAUGACGGUAUUAUUUUACACCAUGUCACAAUUAAUCAAACGAAAAAAAUAUAUUAUUUUCAUCUAACAAUUUGAUUAUAAGCUUUUGUUCUAUAAUGCUGGUAGAAUAGAAACAAAUCAAUCAAUUAAAUUUCCCGACACUUUUUGAAAUGCUUCAAUUCUAUAAAAUUUAGUUUGUCCAUACUUCUUGGAAAAGGGUUCCCUUCAUUUUCAUUUCAAUUCAACAAACAUGAAUGUAACAUUUAGCUUUUUAAUCAUUCGGAACCCAGGCAAGUGGCAUGGGAAGUGGAACUAAAUCCAAUUGAAGAAUGAUUUUUUUAAAUCAUUUUUGAAUUAAUUUAUUGUGUUAGUUAUAAUUCACAUGACUUGACAGUUGGUUCAUUUGAAAUAAUUUUUUGGUGAUAUGUAGCACUACUCUUAUGGCAUGUUUAAUUUGAAGAAAUAUAAGGAGAGAAAAGGAGUAGAGGGGAAAAAAUUAAGGGAAGGAAAAUAAAUUUCAUAUCUAACAAAACAAUGAAAAUGAGAUUGAUUCCCCUUUUUUUCUCUCAUUUUCUCUCCCAUUCUUUUCUUUUUAUUCCUCUCCUCUCCUACCAUUUCUUUCGACCGAACAUGGAAAAAUGAAUUCUAUGUCGAACCAAACAAUAAAAAUGAUAUUAACCCCCUUUUUCUCACUAAUUUUCUCUCCCGUUCUUUCCUUUCUAUUCCUUUUGUCUCCUACUAUUUCUUCCAACCGAACAUGGGCUUAGGAUAAAAGUAUGAGAUAAUGUUCAAGAAGCCUACUCUUAUUCUUUUUUAGGAAAUUAUCAUUUAUCUACCUUAAGGUUAUAAUAUCAUAAAAAUACUCUAAAAUUUUGAAUUUAUAUCAACCAUACACCGAAAAAAUAGAAUUACUCUUACAAAAUAACUGUUAAUAUAUUUUGCUUUUACUUUUGUUUGUCAUUUCGUAAGGGUAGUUAUACUUUUUUUAGUGGAUAGUUAAUGUAAAUUGCAAACUUUGGACUGAAAAUUGAACAAAUUCAGGCUUUUGUAAUAUUUUUUUAUAAGAUACUAAACUUAAGGUGGAUAAUUAAUAAUUUUCUUUCUUUUUCAAAAUAGUUAUAAUAAUAACUUAGGAGCUGUUUUUUUUUUUUUUACUUAAUUUCAAUCAGUUAAGUUAUUAAGUUUGUUUGUUUUUUCAAUUUAAUGAAAAUUUUCAGUCAUUAAGUUAUUAAGCUAAUUUUUUAAUUUUUUUUUGCUUAAAUUAAAAAGUCAGAAUGAUAUUAUUAAAAGAUAUUCUCCAAAAUAUCCUUAUCUAACUAAUUAUUUUUCAUCUAUACCUAAAUAAAAUUUAAUAAUUAGCGUUAUUACCAAUAUCUAUAACUUGUGAUAAUAUAGUAAUGGACUAUUAUUAUUUUUAUCUUUUUAUUUUCUUCAAAUUAGCAUUAUUUAUCUUCAUAUUUUUUAUGAAUAUUUUUCAUAUAAAAACAUCAUAAACUAAUAACAAAGUUGAUUAACAUAUACUAAUUUAGAAUAUAAAUGGUUGUAUUCAAUUAAAUAUGAUUUAUAUUAUGAUAAUAUAUUACCUUAUUUAAGUUCUUUGAGAUGUUUCUGUUGAUGCUGAAAUCUGAUCGCCUUUUACUCGACCAAAUCGUUCCACCAACGCUUGUGUGGUCAAUGGAGAAGAUACCGCCCUCUCUCUGCUUCAGCAAUUUCCCGAGCUCCUAGGUCUGAAUCAUCAUUUCUCUUCUUUCUAAGCCUGCGUUCACAAAAAUAUAUCAGAGACGCCGGUGGUUUUGCCGGCAUAAACCCUUCGAAGCUUAAGUUAGCACAAGGUGUUUACGGGAAAACUAUAUAAUUUAAAUUGUGUGAACUCCUUAUAAUGUUCUCAACCUCACGUAUCUCAAAGAUUUGUAUGGAAUGUAAUCUGGUUUCAAUUUGGCAGAGUUUUCCCUUCCCUCUCAAUUUCUAUGUCCCCUCUUCAUCGGUCUCUUGGCUUCUUAUAGCCAUCAUCCCAUGUUUUCUGAGUAUUCUUCAUGCCCCCUAUUUUUGGGUGAUAACAGACCCUCAUGGGUCUCCAACCACCGAAUCGUGGGUAAACGUGGGAUGUCACGUUCUCCCCGGCGGUUCGGGGCAUGGCGAAACUGCCGCGAUUUCGUGAGAUCGUGUCCUCUUUCUUUGGGUGAUGAGCAUCUGGUCGAUACGUAUCUCUGGUCGGUGCUCGUUUCUAGUUGGCACAUGCCCAUACACGAUGUUUUGCUAGGACUCUGCUCAUGCCAUUCAGCUGGGGAGAUUCGCCUCAGGGUGAGGGAUGAGGGCAUAGCUAAGCUGGUACUUUUCAUUACUCACAUAGUUGAGCUAGUCCUUUUCAUUACUCAAUAGUUUCUUAUUUUUUUAAUAUUUAUAAUUUGUAAUGGUAGAAAAGUAAAAAAAUUCAUUUUCAGAUUUUUAAGUUAAAAAAAUUUAAUAUUUGUUUUAAGCAAUUCAGACAAAGAAACAAAGGUAUCAUUUAGAUUCAGGUAUCCAGCUCUCACACUAAUUUAGGUCUAUUCAGAUUUCAGACAAAAAAACAAACGCCACCUUAGAUCACUUCUAAAAAAAUGUGAGUAGGGUUCGAACCUUAAACACUUGUUUUCACUCAAAAGAUUUAAACAAUUAAACUAACUGGCACCCACAAGUCAGUAUUGUUCUUAAACUUUCAACUAAUCAAAGUAAAACUGAAUUGGCUAUUAAAUAUUUAAUAUCAAUUCAGACUACAAGUAUAACUUAUGAUAUUGUGCAAUAGUAAUUUAGUUUUAUAACUUACAUAAUCAAUAUUUUAAAAUGAAAUCCAAUAAUUUACAAAAACUGUAUUUUAUACGAAAUAAAAAAUUCUUGAAGUUAAAAUUAUUUAUUUGCAGUUAUUUUGGCACUUUAUAAUGGUAAAACAAUAUAAUUAAACUAAUAUUAAAUCAACCUUAAUGGUAAAAGAUGUUUAGUCACAGAAAAUAAAUAAAGAAAGAAGGAUAUAACUGAUUAAUUGUCUAAACUUUUUCUUUGUUUGAAUUUUAAAUUAAUUUUAUUAAUUAUUUUUAGUUUAGAGUUGGCAAAAAUUAUGGGGGAGGGGGAUAUCAUCCCUGAGAAAUUAUUGGGCGACCACCUAAGUAUUGGACAAUAUUGAAAAAAAAAAAGAAAAAAAAACACUAAAAUUUUCAUAAACAUGGCACAAAAAUACUUAAAAAUUUAGCAAGUGUAUCCCCAAAUUACUUUUAUGUUAACCUUCAUUAUUGUAUUCCGACGUCACAAGGGUGAAUCUGAUCACCAUCCGCAGUUCUAAAUUUAGAGUGUUUAAACCUAAAAAUUACGUGCAUGCAAAGCAAAAGAGUCAAAUUCGGAUUUACCCACCCUGCUAAAUCCUGCCUCUAAAAGGACAGUAACAUUAGCGUCAUUUUUAGGAAUUCAAUACGUUGAAUCCAUUAUCUACGAUAAUGUAGAAUAAUAAUUUUUCAUUGUUAUGUUGUUUUGUUGCUGUUGUUGUAUAACGGUACGCGUUGACUUUGACAACAAUUUUUGGACGGCCACCUAUCGCUAGUUAUAAAACAAAAUGGCUCUUAAAAUAUGGUCGUCAUACUCAAAAUUUGGAAAGACGGUGCAAACUUCAGACAAAAUUUUCAAUCGCUCAAAAAGUUUUGAGUGAAUGUCUUAUGCACUAAUAUCGAAAUUAGUUGUUUGCAUAACCAGUUUAGAAUAAUUGUGGGUUUUGUUUGGCUUCAGUUGUAAUGGAGGGUGACAUUACAUACCGGCCUACUAGUUGUUUAAGUCCAAGUGCUUCUACAUGGAGAAGCACUUCCGAGGGUACAUUUCCAAGGUCUCCAAAAGAAGAAGACGAUGAUGAGGAGGCUCUAAAACGGGCUGCUCUUGAGAAUUUGCCUACUUAUAAUAGUCCUUUCAGGAAAAUGAUAACUAAUUCAAGUGGUGAAGCUACUGAAGCUGAUGAUGUUUCUACUCUUGGACCGCAAGCAAGGCAGAAGUUGAUUGAUAAAUUGGUCAGAGAACCUUCAGUUGAUAAUGAGCACUUCUUGUUGAAGCUCAGGGACCGCUUUGACGCGUAAUUUUCUUUUUCAUCAAAAUUUUCUCGGUAGCCAAACAGAGGAGUUCUGUUCUGGUUCCCGAAGUUGUUCUUUUCAUGUGUAUUCUUUAGAUGGUAUGCAUGCAGUCUAUAAGUUUUUGUUAAAAAAAUAUAAAAAUAAGCAAUCUGUAUGGGCAUUGGUUACUUUAUCUAAUAGACUAGUUUUCUGAGUUGAAUGCUUCAAUGAUUGGUGAUCUUUUAACUGAAGAACCUUUUUAUUUUUUUUAUAAGGGUGUUGAAUUUUUAAGUUGUGAGUUUGUAUUUAGGAUAUGAUUGUCAUAUUUUUUUUUUUUGGCAGAGUUGGAAUAGACCUUCCUGAAGUCGAAGUUCGAUAUGAAAAUUUGAAUGUUGAAGCUGAAGCAUUUUUAGCAAGUAAAGCCUUGCCAACAUUCACUAACUUCUUUACCAACAUCAUCGAGGUAGCACUCUGCAAGUAGAAAUCACUAAUAUUUAUAAAAUUGGUUGUGUUUUGUGUUUAGUUUAUUUAUUUUUUAACAACCUGCAAACGUUUGAAGGGUUCCUUGAACUCUCUCCAAAUUCUGCCAACUAGAAAGAAACACUUGACAAUCCUGAAGGAUGUAAGUGGAAUCAUAAGGCCAGGCAGGUGAGAAUUUAAUUCCUAUUGCUUCUCAAUUUACUUGUGUUUUAUUGAAUUUUUGGGUACUGAUCUCAAAUUUUUUGCAGCAUGACAUUGCUUUUGGGUCCUCCAAGUUCUGGCAAGACCACACUUCUGUUGGCUUUGGCCGGGAAGCUUGAUUCUAGUCUAAAGGUGACUAAUUAGUAAAAAUCUCUAAUUAUUUCAGAGAGUUUUCGCUCUCAACAGUUAUAUAGACCCUAUUUGGGAUUGAGAUAUUGUAACUUUUAAAUUAUCACUAGUGUGAAAAAAUUUAUAACUAUGAAAUAAAAGUUAAUAUUAUGUAGUAAAAAUAAUUUUUAAAUGAAUAUUUUGACAAAAUCAGUAAAGAAAUAAUGGAUUUUUCAUCAUAAUUAAUGUAAAAUCAAAUCAAUUUAGCUUAUAAAUUACAUCAACUAGUGUUUAUCAAAUACUUUAAUACUGUAUCUUUGAAGUUACAGCUACCCAAUCUUAAUUCCAAAUAAACCUAUAGUCCACUCUUUUUAAUUAUGUCUAAUUGAAGAAUCAAACUGUCUCCUUGUAGGUUUCUGGCAGGGUGACAUACAAUGGUCACAACAUGGACGAAUUUGAGCCUCAGAGAGUAGCUGCUUAUAUCAGUCAACAUGAUAAUCAUAUCGGCGAAAUGACUGUGAGGGAAACUUUGGCCUUCUCUGCUAGAUGCCAGGGGGUUGGAUCCCGUUUUGGUAGGUUUGAUUUUUUUUUUUUUUAGCUUUUAUUUUCCCUUCAGCUAUAAAACUCGUUGCUUUUGAGAAAUGCAGACAUGUUAACAGAGUUGGACAAAAGAGAAAACGAAGCAGGUAUAAAGCCGGAUCCUGAUAUUGAUGUCUUCAUGAAGGUAAGAGCAGCCGACGUUUGUUUAAAACAUGUUUAGCAUCUAGCGAACUGAAUCAUAAAAAUCAUUUGUUAUAGUUGAGUUUCAAUUAAGCUAGUCUUCAAUCUUGUGCUCCCAUGGCUUAAAUUGAAUCCUAAUAUAUGAACUUUGAUGUUCAAUUAGCCCAUUUCACUUUUGUCCGAUAAAAAUAGAGUUGGAAGGGAAUCAUUGUUAUUGACAAGGAGUCACAUUCAUGGUGAUUGAAUAAGUUAUGGUAAUUCUCUAUCUUGUAAUGUCUCAGGCAGCAGCAACUGAAGGCCAAGAGGCCAAUGUACUCACAGAUUAUUAUCUAAAGGUUUUAGGACUUGAUAUCUGUGCUGAUACCUUGGUCGGUGAUGAAAUGAUAAGAGGUAUAUCAGGUGGGCAAAAAAGGCGUGUGACAACAGGUAAAUGCUAAGCUUCGUAGAUUCAUUUCUGUUUCGUUCACAGGUUAAAAAAAAGAAAAAAUAUCAAUGCCUAUACUUACACAUACAAAAAUUUCAUUCAAGUAUAGGUGAAAUAUUGGUAGGACCAGCUUUGGCACUGUUUAUGGAUGAGAUAUCUAAUGGCUUGGACAGCUCGACAACUUUUCAAAUCGUGAAUUCUAUUAGGCAAAAUAUUCAUAUCCUUAAUGGAACCGCAGUGAUAUCUCUACUGCAGCCAGCACCGGAGACUUAUGAUCUAUUUGAUGAUAUUAUCCUUCUAUCUGAUGGCCUGAUUGUGUACCUGGGUCCCCGCGAACUGGUGCUAGAUUUUUUUGAAUCCAUGGGCUUUAAAUGUCCAGAAAGGAAAGGCGUGGCUGACUUCUUACAAGAAGUAAGAGCAAAUAAAGCUGUUUCUUUUAAAAUACGAGUCUCCUGUCUUUCAAAUAAAAUAAUGCGGUGGCUUAAGUUGUUCACAAGCUAAGAUGGAAGUAAACUGUAACUUCUCGUAUACAGGUGACUUCAAGGAAAGACCAACAGCAGUAUUGGGCCCAUAAAGAGAUGCGUUACAGGUUUGUCACAGUUCAGGAAUUUUCUGAGGCAUUCCAAUCGUUUCAUGUGGGACAGAAACUCACAGCGGAGCUUCGAACUCCAUUUGACAAGAGCAAGAGCCACCCAGCUGCUUUGAGUAUGAAAGAGUACGGUGUGGGCAAGAAGGAAUUAUUGAAAGCUAAUAUCUCAAGAGAAUUUUUGCUCAUGAAAAGAAAUUCAUUUGUCUACAUCUUCAAGCUCACCCAAGUGAGUAUUAACUUAGUUUUGAACUGUUUUAGUUUUUUCUUGAAGUGAUAAAUGAUUUAUUGAUACAUUCCCCCGCUACAAGCUUUCAACUGUGGCAAUGGUAUCUAUGUCACUCUUCUUCAGAACGAAGAUGCCCAAAGAUUCAGUAAACGAUGGAGGAAUUUACAUUGGUGCCUCAUUCUUUGCUGUUAUGAUGACAAUGUUCAAUGGAAUGUCAGAUAUUUCUAUGACCAUAGCUAAGCUUCCCGUCUUCUACAAGCAAAGAGACCUCCGAUUCUAUCCUGCCUGGUCAUAUGCCCUUCCUGCAUGGAUAGUCAAGAUCCCUAUCUCAUUCCUGGAGGUUGCCGCUUGGGUAUUCCUCACCUAUUAUGUAAUUGGGUUUGAUCCCAACGUUGGAAGGUAAAUUUGCUAGUAUAACCUGAGAAUAUUUGAUUUCAUGACCUGUUUAUCCAAUUAGUUUAAGAGUUGAUUUUCUUGCUGCAGGUUUUUUAAGCAGUACUUGCUUCUCUUAUUUGUUAACCAGAUGGCUACUGCAUUGUUCCGAUUCAUUGGAGCAGCAGGCAGGAACAUGAUUGUUGCUAUGUCAUUUGGUUCAUUUGCAUUGCUUAUGCUUUUUGCAUUGGGUGGAUUUGUUCUUUCACGAGGUACAGAAAUAUACAAGUAAAAUAGUCUAGUUAGCUACUUUAUCAAAAUAUAACUAUCAUACUUCCAUUUCAUUUCUAAAAACACAGAUGACAUCAAUAAAUGGUGGAUAUGGGGUUAUUGGUGUUCACCUAUGAUGUAUGCGCAGAAUGCAAUAGUGGCUAACGAGUUCCUUGGGCACAGUUGGAGAAAGGUAAUUCCCAGAUUUAAGCCGUGUCCAUGAUUGUGUAUUUGUCUUUUAGUAAAAUUCUGAUGUCUGUAAUUUUUCAUAUCAUAGUUCACUACAAACUCAAAUGAAUCACUUGGAGUGCAAGCUUUGAAGUCUCGUGGGUUCUUUCCACAUGCAUAUUGGUAUUGGCUUGGAUUGGGGGCUGUGAUAGGUUUUUUACUAGUGUUCAACGUUGGUUUCACUCUGUCACUUACUUUUCUCAACAGUGGGUAUCUUUACCUUCUUCGUUUUAAUUACUUCUUCUAAAACAGUGAGUUUAUGUUGUAAUUUCAUAUGAAUAUAUAUGUGCAGAAUUUGAGAAGCCUCGGGCUGUUAUAUUAGACGAAUCUGAAAGUAAUGAAAAAGAUAACAGAACUGGAGGAACUCUUCAGUCAUCAACCAGUGGAAGUAGUUCUAGCCUCCGAACUCGCUCAGGUGGUAAAGUCUUCUGGUUUAUUUGAGAAAAUAUGAGAUAUUUUGUGGCAUGCAGUGGAAUUGGUGCUAAUCAAUUAUUGUUAAUACGCAGAGAGUGGAGAUUACAUUUGGGAAAGAAGCUCCUCUAUGUCCUCUUCUGUGACAGAGACAGCCGUUGAGAUCAGAAAUCUAAUUAGGAAAAAAGGGAUGGUUCUUCCAUUUGAACCUCAUUCCCUUACUUUUGAUGAGGUCGUUUACUCAGUUGACAUGCCACAGGUAACAUUAAUUUGAAAACCAAACAGGAAAUUUAAAAGGUUUGAUGAAGACUAAUUGGUUCGAUCUAAUUUUGCAGGAAAUGAAACUUCAAGGUGUCCAUGAAGAUAAAUUAGUGCUUCUAAAUGGUGUGAGCGGUGCUUUCAGGCCCGGGGUUCUUACAGCGUUAAUGGGUGUCAGUGGUGCUGGUAAAACCACUUUGAUGGAUGUGUUAGCUGGUAGGAAAACGGGUGGAUAUAUUACUGGGAGCAUAACAAUAUCUGGUUACCUGAAAAAACAGGAAACAUUUACUCGCAUUUCAGGAUACUGCGAGCAAAAUGACAUCCACUCUCCUUUAGUUACUGUCUAUGAGUCAUUGCUCUACUCGGCCUGGCUUCGUUUACCACCUGAAGUUGAUUCUGAAACCAGAAAGGUGGGUAAUGAAGUCACCUGAAGUGUUCUGUUAUUGAAAACUAAAAUAAGUUAAACACGGUCAACAAGAAUAGAAACGGUUUCAUUCCCUCAAUACAUUCUUGGAUGGAUAUGGUCAUACCAAUUUUCAGUUUUACCCUUGAUUUACAGAUGUUUAUUGAAGAAAUCAUGGAGCUCGUGGAGCUGAACCCAUUGAGACAAUCACUGGUUGGUUUGCCUGGUGUAAGUGGUCUGUCAACAGAGCAGCGUAAGAGACUUACGAUCGCGGUUGAGCUAGUGGCUAGCCCGUCCAUCAUAUUUAUGGAUGAGCCAACUUCAGGGCUAGAUGCAAGGGCUGCUGCAAUUGGAGUUGCCACUGUGGAUUGGCGAUAGGGCUGAAGUUUCACUAGAACUUGGUCCCCAAUAGAAAAUUGAGCUUCACGUCUAUGAGCAUCAACCUUUUGAAUCAUGCGAUGUUGAGCUUGACACAAAUUCUCUUUCAAAGAGCGGAGUAACACAUCCCGCUCACUUAAUGCUUCAUCAAGAGCUUGGAUUGAAGUAGAGCCCUUGGAGUAAGGAGGGAUUGAUGGAGGUGGCUGCCCAAAAAGAGCCUAAAAAGGAGACAUUUUGAUGCUGCUAUGAUAAGAAGAAUUGUAGGAAAAUUCAGCCCACCCGAGUAGAGAUACCCAUGAAGUCGGUUUUUCUUGAGUGAAAGCGCGGAGAUAUUGUUCCAAUCCGCGAUUGACAACCUUCGAUUGUCCAUCUAUUUGUGGGUGAUAGGUGGUACUGCGGCGAAGAGUAGUGCCACUUAACUCAAAUAUUUUUUUCCAAAAAUCGCUCAAGAAUACAGGAUCACGAUCAGAGAUAAUAGAGCUAGGAAAACCAUGAAGCUUGAUAACCAUAUCCACAAAUAAUUCAGCUGUCUUCACAGCAGUAAAUUGAGUUGGAAGGAGUCCAAAGUGCAUUGAUUUAGUAAGGCGAUCAACAACUACCAAGAUCACGGAGAAACCACGAGAAACCGGAAGGCCAGUAAUGAAGUCCAUAGUGAGCUCGUCCCAAACUAAAGUUGGAAUGGAAGAGGCUACAGUGGCCCCGCUGGUGCUUGAGUGAAAUAUUCUGGUUGGUUCAACUGAAUUUGGAAGGUUGUAUCAACAUGCCUGACCAUAUUAGAGGGAGUGGAAGUUAGAAUAUAGACCCAACCAAAGUAUAUGCAUAAACCCAUCACAAAAAGGCCGAAGAUUGAAUCCAAGAGACCGCAAUGGCUGAGUCAAACUCUACCUCCAACACAUAGUAACAAAGUUGAGCAACCAACUCUAAACCCUCACAAACUGCCAUCAGCUCAGAAUAAAGGAUUGCCUGAUGGCUCACAAAAGAACUACAAGCAGCCAAGACCAUACCUUGGUAAUCAUGAAAAAUACCACAUGUCGUAGACAUCCCAAGAUUGCGCUUCACGAAGAAUUAAGCAACCCUGCUCCAGGUUCAAAAGACAUUUAUUUUCCUACUCAGUACUCUCGGUCAUUUUUCAUGCAAUUUAUGGCUUGUUUGUGGAAACAACACUGGUCAUACUGUGUUUGAAACUAUGUUCUGAGACAUGGGCACUAAAAUGUGAGUUACGACUAGGAAUCUAUAAAAUUAUAUACUUAAAUGUUAUUCACAGCCUCGUAGUUAGAUAUUCCUUUUAAUCUAAAUUUUGACAUUUUAAAUUUGUAGGAAACGGAACCAAGAUCUGUUUAAUGCAAUGGGUUCAAUGUACACUGUUGUUUUCUUCGUUGGCGUGCAAUAUUGUUCGUCAGUGCAGCCAGUAGUAGCUGUUGAAAUGGCAGUCUUUUAUAGGGAAAAAGGCGCUGGAAUGUACUCUGGCAUGCCAUAUCCAAUUUUUUCACUUGUCGAAAGGAAUUGUGUUUCUUUACUGAUGCAUUUUAUUUUUCUUUUCCGCUGGUUAUGAUCAAGAUACCUUAUAUUUUUUUUUGUGUCCGUGGUGUAUGGUGUUAUAGUGUAUGCUAUGAUUGGAUUUGAAUGGACAGCCGCCAAGUUCUUUUGGUAUUUGUUUGUUAUGUUCUUCACCUUGUUGCACUUCACCUUUUAUGGCAUGAUGAUAGUGGCUAUAACACCAAAUCACCACAUUUCUGCCAUUGUUUCGAUUUUAUUUUAUGGAUUGUGGAAUGUCUUUUCCGGGUUUGUUAUCCCAAGACCGGUAAGUAUUGUUUUCACCAUUUUUAUUUUUGAUUCUAGGUUUCAUAGCUUACCCAAAAUUUUGUAGCUGAUUCUGCUGUACGGCCAAGGCGGAUGUACGGUACAGCAGGCAUAAACCCUUCGAAGCUUAAGUUAGCACAAGGUGUUUACGGGAAAACUAUAUAAUUUAAAUUGUGUGAACUCCUUAUAAUGUUCUCAACCUCACGUAUCUCAAAGAUUUGUAUGGAAUGUAAUCUGGUUUCAAUUUGGCAGAGUUUUCCCUUCCCUCUCAAUUUCUAUGUCCCCUCUUCAUCGGUCUCUUGGCUUCUUAUAGCCAUCAUCCCAUGUUUUCUGAGUAUUCUUCAUGCCCCCUAUUUUUGGGUGAUAACAGACCCUCAUGGGUCUCCAACCACCGAAUCGUGGGUAAACGUGGGAUGUCACGUUCUCCCCGGCGGUUCGGGGCAUGGCGAAACUGCCGCGAUUUCGUGAGAUCGUGUCCUCUUUCUUUGGGUGAUGAGCAUCUGGUCGAUACGUAUCUCUGGUCGGUGCUCGUUUCUAGUUGGCACAUGCCCAUACACGAUGUUUUGCUAGGACUCUGCUCAUGCCAUUCAGCUGGGGAGAUUCGCCUCAGGGUGAGGGAUGAGGGCAUAGCUAAGCUGGUACUUUUCAUUACUCACAUAGUUGAGCUAGUCCUUUUCAUUACUCAAUAGUUUCUUAUUUUUUUAAUAUUUAUAAUUUGUAAUGGUAGAAAAGUAAAAAAAUUCAUUUUCAGAUUUUUAAGUUAAAAAAAUUUAAUAUUUGUUUUAAGCAAUUCAGACAAAGAAACAAAGGUAUCAUUUAGAUUCAGGUAUCCAGCUCUCACACUAAUUUAGGUCUAUUCAGAUUUCAGACAAAAAAACAAACGCCACCUUAGAUCACUUCUAAAAAAAUGUGAGUAGGGUUCGAACCUUAAACACUUGUUUUCACUCAAAAGAUUUAAACAAUUAAACUAACUGGCACCCACAAGUCAGUAUUGUUCUUAAACUUUCAACUAAUCAAAGUAAAACUGAAUUGGCUAUUAAAUAUUUAAUAUCAAUUCAGACUACAAGUAUAACUUAUGAUAUUGUGCAAUAGUAAUUUAGUUUUAUAACUUACAUAAUCAAUAUUUUAAAAUGAAAUCCAAUAAUUUACAAAAACUGUAUUUUAUACGAAAUAAAAAAUUCUUGAAGUUAAAAUUAUUUAUUUGCAGUUAUUUUGGCACUUUAUAAUGGUAAAACAAUAUAAUUAAACUAAUAUUAAAUCAACCUUAAUGGUAAAAGAUGUUUAGUCACAGAAAAUAAAUAAAGAAAGAAGGAUAUAACUGAUUAAUUGUCUAAACUUUUUCUUUGUUUGAAUUUUAAAUUAAUUUUAUUAAUUAUUUUUAGUUUAGAGUUGGCAAAAAUUAUGGGGGAGGGGGAUAUCAUCCCUGAGAAAUUAUUGGGCGACCACCUAAGUAUUGGACAAUAUUGAAAAAAAAAAAGAAAAAAAAACACUAAAAUUUUCAUAAACAUGGCACAAAAAUACUUAAAAAUUUAGCAAGUGUAUCCCCAAAUUACUUUUAUGUUAACCUUCAUUAUUGUAUUCCGACGUCACAAGGGUGAAUCUGAUCACCAUCCGCAGUUCUAAAUUUAGAGUGUUUAAACCUAAAAAUUACGUGCAUGCAAAGCAAAAGAGUCAAAUUCGGAUUUACCCACCCUGCUAAAUCCUGCCUCUAAAAGGACAGUAACAUUAGCGUCAUUUUUAGGAAUUCAAUACGUUGAAUCCAUUAUCUACGAUAAUGUAGAAUAAUAAUUUUUCAUUGUUAUGUUGUUUUGUUGCUGUUGUUGUAUAACGGUACGCGUUGACUUUGACAACAAUUUUUGGACGGCCACCUAUCGCUAGUUAUAAAACAAAAUGGCUCUUAAAAUAUGGUCGUCAUACUCAAAAUUUGGAAAGACGGUGCAAACUUCAGACAAAAUUUUCAAUCGCUCAAAAAGUUUUGAGUGAAUGUCUUAUGCACUAAUAUCGAAAUUAGUUGUUUGCAUAACCAGUUUAGAAUAAUUGUGGGUUUUGUUUGGCUUCAGUUGUAAUGGAGGGUGACAUUACAUACCGGCCUACUAGUUGUUUAAGUCCAAGUGCUUCUACAUGGAGAAGCACUUCCGAGGGUACAUUUCCAAGGUCUCCAAAAGAAGAAGACGAUGAUGAGGAGGCUCUAAAACGGGCUGCUCUUGAGAAUUUGCCUACUUAUAAUAGUCCUUUCAGGAAAAUGAUAACUAAUUCAAGUGGUGAAGCUACUGAAGCUGAUGAUGUUUCUACUCUUGGACCGCAAGCAAGGCAGAAGUUGAUUGAUAAAUUGGUCAGAGAACCUUCAGUUGAUAAUGAGCACUUCUUGUUGAAGCUCAGGGACCGCUUUGACGCGUAAUUUUCUUUUUCAUCAAAAUUUUCUCGGUAGCCAAACAGAGGAGUUCUGUUCUGGUUCCCGAAGUUGUUCUUUUCAUGUGUAUUCUUUAGAUGGUAUGCAUGCAGUCUAUAAGUUUUUGUUAAAAAAAUAUAAAAAUAAGCAAUCUGUAUGGGCAUUGGUUACUUUAUCUAAUAGACUAGUUUUCUGAGUUGAAUGCUUCAAUGAUUGGUGAUCUUUUAACUGAAGAACCUUUUUAUUUUUUUUAUAAGGGUGUUGAAUUUUUAAGUUGUGAGUUUGUAUUUAGGAUAUGAUUGUCAUAUUUUUUUUUUUUGGCAGAGUUGGAAUAGACCUUCCUGAAGUCGAAGUUCGAUAUGAAAAUUUGAAUGUUGAAGCUGAAGCAUUUUUAGCAAGUAAAGCCUUGCCAACAUUCACUAACUUCUUUACCAACAUCAUCGAGGUAGCACUCUGCAAGUAGAAAUCACUAAUAUUUAUAAAAUUGGUUGUGUUUUGUGUUUAGUUUAUUUAUUUUUUAACAACCUGCAAACGUUUGAAGGGUUCCUUGAACUCUCUCCAAAUUCUGCCAACUAGAAAGAAACACUUGACAAUCCUGAAGGAUGUAAGUGGAAUCAUAAGGCCAGGCAGGUGAGAAUUUAAUUCCUAUUGCUUCUCAAUUUACUUGUGUUUUAUUGAAUUUUUGGGUACUGAUCUCAAAUUUUUUGCAGCAUGACAUUGCUUUUGGGUCCUCCAAGUUCUGGCAAGACCACACUUCUGUUGGCUUUGGCCGGGAAGCUUGAUUCUAGUCUAAAGGUGACUAAUUAGUAAAAAUCUCUAAUUAUUUCAGAGAGUUUUCGCUCUCAACAGUUAUAUAGACCCUAUUUGGGAUUGAGAUAUUGUAACUUUUAAAUUAUCACUAGUGUGAAAAAAUUUAUAACUAUGAAAUAAAAGUUAAUAUUAUGUAGUAAAAAUAAUUUUUAAAUGAAUAUUUUGACAAAAUCAGUAAAGAAAUAAUGGAUUUUUCAUCAUAAUUAAUGUAAAAUCAAAUCAAUUUAGCUUAUAAAUUACAUCAACUAGUGUUUAUCAAAUACUUUAAUACUGUAUCUUUGAAGUUACAGCUACCCAAUCUUAAUUCCAAAUAAACCUAUAGUCCACUCUUUUUAAUUAUGUCUAAUUGAAGAAUCAAACUGUCUCCUUGUAGGUUUCUGGCAGGGUGACAUACAAUGGUCACAACAUGGACGAAUUUGAGCCUCAGAGAGUAGCUGCUUAUAUCAGUCAACAUGAUAAUCAUAUCGGCGAAAUGACUGUGAGGGAAACUUUGGCCUUCUCUGCUAGAUGCCAGGGGGUUGGAUCCCGUUUUGGUAGGUUUGAUUUUUUUUUUUUUUAGCUUUUAUUUUCCCUUCAGCUAUAAAACUCGUUGCUUUUGAGAAAUGCAGACAUGUUAACAGAGUUGGACAAAAGAGAAAACGAAGCAGGUAUAAAGCCGGAUCCUGAUAUUGAUGUCUUCAUGAAGGUAAGAGCAGCCGACGUUUGUUUAAAACAUGUUUAGCAUCUAGCGAACUGAAUCAUAAAAAUCAUUUGUUAUAGUUGAGUUUCAAUUAAGCUAGUCUUCAAUCUUGUGCUCCCAUGGCUUAAAUUGAAUCCUAAUAUAUGAACUUUGAUGUUCAAUUAGCCCAUUUCACUUUUGUCCGAUAAAAAUAGAGUUGGAAGGGAAUCAUUGUUAUUGACAAGGAGUCACAUUCAUGGUGAUUGAAUAAGUUAUGGUAAUUCUCUAUCUUGUAAUGUCUCAGGCAGCAGCAACUGAAGGCCAAGAGGCCAAUGUACUCACAGAUUAUUAUCUAAAGGUUUUAGGACUUGAUAUCUGUGCUGAUACCUUGGUCGGUGAUGAAAUGAUAAGAGGUAUAUCAGGUGGGCAAAAAAGGCGUGUGACAACAGGUAAAUGCUAAGCUUCGUAGAUUCAUUUCUGUUUCGUUCACAGGUUAAAAAAAAGAAAAAAUAUCAAUGCCUAUACUUACACAUACAAAAAUUUCAUUCAAGUAUAGGUGAAAUAUUGGUAGGACCAGCUUUGGCACUGUUUAUGGAUGAGAUAUCUAAUGGCUUGGACAGCUCGACAACUUUUCAAAUCGUGAAUUCUAUUAGGCAAAAUAUUCAUAUCCUUAAUGGAACCGCAGUGAUAUCUCUACUGCAGCCAGCACCGGAGACUUAUGAUCUAUUUGAUGAUAUUAUCCUUCUAUCUGAUGGCCUGAUUGUGUACCUGGGUCCCCGCGAACUGGUGCUAGAUUUUUUUGAAUCCAUGGGCUUUAAAUGUCCAGAAAGGAAAGGCGUGGCUGACUUCUUACAAGAAGUAAGAGCAAAUAAAGCUGUUUCUUUUAAAAUACGAGUCUCCUGUCUUUCAAAUAAAAUAAUGCGGUGGCUUAAGUUGUUCACAAGCUAAGAUGGAAGUAAACUGUAACUUCUCGUAUACAGGUGACUUCAAGGAAAGACCAACAGCAGUAUUGGGCCCAUAAAGAGAUGCGUUACAGGUUUGUCACAGUUCAGGAAUUUUCUGAGGCAUUCCAAUCGUUUCAUGUGGGACAGAAACUCACAGCGGAGCUUCGAACUCCAUUUGACAAGAGCAAGAGCCACCCAGCUGCUUUGAGUAUGAAAGAGUACGGUGUGGGCAAGAAGGAAUUAUUGAAAGCUAAUAUCUCAAGAGAAUUUUUGCUCAUGAAAAGAAAUUCAUUUGUCUACAUCUUCAAGCUCACCCAAGUGAGUAUUAACUUAGUUUUGAACUGUUUUAGUUUUUUCUUGAAGUGAUAAAUGAUUUAUUGAUACAUUCCCCCGCUACAAGCUUUCAACUGUGGCAAUGGUAUCUAUGUCACUCUUCUUCAGAACGAAGAUGCCCAAAGAUUCAGUAAACGAUGGAGGAAUUUACAUUGGUGCCUCAUUCUUUGCUGUUAUGAUGACAAUGUUCAAUGGAAUGUCAGAUAUUUCUAUGACCAUAGCUAAGCUUCCCGUCUUCUACAAGCAAAGAGACCUCCGAUUCUAUCCUGCCUGGUCAUAUGCCCUUCCUGCAUGGAUAGUCAAGAUCCCUAUCUCAUUCCUGGAGGUUGCCGCUUGGGUAUUCCUCACCUAUUAUGUAAUUGGGUUUGAUCCCAACGUUGGAAGGUAAAUUUGCUAGUAUAACCUGAGAAUAUUUGAUUUCAUGACCUGUUUAUCCAAUUAGUUUAAGAGUUGAUUUUCUUGCUGCAGGUUUUUUAAGCAGUACUUGCUUCUCUUAUUUGUUAACCAGAUGGCUACUGCAUUGUUCCGAUUCAUUGGAGCAGCAGGCAGGAACAUGAUUGUUGCUAUGUCAUUUGGUUCAUUUGCAUUGCUUAUGCUUUUUGCAUUGGGUGGAUUUGUUCUUUCACGAGGUACAGAAAUAUACAAGUAAAAUAGUCUAGUUAGCUACUUUAUCAAAAUAUAACUAUCAUACUUCCAUUUCAUUUCUAAAAACACAGAUGACAUCAAUAAAUGGUGGAUAUGGGGUUAUUGGUGUUCACCUAUGAUGUAUGCGCAGAAUGCAAUAGUGGCUAACGAGUUCCUUGGGCACAGUUGGAGAAAGGUAAUUCCCAGAUUUAAGCCGUGUCCAUGAUUGUGUAUUUGUCUUUUAGUAAAAUUCUGAUGUCUGUAAUUUUUCAUAUCAUAGUUCACUACAAACUCAAAUGAAUCACUUGGAGUGCAAGCUUUGAAGUCUCGUGGGUUCUUUCCACAUGCAUAUUGGUAUUGGCUUGGAUUGGGGGCUGUGAUAGGUUUUUUACUAGUGUUCAACGUUGGUUUCACUCUGUCACUUACUUUUCUCAACAGUGGGUAUCUUUACCUUCUUCGUUUUAAUUACUUCUUCUAAAACAGUGAGUUUAUGUUGUAAUUUCAUAUGAAUAUAUAUGUGCAGAAUUUGAGAAGCCUCGGGCUGUUAUAUUAGACGAAUCUGAAAGUAAUGAAAAAGAUAACAGAACUGGAGGAACUCUUCAGUCAUCAACCAGUGGAAGUAGUUCUAGCCUCCGAACUCGCUCAGGUGGUAAAGUCUUCUGGUUUAUUUGAGAAAAUAUGAGAUAUUUUGUGGCAUGCAGUGGAAUUGGUGCUAAUCAAUUAUUGUUAAUACGCAGAGAGUGGAGAUUACAUUUGGGAAAGAAGCUCCUCUAUGUCCUCUUCUGUGACAGAGACAGCCGUUGAGAUCAGAAAUCUAAUUAGGAAAAAAGGGAUGGUUCUUCCAUUUGAACCUCAUUCCCUUACUUUUGAUGAGGUCGUUUACUCAGUUGACAUGCCACAGGUAACAUUAAUUUGAAAACCAAACAGGAAAUUUAAAAGGUUUGAUGAAGACUAAUUGGUUCGAUCUAAUUUUGCAGGAAAUGAAACUUCAAGGUGUCCAUGAAGAUAAAUUAGUGCUUCUAAAUGGUGUGAGCGGUGCUUUCAGGCCCGGGGUUCUUACAGCGUUAAUGGGUGUCAGUGGUGCUGGUAAAACCACUUUGAUGGAUGUGUUAGCUGGUAGGAAAACGGGUGGAUAUAUUACUGGGAGCAUAACAAUAUCUGGUUACCUGAAAAAACAGGAAACAUUUACUCGCAUUUCAGGAUACUGCGAGCAAAAUGACAUCCACUCUCCUUUAGUUACUGUCUAUGAGUCAUUGCUCUACUCGGCCUGGCUUCGUUUACCACCUGAAGUUGAUUCUGAAACCAGAAAGGUGGGUAAUGAAGUCACCUGAAGUGUUCUGUUAUUGAAAACUAAAAUAAGUUAAACACGGUCAACAAGAAUAGAAACGGUUUCAUUCCCUCAAUACAUUCUUGGAUGGAUAUGGUCAUACCAAUUUUCAGUUUUACCCUUGAUUUACAGAUGUUUAUUGAAGAAAUCAUGGAGCUCGUGGAGCUGAACCCAUUGAGACAAUCACUGGUUGGUUUGCCUGGUGUAAGUGGUCUGUCAACAGAGCAGCGUAAGAGACUUACGAUCGCGGUUGAGCUAGUGGCUAGCCCGUCCAUCAUAUUUAUGGAUGAGCCAACUUCAGGGCUAGAUGCAAGGGCUGCUGCAAUUGUUAUGAGAACUGUCAAAAACACAGUAGAAACUGGAAGAACAGUUGUUUGCACGAUCCAUCAACCAAGCAUUGACAUAUUUGAAUCCUUUGAUGAGGUAAGAAAUAUCAAAUACUGGAUUAAAGGAGUCAAAAGUUUUUCCUUUUUACAUUUUCCUUUCUUUACCCGCAUGUUGAUUAUCAUCGUUUAACAAUGUGUUGCAGCUACUUCUCGUGAAGCGAGGGGGACAGGAGAUUUAUUUUGGGCCUCUGGGUCACCAUUCUUGCGAUCUAAUCAACUAUCUGGAAGUAUGACCUGAUGCACAUUCUCAUAUUUCAAAGGAAACCUAACUUGAAAUCACAUUAUAACUUGACUUCCUUUACAUUAUGAAAGUCGCUGAUGCGCAUACAUUUAUUUUUUUGAAGGCAAUUCCUGGAGUCCAAAAAAUUAAAGAUGGUUGCAACCCAGCAACUUGGAUGUUGGAAGUUACGGCUAGAUCACAAGAAUUAGCUUUGGGGGUUGAUUUUCAUAAUAUUUACAAACUCUCAGACUUGUACAGGUAUACUAAUACAGUACCGUCAUUUGUUUAGCUCAAAAUUGACGCUAAUCUAUGCCAUAUGUUCCAGGAGAAACAAAGCACUUAUUGAAGAAUUAAGCAAGCCUGUUCCGGGUUCAAAAGACCUUUAUUUUCCUAUUCAGUACUCUCGGUCAUUUUUCAUGCAAUUUAUGGCUUGUUUGUGGAAACAACACUGGUCAUACUGGCGAAAUCCACCAUACAACGCCGUUAGAUUUCUAUUUACAACUGCCAUAGCUUUGACAUUUGGAACAAUGUUCUGGGACAUGGGCACUGAAGUGUGAGUUGCGACUACGAAUCUGUAAAACUAUAUACUUUAAUCGUUAUUCGCAGUCUCGUAGUUGAAUAUUCCUUUUAAUCUAAAUUAUGACAUUUUAAAUUUGUAGGAAAAGGAACCAAGAUCUGUUCAAUGCAAUGGGUUCAAUGUACACUGCUGUUUUCUUUGUUGGCGCGCAGUAUUGUUCAUCAGUGCAGCCAGUAGUAGCUGUUGAAAGGGCAGUCUUCUAUAGGGAAAAAGGCGCUGGAAUGUACUCUGGCAUGCCAUAUGCAUUUGCACAAGUAAAUUUUUUUGACACAUGAUAUAUAAUUGUUUCACUUCUCGAAAGGAAUUGUGUUUCUUUUCUGAUAUAUUUUAUUUUUCUUUUCUGCAGGUUAUGAUUGAGAUACCUUAUCUAUUUGUUCUGUCAGUAGUGUAUGGCGUUAUAGUGUAUGCUAUGAUUGGAUUUGAGUGGACAGCAGCCAAGUUCUUUUGGUAUUUGUUCUUUAUGUUCUUCACCUUAUUGUACUUCACCUUCUAUGGCAUGAUGACAGUGGCUAUGACACCAAACCACCACAUUGCUGCCAUUGUUUCGACUUUAUUUUAUGGGCUGUGGAAUGUCUUUUCCGGGUUUGUAAUACCAAGACCUGUAAGAAUUUUUCUUCCUCCAUUUCUAUUCAAGAUGCUAGAUAGAUUUCAUAGCUUUCCGAAACUAUGUAGCUAUUUAUUUUCUUGUCUUUCAACUUGUCAAACAACAGAGGAUUCCUGAAUGGUGGAGAUGGUACUACUGGGCAAAUCCUGUAGCUUGGACCAUGUACGGAUUGUUUGCUUCACAGUUUGGAGAUGUAGAGGAAAAAAUGGAAAACGGUGAAACAGUAAAACAGUUUGUCAGAAAUUAUUUUGAUUUCAAACAUGAGUUUCUGGGUGUAGUUGCAGUUGUUGUUGCUGCCUUUGCAGUGCUCUUUGGAGUUCUCUUUGCAGCAGGUAUAAAGAGGUUCAAUUUCCAGAAUCGAUAGAUCUUUGGUUUCAUUUUUGGGAUCAUAUCUGAUGAAUGGAAAAAUAAUUGUUACCAAACUUUCAUAUAUAUAUAUAUAAUAUAUAUAUAUAUACAUAUAUCAUCAUCAUCCAGUGUAAUGAAAGGAGGAUAUCAAUCACUUGUACAGCUUUUCAACAGUAAUAUCUAUAUUUAUGGGAAUUUUUUGCCUUCCUUCUUCUUCUUUUUGGUCAGUAUUCAAAUGUUGUUUCAUUCUUAAUCAAGAUCACUAACAAAUGAAUUUAGAGAAUUACCAGAAACUAACUGAAACAGCGAGAACCGAAUGUGCAACAGAGAGCACACACAGCACAAAGCAGGCGAAUUCAUGAAACAAGAACAAUCAUCUCGCUCUAUCUUUAUUGACAGAAAUCAAACCGGAAUUCAAGAGGGAUUUACAAGCUUUCCAAAGAGCCCUGAUUCCCUCACUGGCUCCAACUACAACUCGAGAUACAAUCUACCAAAGUAGCACUGCUAAUCAGCUUUAAUAGCUCAAGUCAACAAAGUCAAAGCGAUUAUACUAACCAACUUUCUAACUAACCCAACCUGUAGGCCCCACCACUAAUGCCACGUCAGCGAGAUUUUAGCUCCAAAACCAGAAUUUGAACCACUAGGCGGUACGGUUGGCUUUAUAGUAAAAAUUGAAAAAAAAAUUAAUUAAUAAAAAUUAAGCAUUAAUUUUUAAUAUGUACUUCUUAAUGCUUGUAAAUAUAAUGUUGAUGAGCGAGUUUAAGUUGCUACCCCGACCCUCUAUUUAUAUAGAAAUUAUGAUUUUUGUGAUAAACUUUGUUUUAAUGUUCUAAAAAUUUAUGAUUUUUAAUCCGUUAUAUAUAUAUAUAUAUAUGAAAUAAUACAUAUUUCCAUUUUUAAUAAUUAUUUAGUAAUUAAUAUAUGGUUUGAAAAUUGAUAAUUUAUUGCAAUUAUAGGAUGGAUGGGUUUACAAAUGCUAGCUAAGACAUUUACACUCGGUAGAAAAGUUCAAACGAAACGCAAAAUCAUAUUUAAAAUAGCUUUGGAUUAGGUUGGAUACUUGGGUUGUAAAAGAUUUGGGUUGACAUUUAAACGCAACUCAAGCCCAACCCAGAGUUUAUAGGAUACUACAACUUUCGUCAUUUGCACUAAUCCUCGAGUGUAUAAAUAAUGAUUAUUCUUUGAAAUAAAGGAAGAUUGUAGUGCAAAUAGUGAAUAUAUAUCUAGUUUUCACUCUUUCUAACAACUCUUUUGUUUUCAUACAAUCUUAUAAAUUUUUUUAAAAAAAUAGUAUUUUGGGAAUAUUUAUGGUUAAAUCUCUUAACAAACUCUUCAAGAUUGGUAUAAAUAAAACUACAAAAUGUGUUACAAGAUUCUAUUAUCACGCGUAUUCCAUUUUUCCUCAAUAUAGAAUAAAUUAAACCAUCAUUGUUUGUUCUAUGGCUUGAGUCAUUAUUAGUCUAAUAAGGAGCUCAAUAUCCCGUGUCAAUGCUCAAAUUUAUAACUGUUAUUCUCGUAUUCACUUUACUUGAGUCGAGGUGAUUAAUAUUGAUUUUCAAAUCAAUGAAUUUAAUAUUUGAUUAAGCUCACCCAAAAAGAUAUUACUUGAGUUUCUUAAGCUAACUUGGAUAAAGCACGUUUUGGUAUUAUUUUUUAACAACUCUAGUUUUUAAAUUAUAAUAUUAAAGUGUUUGAUAAAUUUAUGAUUUAAAAGUUAAGGUGGUUUUAUAUUUGAUAAAAAGAAUAAAAUAAUUUUCAUAACUCCUAUUAAUUUAUCAAAAAAUUUAUUUAAAAUUCUUAAAGUCAUAUUUACCCUUUAAAAAAAAUCCUAUUUACUAAAUAUUAUGAAUUUUUAUUUCACAGCUUGAGAUUUUUCAUUUCACAACAAUUAAAUAUCAAACAUAUGGGCUUAUCUCGGACUAGGUGGGAACGGCCCAACUGGAUUUUGGAUUCUUUUAAAGAACAAUUUCAAAAAAGGCUCUGUAAAACCCCAUAUGAUUUUGAAAUCCCCUAGUCUAAAAGCCUGAUUCUUUUUAAUUUGAUUAGUUACUUUGAUUUUAUAAUAAUAAUAAUAAUAAUAAUAAUAAUAAUAACAAUAAUAAAGAACCAGGUUUCUUCUUACAUUUUUUUUUUACUUAGUUGUAUAUGAGUGCUUGCCAAAAAAAAAAUGUUUAUAUUAACAUUGAAACUAUCAUGCAUCACUUUGAAAACAAGAAAAUUCCUCGACAAUUGUAUGAAGCUAAAAGUAUGAAUUAUCAAUUAAUAUUAUAAUUAUAGUGUUACAAAUUAUAAAGUGCAUCUUAUAUAUUGAAAGAACUGUGAUAGUUGGAAGAGAAAUUACUACCAAAACAAGAUUUAAACGGUGAAAACAAUGGUUCAUAAUAAAAGAUGGUGAUACCAAUCCGCCCACUUAAAAGCUAAAAAAAGAUCUCCUGCAAUAAUACUGAUAAAUUAAGACAAAAUUAACUAAUAACUGAGAUAAAGUUAUUUUUAAAAAAUCCUAAGUGAGUAGUGCCCAAGGAAAAGCUGGAAAGCUGUAAAUAGAGAACGGGUUUGGUGGUGCCCCUCAAAUGAGAUGGAGGGGGAGAUUUGUAGGAUCCAUUUCACAUUGGUGGACUAAAAAGCCCAAAGUCUAAAAUAAUUAACUUGAUGUGUAAUUAUUAUAAAAUUUUGAACUUGGAUGAAAUUAACCAUAAAAUAUACAAAGAAAGUAAGUAAAGAAUCACUAGAGCUAUAGCCACUUCACGAAUUGAGAAGACGUUGUUAGAGAGAAAGACAGAGGUAUUUCUUUGGGGUUUCAAUCUUUGAUUAAAUGAUCAGAAGAUGAUUUUAACUUUAAUUUCUUCCAAAUUUGGAGGGUAAGUUUCUGACAUCGCCCUCUACAUUCCUAUUGAUGUUAAUAUGUAUUUUAUCAUCUCGGUAGUUGUUAUUUGAGAUACCCUCUUAUUAGAGAAAUAUAUAUUAGAUCUAUUGUAAGUUAAGAUUAUUGAGAAUCUUGAUAUUGUUAGCCUCUAGUGUUAUCUGCAGAAGAAUUUAUACUGUAAUCCCAUUAAUAUAGUGGAAAAUUAUAUCGGACUACGGUCCCGUGGUUUUUCUCAAUUUGAGUUUUCGACGUCUCUUGUGGUUGAUUUAUUACUUUGGAUUUGUUGGUUUAUUUUAUCCAAGUCUAAAAUUUUACAAUAAUUACACAUCAAGUUAAUUAUUUUGGACUUUGGGCUUUUUAGUCCACCGAAGUGAGAUGGAUCCUACAAAAAAGCGACUAGCAUAAUUUACACAUUAUGAAAGAAGCUGAUGCAUAAUACCAUUACUUUUAUUAAUGGAAUUCCCGGAAUAGUAAAUAUUAAUUUUUUUUUGGAAACUAUGAAGAUGGCGGGUGAUUAGAUUGAACCCCUACCUAUAAUAUAGAUCAAAUAAUGGAAGAAACAUAAGGAGGAUGACAAGGGCCAAAACCUCCGAUCACAAAAGAAAAUGCAUAAUAAAGGCAUGUAAGUACAUUAAAAACAAAACAAAAAAGAGAUGCAACACUAUGGUCUAAUAAGAGGACUUCCUGCGCAACUAGAUAAAUAAUGCUAGAUAAACUCAAGUGGAAUACCCCAAGGACUUAGAAAAUACUGACGAAGUCAAUGAGUGGAAGUCGAAUUAGCCAUAAAAUCAGUAGCAAAAGUCACCUCUUGGAAAACAUGUGAUACAACCUUUCAAAUUCAGUUGAACCAACCAGAAUAUUUGCAGGAAGAGCAGCCCAAUGAUGAGUUCGAUUAUGAGCAGCCCAAGGAGGAAACCAUGUCACAUGUUGAGGAGGGAGCAGAGCAUAAUGAAUCACAGAAAAGCACACGUAUAAGGAAGUCCCCUGGGUGGUUAAAGGAUUAUGUCGUGUAGUGGAAUUGAUUUGACCCGCCAAGGCAUUCAAACUGGAAAUAUCUCCUGUUACGACCUCUUCGACAAAAUCCGAUGACAAUAACACCUCACAAAAAUCAGGUUCGACAUCAUUCGUACCCAUAAGAAGCAAAAAUUUACUGCGACAGCGAUGGUUAGCGCUGUAUUUUUUAUCGCAGUUAUAACACAAUCCUUUUUCACGUUUGUCACGGAGCUCGACUGGAGUAAGACGAUGGAUCGGUAAGUUUGGUGUGGGUAGAAGUGGUGGUAACAGAUUUGGUUUAGAGAAGGAAGGAUUAGUUUGUGAAGGAGUGGGUGUGUGGGCGACACUAGUUGAAUGGACCGGCUGAGCUGAUGUAAAUUGAUAUGGGUUAGGUGGAAAUUUGGGUGAGGAGGAAUGUGUGUGAGGGGUUAGUGACGUGUUGUUCCAUUUCGGUACAAAACGAUAUCCCUGUUUGGCCUCUUCAGCACGCGCUUCAUAAGCACGAGCUAAUGCAAACGCCUCCAUCAAAGAAGAAGGCCGAGCAAAAAGCAGCUCACGACGAAUAUCGAGUUUCAAUCCCAUGUUAAAGAAACUGAUCAAGAGUGGUUCUAAGAUUCCAGUCACUCGAUUCAUUAAAUCUUCAAAAGCGGUUUGAAAUUAUGCCAUUGUUGUGGUUUGGGUUAACUUAGACAAAUUUCCUUGAGGAUCGUCAUAGAGGGAUGCACCGAAGCGAUGUUUGAGAUUCUGUAAAAAUUCCUUCCAAGUUGAUACAACCUUCCAAAUUGUCAGCAUGCUGUUCAUCUUCAUCCAUUGAUACCAUGCCGUUGCGCGUCCUUCCAUAUGAAAAGAAACAAUAUGUAAACGAAGAGGUUCCGAGGUACCAUGAAAACAAAGAACUCUUCAAUUCGGAAAACCCAUCCGUUUGGGUCAGAUCCAUCAAACUUAGGGACCUCCAUCUUUAUAGAGCGUAACACUGGCGAUAUCUCAGUACCACCAGAAUGUACCUCAGGGGAAUGAGAUAUUGGGUUGGGUGGAUGAAGAGCUCUACCCGAGGUGGCGGAAGAACCAUGGAUCUGUGAACGCAAAUCGUCAAGGCAAGAGUCCACCGUUGCCAUAUAUUGUUGCAAUGUUUGAUGCAACGACAAUGUUUGGCUUUCGAAUUGCUCUUGAAUCGUCUUUAACACCUCAGAAUCUGCCAUGAUGAUAGCAAUAAAAGCACCAAUGAUACACCCUUGCAACCAAAGGUUGUAGCAGUUGAGUCACACUCUUCGAGCGAGUGCUAGCUUCCAGAAUUUAAAAAGAAAUAGCAAGUUUGGAGAGAGAAGUCGAGAAAAGAAGAAGAGUCGAGAAGAAUAAGAAUUGAUUCAUUUCUGAUGUCCUUUACAAAAAUUGGUUAUGCUCUACAUAUACCCAUCUAUCUUUACAGCUCAGCAACCUUGUAACAAAAAAUGACAGCAAAGAAAUAACCCGGUGAAUAUAGAGUUUUAAAACAAAAUCAAUUCCACUACACGACAUAAUCCUUUAACCACCCAGGGGACUUCCUUAUACGUGUGCUUUUCUGUGAUUCAUUAUGCUCUGCUCCCUCCUCAACAUGUGACAUGGUUUCCUCCUUGGGCUGCUCAUAAUCGAACUCAUCAUUGGGCUGCUCUUCCUGCAAAUAUUCUGGUUGGUUCAACUGAAUUUGGAAGGUUGUAUCAUUCCCUCCAGCUUCAAAACUCACAUUGUCCUCAAGGUGAAGAUCGGGAUAAAGUUUACAAAAACUUUCAAACUCUUCCCAAGUAGAAUUCUCAAGUGAACUGUCCUGCCAUUGUACCAGAAUUUAGCGGCAUUUGUCCCCUUGUUUAAGCAGAGUUCUAACAGCGCAAAUUGCAGCAGGUCGAUAUAAUGGCUGAUUGUCCACACUAAUUGAUGGCAAGAUAUGAAGAGCAAGAGCUUGAAAACCAUGGAAACGUUUGAGAAGUGAAAUAUGAAAUACUAGGUGGAUCUUAGAACCACUUGGCAAUGCAAGCUUAUAAGCUACAUGACCAAUUCGAGCUAGCACAGAUAAAGGACCAUAGUACCGUUUAGCUAGCUGUUGACAAGAACGAGUUGCCACUGUGGAUUGGCGAUAGGGCUGAAGUUUCACUAGAACUUGGUCCCCAAUAGAAAAUUGAGCUUCACGUCUAUGAGCAUCAACCUUUUGAAUCAUGCGAUGUUGAGCUUGACACAAAUUCUCUUUCAAAGAGCGGAGUAACACAUCCCGCUCACUUAAUGCUUCAUCAAGAGCUUGGAUUGAAGUAGAGCCCUUGGAGUAAGGAGGGAUUGAUGGAGGUGGCUGCGCUUCAUCAAGAGCUUGGAUUGUCACUUAAUGCUUCAUCAAGAGCUUGGAUUGAAGUAGAGCCCUUGGAGUAAGGAGGGAUUGAUGGAGGUGGCUGCCCAAAAAGAGCCUAAAAAGGAGACAUUUUGAUGCUGCUAUGAUAAGAAGAAUUGUAGGAAAAUUCAGCCCACCCGAGUAGAGAUACCCAUGAAGUCGGUUUUUCUUGAGUGAAAGCGCGGAGAUAUUGUUCCAAUCCGCGAUUGACAACCUUCGAUUGUCCAUCUAUUUGUGGGUGAUAGGUGGUACUGCGGCGAAGAGUAGUGCCACUUAACUCAAAUAUUUUUUUCCAAAAAUCGCUCAAGAAUACAGGAUCACGAUCAGAGAUAAUAGAGCUAGGAAAACCAUGAAGCUUGAUAACCAUAUCCACAAAUAAUUCAGCUGUCUUCACAGCAGUAAAUUGAGUUGGAAGGAGUCCAAAGUGCAUUGAUUUAGUAAGGCGAUCAACAACUACCAAGAUCACGGAGAAACCACGAGAAACCGGAAGGCCAGUAAUGAAGUCCAUAGUGAGCUCGUCCCAAACUAAAGUUGGAAUGGAAGAGGCUACAGUGGCCCCGCUGGUGCUUGAGUGAAAUAUUCUGGUUGGUUCAACUGAAUUUGGAAGGUUGUAUCAACAUGCCUGACCAUAUUAGAGGGAGUGGAAGUUAGAAUAUAGACCCAACCAAAGUAUAUGCAUAAACCCAUCACAAAAAGGCCGAAGAUUGAAUCCAAGAGACCGCAAUGGCUGAGUCAAACUCUACCUCCAACACAUAGUAACAAAGUUGAGCAACCAACUCUAAACCCUCACAAACUGCCAUCAGCUCAGAAUAAAGGAUUGCCUGAUGGCUCACAAAAGAACUACAAGCAGCCAAGACCAUACCUUGGUAAUCAUGAAAAAUACCACAUGUCGUAGACAUCCCAAGAUUGCGCUUCACGAAGAAUUAAGCAACCCUGCUCCAGGUUCAAAAGACAUUUAUUUUCCUACUCAGUACUCUCGGUCAUUUUUCAUGCAAUUUAUGGCUUGUUUGUGGAAACAACACUGGUCAUACUGUGUUUGAAACUAUGUUCUGAGACAUGGGCACUAAAAUGUGAGUUACGACUAGGAAUCUAUAAAAUUAUAUACUUAAAUGUUAUUCACAGCCUCGUAGUUAGAUAUUCCUUUUAAUCUAAAUUUUGACAUUUUAAAUUUGUAGGAAACGGAACCAAGAUCUGUUUAAUGCAAUGGGUUCAAUGUACACUGUUGUUUUCUUCGUUGGCGUGCAAUAUUGUUCGUCAGUGCAGCCAGUAGUAGCUGUUGAAAUGGCAGUCUUUUAUAGGGAAAAAGGCGCUGGAAUGUACUCUGGCAUGCCAUAUCCAAUUUUUUCACUUGUCGAAAGGAAUUGUGUUUCUUUACUGAUGCAUUUUAUUUUUCUUUUCCGCUGGUUAUGAUCAAGAUACCUUAUAUUUUUUUUUGUGUCCGUGGUGUAUGGUGUUAUAGUGUAUGCUAUGAUUGGAUUUGAAUGGACAGCCGCCAAGUUCUUUUGGUAUUUGUUUGUUAUGUUCUUCACCUUGUUGCACUUCACCUUUUAUGGCAUGAUGAUAGUGGCUAUAACACCAAAUCACCACAUUUCUGCCAUUGUUUCGAUUUUAUUUUAUGGAUUGUGGAAUGUCUUUUCCGGGUUUGUUAUCCCAAGACCGGUAAGUAUUGUUUUCACCAUUUUUAUUUUUGAUUCUAGGUUUCAUAGCUUACCCAAAAUUUUGUAGCUGAUUCUUUCAUUGUCUUUUAACUUUGCUAAAUGACAUAGGAUUCGUAUAUGGUGGAAACAGUACUAUUGGGCAAACCCUGUGGUUGGACCAUUUAUGGAUUGGUUGCUUCACGGUUUGGAGAUAUAGAGGACAAAAUGGAAAGUGGUGAACCAGUGAAACAAUUUGUUAAGAGAUUAGUUUGAUUUCAAACAUGAUUUUCUAGGAGUGGUUGCAGCUGUUGUUGCUUCCUUUGCAAUGCUCUUUGGAGUUCUCUUUGCGAUAGGAAUUAAGAGGUCUAACUUCCAGAAUCGAUAAAACAUUUAAUUCCAUUUCUUACGUCAAGUUAACUUAGUGGAAAAGUUACCGCUACCAAACAUUCUAAGGUACAAGGGGAAUUGGGUUGCGGAUGUCUUGGCUAAUCUUGAUAUGCAAUUUCCUUCCCAGAUUAUAUAUAGCAUCAUCAUUUAUUUUAAAAAGAGGUGUCAAGUUGUUGUACAGCUUUUCAAAAUUUAUAUCUGCAUUUAAUCUUAUUAAUUAAAAUAGUAUAGAUUGAUACAGGAAAAUAGAGUUUUAUACUUUUAAUAGGUGAUGAAGCUAUUUUUGUAAUACCCAAAAUUUUUGGGGAAAAAGAAGAAUUACGAGAGGAGAAGAAUCCUUACGCAUAGAAACUUUCUUUCCUUAUAAUUGUGGGUUGUUAUAUCCCUCAUUAGGAUUUAUAGGAUAAUUUUGGAAAAGAUUUAUUUUUUCCAAAGUUAUUAGGGUUUCCUAUAAAUUCACACUUUUUGUUCCCUCUUUCAUAACCCCAAAUUUACCACGGCCUUUUUCUCCCAAUUGCUUAUCACUGUUUUCUCAUACCUAGGAUUUAAACUCUUGCUUAGGGGAGAGUCUUAAUAGUUGGUAAGUUUUACUCUCCUUAUACUCUACUAUAUUUCUUAUCUUUGUAUUAUAUUAAAAGUCUUAUUUUUGCAUGAUUUUUAGAAUGUUACAGGCCUUUAUGCAUAAUUUAUGAUUUGUUGAAGUUGUGUUUAGUGAGUUUGUUUAUUGUUGAGUCUUGUUAGUUAAUCCAUGAUAUAAUAAAUGCACCAAGCAGUUUCUAGAUAGCAUAGAUAUCUCAUAAUAAAAUAUAUAUUUUAAAAAUGAUUCUUGAGAAGAAUCUAUUUUUUUUUAAAACUAGACAUGUAGACUUAUUGAUUAAAUUCAUUUCAUAAUAUUUGACCUUCUUCUCGAUUUUAUAUGGAUUUUCGAAAUAGAUACUAUUGCACUGGAAAACUAUGAUUUCAACAGAAUGACCAAAUUCACAAAAUUACUUGUAGUGCCAAAUAAACUCAAAAAUUUCUGAAAGUUUAAAUAGAGUUUACUAUAUGUGUCUAGUAUUUCUAAUUUUUCUUUCAUAAUUUUUUUAUUAAUAUAAAAUUUUAUAAAAAUCUCAUAACCUUUAUUCUUUAGUUAAGGCACUGAGAGGCAGUUUAGAACUUUGUCAGAAAACAAAUAGUUUUGAAAAUGUAUUUGGCAUUGUAUAGUCCUAAAACUUUUAUGGGAAAUACUCAUGAAUGUCCAAAAUGGUUCAUUAUAAUAUUAUGUCAUUCUUAUUACCAGGUUAAGAUUAAUAGUUCAUAGUAUUACUACGUUAAGAGUAAUAAUUCACAGAAUCAGAGUUGUACGAGUAAGAGUUAGAAAAUCAAGAUGUUGGAAUAAGUUGUUAGUAGUUAUAUCUUGCAUUUGUUUAACAUGUUUGAGGCUUUUGGAGGUUUAGAGGUGUGUUUUCAUCAUUACUUUUACUGAAGUAAGUAACUUCAUUCAUAUAUAUAUAAGUGCAUGUGUUUUUUUAAUUCUUCAAAAAUUAAUUGAUUUUCAUAAUAAAAUUAGCUUAUAUAAAUGUUUUCAAAUAUGAAAAUUAUGCCAUUUUCAUGGUUUUAACAAAAUAUUCUAAAUGCCUUUCAAUGUGUAAUUUAUUUUGCUAAAUGAUUAUCUUUUAUGACAUUGUCUAUAAAAUGUUAGACUAGAAUUAUUUUUACAAGCUUAAAUUAGACUAGAAUUAUUUUUACAAGCUUAAAUCAUUGUUAUGAUCUUUUAACUUAUGAAUCUUAUAUGAAUGUUUUGUUUCCACAUACAAUUAAGAUUAUUUAUAGAAUUUGUGCAGCGGUCACUCUUGAAGUUGUAUAGGGCCACCUCUCAAGGGUCAGAGUGCCAUGAAGUGUAUAUACAAUAAAAAGCACCUUGUGCAAGUCAUUACAUAUGAAAAAUGAACUUAAAUGUUUUGGCUCAUUAUCCAUAGUAAUUCUAAUUCUGAUUUUGAUAGUAUUAUAUGAUAUAUUAUGCUCUGGUCCACUAUUGGGUUUAUGUUCUGAGUGUUCACAUGAUAUUCUGGUUUUAAUUUUGUUUCUAUUUUUGGCCAGAUCACCGGGAGUAUCGGUGACACUAACCUCUUGUUUUUUGUGUAUAUAUUUAAUACGAUUUCUUUUCAUGGCUAAUUAUAUUUUUGAUGUUCAGAAUCACUUAUAAAUUUGUGUCCUUCUAUUAUUUUAUGUACUUAUGUUUUUAGUAUGUGUUUUGAUAAAGAAAUAAGGCUUGCAAAUCUUUUGGCACUUGAUAAUCCUAGUGUGUUAGGAAUGACUUUACUUACCGAGUUGACGACUCACUUCUCAUCAUUACUUUUUACAAAUUAAGAAUCUUGUUGACAGGUGUGUUUAUCUUUAGAGUUAGAAAUUCAUUUACUUUUGCUAGUUGAACAAGAGAAUGAUGACCUUCUAUUUCAUUUAAGUUUGUUUAUAUUCUAAAACUUGUAAUUUGAGAGUUUUAAGACUUUUAUUAUAUUUAUGGCUUUGUGAGAAAAUGUUUAGUAUUAGAAUCAAGGAUUUAUUAGCCACUAGGCUAAAGCCUAAUAGUUAGAACCCAAACCUCACAAUUGUGAGGUCAUAGAUCCGAGCCUCCACAAUGCAUUGUAGGGGUUUUAUUUUCUUUCUCAAUUUGAGUGAAGAUAAUUUUCUCAAUUUCUUCGAAAUAUAAGUGGAGUAAACGCCUUUCGGAUAUUAGAGAGGGUAAAAAUCUGAGCGAUGCAUCAUAAGAAUUGAAGUGAGCUAGUCCCAAUAAUAAUUUGAUUUGUAAACAUUAGUGGUAAUCUCAUGUAAUAUGAGUUGUACUUUUGAGUAAUAGUCUCAUGUAAUUAAAAAAAAAAAAGAAUCAAGGAUUUAUUUAAAAAAAUUGGAAGUAUUUCAAUUUAAGGUCUUAUGUAAGAAUCACGAUUUAUAAGUAAUCUCAUUUACCAUGUACUCAACACAUGUUAGAUUUGACACAUUACACUUUUGUUCUAGGAUCCAAGAUCUUAAGAACAUAAAAUAUUUAUUCUAAUAUUUUUUUAUUAAUUUAUUCUUAGACGUUGUUGGACCGUAUUUAUUUAGUCUUUAGUUGAUCCGUUCCGUUUUUGGUCUAACAAAAGGAACACUAUACUCAUUUUUCUUUUCCCCCGAUUUCACCUUUAACCCCCUUUUAUUUUUUUUUUUGAAAAGUAACCCCCUUUUAUUUUAAAACGUGUUAAGCUCUCUCGAAAGUUAACGAAAUUUUUGUCAAAAUUGCACGAUUGACUUUUUUGCGACUAGUAACGCUUCUCCCGUGCUCCGCUUUUUCACACUUGACAUUGAUGAAAACAAAUCUAGAGAUGUCAAUGAGUUUUGGACGUUUUAAUGACAAAAAUAUAAGAUAAAGAUUUUGUAUGCAUUUAAACAUGAGAAAAGCAUAUCAACACUCUAGAAUUGGAGAAAUAGUCGCCAACAUCCCAUUUUAAAAAAUAAAUACUAAGACUCCCUUUUGAUCAUAAUAUCUUUUACUGUUAGUAUUCUAAAAAAAUUAACUUUAAUGUUUUAUAAUAAAUAAAAAUAUAAAAUUAAAAUAAAUGUAAUAAUAUAUACAUUUUUAAAUAAUUUCAAUAUAUAAAAGAUAUUUUAAUAUUUUACAAAACCUAUUAGAUAUAGUUUAUUAUAUUAAAGUAAAUUUUAUAAUAAAUAGAAACACAAUAUUAAAAUGAAGGUAUUAGAUUUAAAUUAUUUUGAAUAUUAUGUAAAAUAAUAAUUUCAACAUUAUUAUUAUUUGAGAUUUUUUUAAACUGUAAAAUGUAUUUUAUGCAAAUAUUUAUUUAAAAUCUCUACAAUAAAUAUAAUAAUAUUUAAAUAAAUAUAAUAAUUUACAUAUUUAAAUUUAUUAAAAAAUUAAAAAUUUUAAUAUUGUUAGUCUAUUGUAUAGAUUACAUUAUUUAUAUAAUAUUUGUAUUCGUUAAAAAAUUUUAAAGUCAAUUUUUUAGGAUAAUAGAUUAUAGUAAAAAGGGAGUCUUUGUGUUUCUUUUUAAAAACUUGGGGGUAUUGAUAAUUAUUUUUUUAAAUCUUGGGGGUGUAGAUAUCCUCUUCGCUUUAAAUGCGCAAAAUUUACAAGUACAAUUCAUCUUUCACGUACGAUUAAAUGUAAAAUAAAGACUUUUAGAUAAAAUUUGGCGGAACAAUGGAAAAUUUAGUGUAAUAAAAAAUUAAUAUGACAUCUUGUUAGAGGAGAUAUAAUAAAGUUUAUUCCCCAAAGUAAACUAAGAAUGAUUAAUAAUCAAAAAAUAUUUUCUCUUUUAUUCAAUUUAACAUUAUAAUUAUUAUUCAUGUAAAACAUAUUUCCUACUACGGAAAAACUUUGAAUACAAAUGGAAAUAAAUAUCUGAUUAGGAAUACUACUUUUAUUUAUUUAAUUUUUCAAAUGAAAAUAAAAAAUAAUUUAAAUGUUUCUUCUAAUAGAAUUUUGUAUUGAUUAAUAUAUGAGCAUACAAAAAAAUUAAUUUGAAAAGAAAUAACAAGUUCACAAUUAUUAUAUACAAUAAUAAGUUAAAAUAAUUGAUAAAAUUUUUAAUUCCCUUACAAAUUAACAUUGAAAAUUUAAAAAAAAAUUAUUUUUAUACAUAUUUUUUUCAUUUAUUAGACUUUUCUGUAUUCAUUAAGGGUAAAAUUGAAAAAUAAUAAAAGAUUUGAGAAAGAGGGAUGUUUGAGGGAUUUUAUAAACUGUAACAAUAUAAUGAUUUAUUACACCAAACUAUAGAGAUAUAAAUAGCUAGUUUAGUAUUGAGAAUGGACAGUUGUAAUUUAAAAAUUACAGUUCUAGCACUUGAUAGGUUGGUGAUGUGCUUCAGAAGAUAAAUUAAUUUUUAUUUUAUGUUUAUAUGAUGAAAAACCUAUAAUAUUUUAACCAUUUUUAAAAAAAUAUUAUUUAAGCAAGAAUCAAUCUUUAUUUCACAACUAUAACAUUUCCAUAGCAAUUGUGGCUUGUAAGCCACUACACAACAAUAUCAAAUAGGCCAAUACCAAUCAGAACCUAAGGUGGAAACGUUAGUAGUUAUGCAUAAAGAUAGUGUAAGAUUACAAUGAGUAACCAAAUCUUAUUUAAGCACACAAUCAAUCUUUAUUUCACAACUACGACAUUUCCACAACAAUUGUGCCUUCUAAACCACUACACAACAAUAUCAAAUAGGUCAACACUAAAUGGAACCUAAGAUGGAAACCUUAGUAGAUAUGCAUAAAGAUGGUGUAAGGUUAAGAUGAGUAACCAAAUCCCUCUCUCGUUACCAAACUUUGUUAAACCAAGACAAAGCCCACACAUUUUGAAUAAGGAAUAAUUUGGUAAUGCCAUGCCUUUUAAAAUAAUUGAUGUACUGUAAAAAUAAUCAGUUAUAAACAGAAUCAAUUAAAUGUUUACUAUAAUUUAUUUCUAAAAAUACUGUAAGUUUUAAAAUUAAUUGUAUGUGUUUGAUAAAUCUUAGUGUUAAGUUACUGUAAGAAUGUAAUAUUUUCUAUAUAUAUAUAUAUAGAGAGAGAGAGAGAGAGAAUUUUUUUUUUAUUUUGUAUAUAUAAUAAUUGAUAACUAAAAUUUUUUUAUGUGUUAUUAAUUUUAUUUCUUUUAUUUUGUUAUCUAAAAAAUAAAUUAGUAAUAAUAAUAAUAAUCUCUUUAAAUUUAAUGAUUUUAUUUCCUAAUUUGAAUAAGAAUAAUUUUUGGGUUCUAUAAUAUAUAUGUGAAAAUAUUUAGAAUUGUAUUAAAUAUAAAACUAAUUCUCAAAAUUAGAUUUUAAAAAAUUACUCAUUUCUUACUUUACAAAAUUUGCUUUAAAAUAGAAUUAAUUUAGCAAAAAUAACUUUUAAAUUGAGUCGGUUCAAGUCUAAAGUUUCUGACACCAUUUAUAAUUCAUUUAUGACACGAAUAAUUAUCGGAUUAAUUAUAUUAUAGUGAUUUAUCUGUAAUUUUUUUUUUAAUUUGUAAAGACUUAUUUCUUAUUCAACAAAACAGCAUUUUAUUUUUCAUUUUUUAAAUCAUUUGAUAAUAUUUUAAAUGAAAUUGAUUAGAAUUUAAAUAGGCAGUACUACAAAUUAAAAUUUCCAGAAAACAUAUUAAAAACAUGUUCAAAAGGUAGUUCUCAAAAAAAUAUAAAUUUGUAAAGACUUAUUUCUUAUUCAACAAAACAGCAUUUUAUUUUUCAUUUUUUAAAUCAUUUGAUAAUAUUUUAAAUGAAAUUGAUUAGAAUUUAAAUAGGCAGUACUACAAAUUAAAAUUUCCAGAAAGUAUAUUAAAAACAUGUUCAAAAGGUAGUUCUCAAAAAAAUAUAAAAGUUAUGUUAAAUGUGCUGCAUGAUUAUUUUAUGAUUACAGCCGACGCUGCCAUAUGCCGGUCCAUUUGUGCUUCUCGAUGACAAGAUGAAAUAUAUAAACAUAUGCUGACUUGAUAGGCCAUGCCAUUUAUAGUAAGAGAUAACAUUGCUCAGUCAAAUUAGCUGAUACACAAUAUUUUUGAGCUUGAAUUUCUCUUUGUCGAAUUCAAUAAAAGAGAGAAAAGCACCUGCUGGUUUUUUGUUGUUUUCAUCACUGACUGAUCAUUCCGAGUUGCAAUGGAGGAGAGCCAUGAAAUUUACCUGGCCAGUACUACUUCGCAUAGGAGUCAUUCUAGAUGGAGAACAGGUUCAGUGGGUGCAUUUUCGAUGUCUUCAAGGGAAGAAGAUGACGAGGAGGCUUUAAAAUGGGCUGCUAUUGAGAAAUUGCCUACUUACAAUCGUUUGAAGAAAGGGUUACUAACUACUUCACAAGGUGAAGCUUUUGAAGUUAAUGUUUCUAAUCUUGGACUCCAAGAAAGGCAGAGGUUGAUCAAUAAGUUGGUGACAGUCACUGAAGUUGAUAAUGAGAAGUUCUUGUUAAAGCUCAAGAAUCGUAUUGAGAGGUAAUAAGCUUAUCUAUUAUUUUUGUUCUCUUCUCUAAUUUUUUUUUUUUUUUUUUACAUUAAUAACUCAAGCAUUCAUCAAGCUCAAAUCCUGGACUCGAGCCUUAAGAAGACUUAUUCUAACCACUAGAACUAAACCUUAAUUUACCCUGCUUUCAAGUUAUAUUAUUUAUAUUACAAUAAUUAAGCUAUAUAUAGAGAAAGGACAUUUUUGGAUAAAUAUUCAAAUACUUUCUUUUAAUAUUAAUUAAAGAGCAUUGAUAUUUGAACACCAUAAGACACUACCAAGACAGAAAUAGAUAGUUACAGUAAGCACUUUAACACAUUAAAUAGUAAUGUUGCUCGUAUUCCUGGUGGUCAAAUAUUACUUAAAAUUUUGAAAAAUGAGAAGGGAGCGAGGCUGCACAAAAUCACAGCCCAUCUCUCUCAUCCGCUGCCCUGUACCCGCUAAAAAUCUUUCAGCUUGAGUGUUUCACCAAACACUACCAACUUUUACAGCCACUAAAAAUCAAUUUUUACUCUCUGUUAAAACUCGAGCUCGGGUGUGCAUGCAUGAACUUUGUUUACGGCAACUGCUGAUGUUGCUAUCAAAUGUUCCCAACAGUUGACUGCCUAAUUAAUUUCUGAUUUUCCACUCUGCGCCCUCUUCUCAGCAAAAGUUGGGACUUUAUUUCCUUCACAAUUAUAAACUUGGGUAGGGAUAAAAAUCUCCCUCACUGAACUAAAUAUUCUUCAAAAUUACUAAGAACAGAAAUCUGAACCAUGCUUUUAGUAAACUUGAUAUGGAGUCAUUUUAAUAAAAUUCUGAUUUUUCAUUUUUCUUUGAUUAUAUUCGUCUCAGAGUUGGAAUAGUGCUUCCAACAGUGGAAGUUCGAUUUGAACAUUUGACUAUUGAAGCAGAAGCAUUUUUAGCAAGUAAAGCCUUGCCAUCAUUCACUAAAUUCUUUACCACCAUCUUUGAGGUAGCAUUACUCUUCAAAUAUAUAUCACGAAUUGUUUAAAAUUUAAUUGUAAUUUGUUAAUUUCUCGGCCCGAAUUUUAAUAUUUUGUAUGCGCUUGAAGGAUUUGUUGAACUAUCUCCACAUUCUUCCGAGUGCAAAGAAACACUUGACAAUCCUCAAGGACGUCAGUGGAAUCGUAAAGCCAGGCAGGUGAGAAUCGAAUUCCUUUUGUUUGUCAUUGAAUAUUCUGUUGGUAGUAAUAACAAAUUGUGCUUUUUUCUUUUGUUGCAGAUUGACGUUGCUUUUGGGUCCCCCAAGUUCUGGAAAGACCACUUUGUUGUUGGCAUUGGCCGGGAAACUUGAUCCUAGUCUAAAUGUGAUUAUAUAGUUAAAAGCUCUAAUUAUUUUAGAGGGGUUUGGCUUUUAGCAUUGUAAAGUUCACACUUUGGUUUUAUCUCUGAUUGGAGAAUCGAAAUGUCUCUUUAUAGGUUUCUGGUAGGGUGACAUACAAUGGACACAACAUGGAUGAGUUUGUGCCUGAGAGAACAGCUGCUUACAUCAGUCAACAUGAUAAUCAUAUAGGCGAAAUGACUGUGAGGGAAACCUUGGCGUUCGCUGCUAGAUGCCAGGGGGUUGGAACUCGUUACGGUAGGUUUCUGAUAUUUUCGUUUAUUUCUUUACUUCUUUUAUUUUAGCUUUGUUCAACUAUAGAAUUCAGACGGUAGCAUGCAAUUUUUUUGAUAUGGUGUAAGCAUUAAAUGUCUUUGAGUUUGGGAAAUGCAGAAAUGUUAACUGAGUUAUCCAGAAGAGAGAAGGCAGCAGGUAUCAAGCCUGAUCCUGAUAUCGAUGUCUUCAUGAAGGUAAGAGAAGCUGAAGACUGUUUGAAGGAUCUGUAACCAAAUAAAUUCCGGGAAGAAAAAAAAUUUAAUAAUAAAAUUUGGAGAAAGAUGUGUUUUCAGUUUUAAUCCUGGGCUUCGGUCAGGUGUUUCUAUGGCUUAAAAUCAUUGUACUUGAGCAUUGAUGUUCAACUCUUUAUGACAUUUUCUUGAAUUAGAUCAGUUUUAAGCUUGGUAUUUUACCUUUCCCCACUAGAAAAUAGAGUUGCUUCAGAAUCAACCUUAUAAGAUAGAUUUGAACUCUUGGUGAUUGAAUAUCAUAUAUUUUUCUGUGAAUUCUCAUGUCUCAGGCAGCAUCAACUGAAGGCGAAGAAGCCAAUGUGAUAACUGAUUAUUAUCUGAAGGUAUCAUUAUUAUGAAUCACCCUAUAAACUAAUAGUGAAUUUUUCUCAAGAAUAAUAACUAAAGUCACUUGUUUGAAUGUUUUCAUCAUAAAUAUAUAGGUUCUGGGACUGGAUAUCUGUGCAGAUACCAUGGUAGGGGAUGAAAUGAGAAGAGGUGUAUCAGGGGGACAAAAAAAGCGUGUCACAACUGGUAAAUACAUAACUCUAUAAAUUCAUUUAUAUUGUUCACAAUGAUUUCAAAAAAAUUCUCUCUUUUUAUUCAAACAAAUUACAAUUUGUAUUUCAAAUUAUAGGUGAAAUGAUGGUUGGUCCAGCGUUGGCACUAUUUAUGGACGAGAUUUCCACUGGUUUGGACAGCUCAACGACUUUCCAGAUUGUUAAUUGUUUCAAGCAAAAUAUUCACAUCAAUAGUGGAACUGCUGUGAUAUCUCUCCUACAGCCAGCACCAGAAACUUAUAAUUUAUUCGAUGAUAUUAUCCUUCUAUCUGAUGGGCAGAUUGUAUACCAGGGUCCCCGCGAACUGGUGCUAGAGUUUUUUGAAUCUAUGGGCUUUAAAUGCCCCAAGAGGAAAGGCGUGGCUGACUUCUUGCAAGAAGUAUACGCUAAUAGAGCUCUUGCUAUAGUAUUUCUUUUUCUUAAUAUUUUUAAUAAACAUCCUGUGGCUUAUCUUUACAAAUAAUAUGUUGUAGGUGACAUCAAAGAAAGAUCAAGAGCAGUAUUGGGCACAUAAAGACAGGCCAUACAGGUUUGUUAAAGUCCAGGAAUUCGUUGCGGCAUUCCAAUCAUUCCAUGUGGGACAGAAACUUUCUGAUGAGCUUCAGACUCCAUUUGAUAAGAGCAAGAGCCACCGAGCUGCUUUGACCACAAAAGUUUAUGGUGUUGGCAAGAGGGAGUUGUUGAAAGCUUGCACCUCAAGAGAACUCUUGCUGAUGAAGAGGAACUCCUUUGUCUACAUCUUCAAGCUCAUUCAAGUAAGUAUCAACUUAAAUUUUUAGUUGUUUUAGUCAUUUCUUUAUGUGAUAAAGAUUAUUGAUUAAUUUUUUCCCCUGCUAUUAGAUCGGAUCUAUCACAUUGGUCUAUAUGACACUCUUCUUCAGAACAAAGAUGCACAAAGAUUCAGUAACUGAUGGUGGAAUUUAUGCUGGUGCCUUGUUCUUCACCAUUGUGAUGCCCUUGUUCAGUGGAUUUGCUGAGAUUUCUAUGACCAUAGUAAAGCUUCCUGUCUUCUAUAAGCAAAGAGAUUUCAAAUUCUUUCCUCCAUGGGCAUAUGCUAUUCCCUCAUGGAUCCUCAAGAUCCCUAUCUCGUUUCUGGAGCCGGCUGUUUGGGUAUUCUUGUCAUAUUAUGUAAUUGGGUAUGAUCCCAAUGCAGGAAGGUAGAAAGAAAACAAACAAAAUUCUCUAGUAACUACUGAAGUUUUUAUUGUACGUUAUCUUUAUCCAUCUAGUUUAAAUAAUGAUUUUCUUGUUGCAGGUUUUUUAAGCAGUACUUGCUCCUCUUGGCUUUUAACCAGAUGAUUUCUGGAUUGUUUAGAUUCAUUGGAGCAACAGGCAGGAACCUGGUUGUUGCUUACACUUUUGGUUCAUUUGCAGUACUCGUGCUUUUGGCUUUGGGAGGCUUCGUCCUUUCACGAGGUACAAAUAGUGUACAAGUAAAAGAGACUAUAUUAGCUUCUUUUAUCAUAAUUUAACAAUUUCUUUGUUUCAUACUGCAGAGGAAGUUAAAAAAUGGUGGAAAUGGGCUUACUGGAGUUCUCCUGUGAUGUAUGCACAGAAUGGAAUUAUGGCAAAUGAAUUUCUUGGGCACAGUUGGAAAAAGGUAAUUAUUUGAAAGAUUUGAGUUUUUUUUUUUUUUUGGUUAGUGACAUACUCAUGUCUGUGAUUUUUCAUCUGAUAGUUUACUCCAACUUCAACUGAAUCGCUUGGAGUUCAAGUUUUGGAGUCUCGUGAGUUCUUCGCCCAUGCAUAUUGGUAUUGGCUUGGAUUAGGGGCUUUGUUUGGUUUCAUACUACUGUUGAACGUUGGUUUCGCCUUGGCUCUUACUUUCCUUAACCGUGUGUACCUUUACCUUGUUCACUUAUAUUACUCCUAAAGCAGUCAAUUUAUGUCCUAAUUUCAUGCAAAAAUAUGUUGUAGAGUUUGAGAAGCCUCGGGCUGUAAUAACAGAGGAAUUUGAAAGUGAUGAGCAAGAUAACAGAAUUGGAGGAACUGUUCAGUUAUCAAACUGUGGAGGUAGUUCUAGUUACAAGACAUGCUUAUGUUAUAAAACUAUUUCAUUUGAGAAAGAACGAGUUAUCUUUUAACUUUCUUCUUAUGCUAAAAAUUAUUUUAAACAUGUAGAGAGUGGAAAUGACAAUAGGGAAAGAAACUCGUCUUUCCAGUCCUCAUCCCUUACAGAAGCAGAGGCCAGUCAUCCAAAGAAAAGAGGAAUGGUUCUUCCAUUUGAACCUUAUUCCCUUACCUUUGAUGAGGUUGUAUACUCCGUUGACAUGCCACAGGUAAUAUUAAUUUAAAAGUUAAUUAGGUAAUAUUUAGAGAGUUCAAUAAUAUAUUGUUUUAUUACAACGUAUGCCCUGGCAUGAUCAACAAUUAAUUUGAUUUUACUUUGCAGCAAAUGAAACUUCAAGGAGUUCCUGAAGAUAAAUUAGUGCUUUUGAAUGGUGUGAGCGGUGCUUUUCGGCCUGGUGUACUAACUGCUUUAAUGGGUGUCAGUGGUGCUGGUAAAACUACUUUGAUGGAUGUAUUGGCUGGCAGGAAAACGGGUGGAUAUAUUACUGGGGAUAUAAGAAUAUCUGGUUACCCAAAGAAGCAAGAAACGUUUGCUCGUAUUUCAGGAUACUGUGAGCAAAAUGACAUCCACUCUCCUUUUGUUACUGUAUAUGAGUCCUUGUUCUAUUCGGCCUGGCUACGUUUACCACCUGAAGUUAAUUCUGAAACCAGAAAGGUUGGUACUGAAAUCACCUGGAGUGUUGAUUCCCAAAAUACAUUCUUGGUAAUGGUCAUACCAAUUUUUAGUUUUACCGUUCAAUUACAGAUGUUUAUUGAGGAAGUCAUGGAGCUUGUGGAGCUGAAACCAUUGAGACAAUCACUGGUUGGUUUGCCUGGUGUAAACGGUCUGUCAACAGAGCAGCGUAAGAGACUUACCAUCGCGGUUGAGCUGGUGGCUAACCCGUCCAUCAUAUUUAUGGAUGAGCCAACCUCAGGGCUGGAUGCGAGGGCUGCUGCAAUUGUUAUGAGAACUGUUAGAAACACAGUGGACACUGGAAGAACGGUAGUGUGCACCAUUCAUCAACCAAGCAUUGACAUAUUUGAAGCAUUUGAUGAGGUAAGAAAGAAAUCUUGAUUGAAAUUGCAUAAAAUUAUUUUUCUCCACUGUCUCCUGAUUACAGUGGUUCAACAAUGCAUUGCAGCUAUUCCUAAUGAAGCGCGGGGGACGUGAAAUUUAUGUUGGGCCACUGGGUCACCAUUCUUGCCAUCUUAUCAGCUAUUUUGAAGUAUGUCCCGAUGCACACUUUCAUAUUACAACGGAAGUCUAACUUGAAUAUCAUUCUUCUUACUUAAAUAUCACUCUGAAACUAGUUAAUGCAUGUGUAUUUGCAUUUUCAAGGCAAUUCCUGGAGUCGAGAAAAUUAAAGAUGGUUAUAAUCCAGCAACUUGGAUGCUGGAAGUUUCGGCAUCAUCGCAAGAAGUAGCUUUGGGGGUUGAUUUUUGUGAUAUUUACAAACGCUCAGAGUUGUAUAGGUAUGUUUAUGAUUUGCUGCUAGGCAACAUAGCCUAUAGAACAAAAUCCAUUCAACACUGCCAACGCAUUUGUUUAACUGAAAAUUAACGUUGAUGUAUGGAUAUGUAUCAGGAGAAACAAAUUACUCAUUGAAGAUUUAAGCAAGCCUGCUCCAGGUUCAAAGGACCUCCAUUUUGCUACCCAGUACUCUCAGUCAGCUUUCUCCCAAUUUAUGGCUUGCUUAUGGAAGCAACACUGGUCAUACUGGCGAAAUCCAGCAUACACUGCUGUUAGAUUCCUUUUUACUGCUUUUAUAGCAUUGUUGCUGGGUUCAAUUUUUUGGGACUUGGGUGGUAAAACGUGAGUUACAGCUAGAUGUCUGCUUAUAUUUAAAUGUUAUUCAUAAUUCUUCUUGUUUCAUCUGCCUUCGUUCUUAAUUCUCACUUUUCAAUUUAUAGGGAAAAGAGGCAAGAUCUGUCUAAUGCAAUGGGUUCCAUGUUUACUGCACUUAUCUUCCUCGGCUUUGAAUAUUGUAUAUCAGUGCAGCCAGUAGUAUUUGUUGAAAGGAUGGUCUUUUACAGAGAAGUAGCCGCCGGCAUGUUUUCGGGCAUUCCAUGGGCUUUAGCACAAGUAAUCGUUUGACACAUUAAACGUAUAUUUGAAAUGUUAUAAGAAAUGUGUUUCAUUGUUGAUUUUUUAUUUUCUUUCCUGCAGAUUAUGAUUGAGAUUCCUUACGUGUUUGUUCAGUCAUUAAUUUACAGUUCUAUAGUGUAUGCUAUGAUGUCAUUUGACUGGACAGCUGCAAAGUUCUUUUGGUAUAUAUUCUACAUGUACUUCGCAUUAUUGUUCUUCACCUUAUAUGGCAUGACGGCUGUGGCUGUGACACCAACCCACCACAUUGCUUCCAUUGUUUCGACUUUAUUUUUUGGAUUGUGGCUCCUCUUUUCCGGGUUUAUUAUCCCAAGACCCGUAAGUAUUAAUUGUCUUCCCAUUUCAAUUUUAUAUGCUAGAUUUUUCUAACUUACAGAUAUUUUGCUACUAAUUCUUUUCUCAUCUUUCAACUUGUCAAACAACAGAGGAUUCCAAAAUGGUGGAGAUGGUACUACUGGGCAAACCCUAUAGCUUGGACCCUGUAUGGAUUGAUUGCUUCGCAAUAUGGGGAUGUGGAGGACAAAAUAGAAACUGGUGAAACAGUGAAACAUUUUCUUAGAGAGUAUUAUGGUUUCAAACAUAGCUUUUUGGGAGCAGUCGCAGGUGUUCUUAUUGCCUUUGCAGCGCUCUUUGGAAUUCUCUUUCCCCUAGGAAUUAAGCAAUUUAAUUUCCAGAGGCGAUAGGAAUUUGAUUUGGCUUUGAAGAUCAAGUCUGGCUUAAUGGAACAUGUACUGCUAUCAAACAUUCUAAGGCACACGGAGGAAUCGGGUCCCAGAUGCCUUAACUAAUCCCGGUCUUUCAGUUUCCUGAGUUUACCUGUUGGUACCUUUUUCCCCCAGUUUUCAUAUAGCAAUAACAUCAAGUUCUUUUUAAUAGGGGACAGCACAUCUAGCCUUUCUGCAUUUUAUAAGUUUACUCUUUUUGCCUGCGGUUGUUAUUUGUUCGAUAUUCAAAUGUUGUUUCUUUCUUCAUAAUGCAAAUAGUAGUGUGCAGAAAAUAAAUAAAAGAAAUCUGUGAUUAAUUAAUGUGACUAAAAAGGAUCAUGUUUAACUAAGUCAAAUCAACAAGUUUGUAACUUAGCAUGUGAAAAUCCACAUUCUUGCUCUUCCAAUUGCAUCUAAAUUAUUGAUUUCCUUUGUUAAAAAAAAUUAAAUAAGUCAGGCCGCACUGUUGACAUUAUUGUAUCCUCCUCCAUCAUGAAGUUUUGUCUAAUAAAUCGAUCUUUCCAAUAUCCUAUUUCAUUAUUAAUAAGAUCAGCAACCAAGAUUUAAGAAGCAAUAGCUGCGGAGAGAAUGAAUCGAAUGUGCUGUGAGCCUGUAACCCAAAUUGCUUUCCAUAAAUAGCAAAACACACAUACUUAAUUCUUCAUUUUUACCCAGAUGUAGAACUUUUAAAUUAUAAUUAGUCUCGUACUUGCGUUUAGAAUUUUUUUUUUUUUCUCAGAUGCUGAUAAAUGGAUCAAAAAUCUUGUUGGGACUUGAAAUCCAGCAAAAAUUUUCCAGCCCAGUGCCUGCCAGAACCCAUCGUAAUGUUAUAAAAGUUGAAGUUUACCUUGAAAUCUAAAGUCCAUCUCGAUGCUUGUCACGAUUUAACUCAAUGUCUGUAUCAAAGUCUGGUCCAAAAAUCCACUCGAAAACAGAAGAAGAAAUGUGUGCUCCUACAUACACGAAUAAAAACUCAAACCCUUGACAUCAAGAACAAAAAAAUAAGGUUUCCGCUACUUACCGGCUCAACCAAUGAGUGGUUUUGCAGUUUUUAUAUUUGACGUUAAAUAUCGUUUUAAUGUUGAUCCUAAUUUAAUAAAUAGUAAUGAUUAGUUGGCUGUUUGGUAAGGCUUAUCUAAUGGUCAUAUGUGUUUAUAUAAUUUGUUCUUUUUAAGGCUUUUAUUAUUAUGUGGAGUAGAGUCUUUGAAAAUUAAAUAAGUUAUUUUGUUUCUACUAGCAAACUUUAAAUUUUAGACUUUUGGGAAUAGAUGUUGAAAUUUUUUUUAAAAUAUUGAAAUGUGUAAAAUAUCUUUGACACGACUUGUCCUGAAUCAUUUUGGGCGAGUCUAUUUGGUUGCGAUUAACUAUAUUGAUAUUAAACUUAUUAAUGAGAAUUCUACUGAAAAUCGAGCAAAGUCUCCCGUAUCAAUCUAAUAUUCUCAACCUGCAAAUUUAUAAAACGAACACUCCCAAAAGGAUUCAAUAUUCAAUCAACAUUUACAACCAAUUUCCUUAAUUGAAAUACCAAAUAUCAUCCAAACAUCUAAUAUCAAAAUACAGUAGAUUAUCCAUAAUCACAAAAUAUAACAAAAUUAUAUAAUCUAAAAUAUCUCAACAAAAACAUCUCGACUUCUAGCACUAUCACUGCUAUAAUUUCAAAAUAACUAUCAUUGCUAGGUUGAUUGUUGUAAUUGCAAAUAUCCUGUCAGGGGAGAGCGAAAUGUAAUAAAACGGGUGAGUAUAAAACUCAGUUAACUCAAUGAGUGGAUAAUAUUUUUUGAAAAUAAUCUUACUUAAAAUAAAUUAAAUCUUUUCGCUAAACAAUUUCAUCAAAUAUCAUAAGAACUUAUAUAAACUAAUUAAAAUUAAACCAUGUACUGAUAUAACAACAAUACAUAAUGCUGCAUAAAAUCAAAGAAAUCGUAACACUUAUAAUAUCAAAUAGUAAAUGCCAAAACUAUCACUAAACAAGUACCUAGGGUAAUAAUCUUGUCACACCCAGACCUCUACGGACGGUGCAAUAACAUACUAUUUGGGUACCAUCAUGUCUGAAGCUAUACAAAUAGACAGGGAAAUGUCAUUUCAUAUCUCAUACUUGGAUCUCCACAAAUUGUGCAAUGAUAUACUAUUUGGAUACCAUUUUGUUCAAAACUACACCGGUUAUCUCAUACCUCAUCAAAUCUAUGCAUGCAUAAUCUAGUCCUCAAAUGACAAAAUGUGUCCAAAUACACACCUAAAGCCUCUGUGUAUACUCAGACGAGUCCCAAAAACCUUGUAUCUCAGUAUAUGUAUCACUGUUAUCAUCAUAUUGCAUGCAUAUGCCCCCAAAAGGUAUAAGCGCCCAACACACACGGUUCAAAGUCUCUAUAUUUAGUCAGAUGGGCCCCAAAGGCAUCUCAUUUCAUAUGUAUAACUAUAUCUGGAGGGAAAGAGUACUGUCCAAUAAUUUUAAAAAUAAUCUUUAUACUCAUAUUCAUAUACUUUUUAACCAUACUUUUUUUUUAAGGAAAAAGACUUCAUUACGGAAAAGAGAGUAAACACAUAACUUGUGAUGGUAUAUUUUCCAGCCAUACAACAGAUUCUGAACCUGUUAAUGCUAUCUUAGCCAAGGUAUGGGCAUUAGCAUUACAAGACCUAAGGGGGUGUUGAAAUCUGAUUUCCUAGAAAUCUUUUCGUCUCUCUUUGAUUUCUGAUAUCACCCAAAAUAUCUCAGUUUUGCUAUCCUUUCUGUUGUUUGCCAAAUCAAUGGCCGCUUGACAGUCUGAUUCCAAAAUGACUGCAGUGAUGCCUGCCUUUUUUGCCACUUGCAUUCCCCAUUCAAUUGCUUCAGCUUCUGCAAAAGGCACAUCUCCGUUGAAACUUGAGGGCUUAAUGGCUGCAGCAAAUGGCUGCAGCAACCACAUCUCAAUUGCUUCAGCUUCUGCAAAAGGCACAUCUCCGUUGAAACUUGAGGGCUUAAUGGCUGCAGCAACCACAUCUCCCUUAUCAUUCCUUAUCACCACUCCCAACCCAGCUCUUUGACUUUUUAACCAUACUUUGAAUCAUACUUUUCUUUUUAUUAACCCAUUUGAAUCCACUUUUCUUAUUUUUAAAAUACUAUCACGUUUUAUUCAAAGUCGAUACGGAAAAAACCAUUAACCAUACACUUUUUAAUAAUAUACCAAUACGUAUAUAAAAUCUAUUUCGAGAAAAUCAUUAAAUUCGAGUAUUAAAAUAUUUAUUUCACAAACAUACUUUACUAUCAUAAUAAACUAUAAAAAUAGGUUUUGUAUAUUUCACUCAUAGUGACGGUGCUCAAACUCGAAUAUCGUUCACGUCCGCAGAUCAAUUCUCAAUCGCGAUUCCUCUUACAUCAAGAAAACGACAUAAUUACUUUAUGUAAAUGCAAAGUGCAACUAACAACUUUGAAAUGACAUUUAUUUGCAAUAAACCAUUCAUAUAAAAUUACCAAAAUAUCCCUACAUUCCUAAAGUACUAAAAUACCCUUAAAAUUUUAAAUUACCAAAUUACCCUCAUAAUCCUAAAUUACCAAACUAAACUGAAUUCAGAUUGCCAAAAUAUCCACAAAAUUUGAAUUUACGAAAUUACCCUCAGAGUCUAAAACUACCUAAAUGCCCUUGCCCGUCAACGGUGAUCGAAAUUCAAGAGCGGCAACCGGGAGGUUCGGGUUAGACACUUCUGGCCGAGCUGAGUUCAAUGGUGCCGGCGUGAGCACCAACGCCGGAUCAAGCUCCCAAAUCCGUGAAUCCUCCGACGGCCGAUCGACAGCAAAUUGGCUCCCCCGGUAGCUGUGGAUGAUCGGAAAUGGAAGGUGAUGAUGUGAGGAGUAAAACCCAGCAAGUGGCUUGGCCAAAAUCCGGUGAAAUCAAUGGCGAUCAUGGAUUCUUCGCGGUAUUUUGUGGCUUAGUUUGGCGGCCUUCUUUCCGGUUACCGGCGACGUGGAUGUGUCUGAAACGAAGGCCGGCUUAAGAGCUUUCCAUUGGUACCUUCCUUCGCCAGUGGGGUGGCCGAAAGUGGGAGUUACGAGCGGGUCGGUUUUGCGUCAAAAGCGUCGGGUUUUCUGGUAAAAAAUGGGUCAACGGGUCAGCUGCUCCUCCCUCUCUCAAUCGGGUCCCACUUUUUUAUUAAAAGCUUAAUACAAAUUAAGCUGAUACCAGUAGGGGUGGGCAAAAAAAGCUGAUUAAUCAAAAAUCGAACCGAAUCGUUCGAUUCGGUUCGGUUUUUUUGUGGUUUUUUUACAUCUAAAAAAUCGAAAUAGUAAUUUAGUAGAAGUAGUAAAAUCAGUCGGUUCGGUUUUCGAUUUAAAAAAAAACCGAAAAACCGAACCGACCACAGGAAAAAACCGAACGCAAAUUUGAUUUUUACACAAUCCCUAAUCGAACACAUUCUUAAUUCUUCUCAUCUUCUGAUCUUCACAAACCUUCACCGCUGGAAUCUCGUCCCCGCUGCUGCUGCUACUGCUGCUCAUCCUUCACGAACCUUCACCGCUGGAAUCGUGUCCCCGCUGCUGCUGCCGCCGCUGCUCAUCCUUCAUGAACCGUCACCGCUGGAAUCGCGUCCCCGCUGCUGCUCAUCCUUCACGAACCUUCACCACUGGAAUCUCGUCCCCGCUGCUGCUGCUGCUGCCAUCUGACUGCUGUUGUGAGCUGCUGCUGGUAACUUGAGCUGCUUGAGCUUGAGCUGUUUUUGCAGAGAACUUGAGCUGCUGCUGGCGUGAAAAGGUAAUCAAACAAACAGCUGCUGCUGCUGGCGUUAAAAGCUCCCUUUGUUUUUACUGGUGCCAUUGGUUUUAACCAAUUUCCACGAUUCUUCUUCGACUCCAAUUUGGAGAUAACAGUGCAAUUUGGUGAUGAACAUAAAUAAAAUCAAAACUCAAGUUUCGAUUAAUUUUAUUUAAUUUUAAUUUGUAAAGUGCCACAUAAUUCAACUUGUGAUUGUGUUUUGGCUUUUCACGUGCUAUUGACACGCUUUCUUAGAAAUUUGUUUCGUUUUCUUUGAAGGCAAAUUUGAAGAACACGUUGAUUAAUAUGUUUUGCCUUUUUUAUUGUCUUCACAGCAGAAUAAACAAAUGGCCGUUUGCAGCAUGCAGUUUUAAGCUUGAAAUAAACUUGUGCUUAUAAAAUUAUUCCCCUGGUGAUCUUUGUCCUUUUUAUAACUUUGGGAAUGGGAAAAUGAAUUUUUGUAGUGUCUGGUUUCCAUGUGCAUGUGGAUUUCCCAUUUAGUUCCUCUGAUUGUUGUGGUAUGUUCAGAAUUUUGUAAAAACACUGUGAUUGUUGGAUCUUUAUAGUAUGUAUUCUUGUUUGCAGUUGUUUGACUUGUUUCUACGGAUAGUUUCAUUGUUUUCUAACUUACUCUGUACCGUUUAAACUUAUUUAAAUAUUUGUUCCAUGAUUGAGUUUUUCUCUUUUAUUAGUUGCUUAAUUCCUUAGAUUAUGUUUCUUUUAAAAGACUUUUUGCUUAUUUAUUUUGAUUUGAACUUGUUAUUUAAACAUGUUAUAUGUUCUUGAAUAUACUUUGAGACAUAUUUUGAUUUUUUAUUUGUUAACUUUUUAUGUUUAUGGUAGAUUUAUUAAUUUAAGGUUUUAAAUUUAAAAAAACCCAAAAUAGGCCCAAUAGGCCCAUAAUCGAAAUAAUCGAACCGAACCGAAUCGAAUUAUUUCAAUUAAUCGAGUAUUUGAUUAUUUCGGUAAUUUGAUUAAUCGUGAUUAUGAUUUUAAAAUAAUCGUAAUCGAACGAUUAUGAAAAAUUUAGUAAAAAACCGAACCGAACCGAACCGCGCCCACCCCUAGAUACCAGACCCGAGUCUUAAAAUAAACUCUGACUACAUGGCCAUUCAAUCGCAUUCGAAUUGUCUCUAUUUUAUGUCAUGACAAACUUAAAUUAUUCCAAACACGAACCAUUUAUUAAAUCUAUAAAAUUUUAUAACAUAUAUCUAUUUAUUCAUAUCGAGAAAUCAAGUUGUGUCAAUUUUUGCCAAUGAGAAAUUGUAAUAAGUCUAGUGACUUUAAAAUAUAUUUUAUGCUAAAGGAGAAAAAUAAUACACUUAAUUAAAGAAAUAAAGUGCAUAUGUUAUAAUCUUUUACUUAUUUAAUUAUUUUAUUUCAUUUCUUUCUUAACACAAUUUUUAAAAUCUACUUAUUAAAAAAUCUACUUGUAAAAUCUCUAACAAUAAAAAAUUUAUUUAAACAAGCUUUAUUUGAAAAGUUAUAUCAAAUCAAGCUUAACUUAAUAUGGUAAUUAUAUUUAAGUUGUCACAUCUACUGGACUCAAAUACUAGAAUAAUAGUUGAGAAUAACAGAGAUGGGUGAGGCUAUUUAAACUCAUAAUUUUACUAAUUAAAUAUGUUUUCUCAAUAAACCCACCAUUAAAAUUCAAAUAUUAGAUUUUUACUGUAUACACCCUAUAAAAUCUAAAAAAUAACCUCAACUAAAAUAGGAGGAUUGCCACUUUCCCCCUUACAGUAAUCAACAUAUACCAUUUACCCCUCUACUGUUUUUAUAAUGGCCAAAAACCCUCCUGACAGCAUAAGUUAACAAUAUUACCCUUAUUUUCAAUUACUCUUUUAUUUACAUUUAUUAAAAAAAAUAACAUGAAUAUAAACUAAAUAAAAAAAAUUAAGUAUUAAAAACAAGAAAUAUAUGUUUUGAUGUGAGUAAAAAAAUUAAUAAUAAAAUUUUUUCUUAUAAUUAUUUAUUUUGUGAACAUUUUCUUAUAAUAAAUAUUUUGUGAUAUUUUAAAGGAAAAUUUACACCCGUCCACCUGUUUGUUUUGCCUUUUUCAAAAAUACACAAACACUUUUUUUUUGUAGCGCGCCACCUGAAGUUUAUUUUUUGUUGCAUUCAUCCACUUCCGUCUAAUUUCCGUUAGUGGAUUUAACGGAAUAUUAAUGAAAUGACAUUUUUACCCCUCAAAAUUAUAAUUUAACCCAAAAUAAAUGGAAAUUGGAGAUAAAUUGGAUGGAUUUAAUUUUUUUAAAGGUGGAUACUAGAAAUUGGAGGAAAAUAGUGUUUGUUGCUUGCUAAAUUUAGAAAAUUUGUAUUUAUUUUUUUGAAAGACAAAAAAAUAAAUACCAAAAAAAUAAAUACAAAUUUUCUAAAUUUAGCAAGCAACAAACACUAUUUUCCUCCAAUUUCUAGCAUCCACCUUUGAAAAAAAUUAAAUCCAUCCAAUUUAUCUCUAAUUUCUAUUUAUUUUGGGUUAAAUUGUAAUUUUGAAGGGUAAAAAGGUCAUUCCGUUAAAUUCACUAACGGAAAUUAAACGGAAGUGGAUAAAUAGUGGAAAAAUGCAACAAAAAGCAAACUUCAGGUGGCGCACUGAAAAAAAAAAAGUGUUUGUGUAUUUUUGAAAAAGACAAAACAAACAGGUGGACGGUUGUAAAUUUCCCUAUUUUAAAAUUAAAUGUAAAAAGUAUAGGUAAAAUAUUUUAUUAUUUAUCUUAUAAUAAAUUUUUAUUUGUCAUUCACGUUUUCUUAUAAUAAUGUUUUUUGAUCAUUUUAUAAUAAUUUUCUUAUAUUUUUAUUAUAAGAAAAUUUUCACAAAAUAAAUAAAAGAAAAAAAUUUUAUUAUUAAUUUUUUUGCCCAUAUCAAAAUAUAUAUUUCUUAAUAGGGAAAUUUACACUCGUCCACCUGUUUGUUUUGCCUUUUUCAAAAAUACACAAACACUUUUUUUUUUUUCAGCGCGCCACCUGAAGUUCACUUUUUGUUGCAUUCUUCCACUUCCGUCUAAUUUCCGUUAGCAAAUUUAACGGAAUGACCUUUUUACCCCUCAAAAUUACAAUUUAACCCAAAAUAAAUGGAAAUUGGAGAUAAAUUGGAUGUAUUUAAAUUUUUUCAAAGGUGGAUGCUAGAAAUUGGAGGAAAAUAGUGUUUGUUGCUUGCUAAAUUUAGAAAAUUUGUAUUUAUUUUUUUGAAAGAGAAAAAAUAAAUACAAAUUUUCUAAAUCUAGCAAGUAAUAAACACUAUUUUCCUCCAAAAAAAUAAAUACAAAUUUUCUAAAUUUAGCAAGCAACAAACACUAUUUUCCUCCAAUUUCUAGCAUCCACCUUUGAAAAAAUUUAAAUACAUCCAAUUUAUCUCCAAUUUCCAUUUAUUUUGGGUUAAAUUGUAAUUUUGAGGGGUAAAAAGGUCAUUUCGUUAACAUUCCGUUAAAUCUACUAACGGAAAUUAGACGGAAGUGGAAAAAUGCAACAAAAAGCAAACUUCAGGUGGCGCACUGAAAAAAAAAAAAGUGUUUGUGUAUUUUUGAAAAAGGCAAAACAAACAGGUGGACGAGUGUAAAUUUCCCAUAAGGGUAAUAUUGUAAACUUAUGCUAUCAAAAGGGUUUUUGACCAUUAUAAAAAUAGUAAGGGGGGAAAUGGUAUAUGUUAAUCACUUGGUCAAUCUCUGUAGCCUCUCUAAAAUAGGUAAUUUCUUUAUCUAACUUCCUGUAGAGUUCAAUUUAUUUUUAAUUAAUUGACAAGAGAUUAAAGCGUGAACGGGGCAAUCUUCUUAAAACCAAGGACAAUUUGAACUUUUUUGUUUUUCUCUUGCCCUUGUGGUUUUGUUUCAUAUAUAAUAAUAAUACUGUUGGCUUUACCGAAAGAAUUUUAAUAUAAAAUAACGUCUUCAUAAUGUAGGGUGAGAACAUGACAUACAAGAAAUCUAGUAGUUGUGCCUGUAAUUGUUCUUUGCUUUGUUUCUUGAUUACCAAAAUUUGAAGUUUAUGUAAAGAAGAAGAGAAGAAAAAAGAGAAAAAAAAAAAAGCAACAUCAAGUUCUUUCUCAGGCAAAAACCUGCAGAGAGAAUUAUAGUUCUUUGUUUUGGGAAUUCUUCUAUAAACUAUUUUACAUUUUUUUUUUCAUUAAUGGAUCUAUAUGCAUGAGAGAAAGAGUAGAUAUGGUUUAUAAAAAAAAUGGGUAUAAUUAAAUUAUAGUUUUUAUUUGUUUAGAUCCUAUUGUUCUUUUAUGUAAUUUUAUUUAAGGAUAAAUCAAUGAUUAAAAAUUUUGUUGAAUGAUGGGUUCAAAGAGUAAAUUAAUGGGUUCAAAUAGCCUCGCCCAAUUGAGAUUCCUAUAUCAUUAUUGUUGAAAUUUAAAUUUUCAAAGCGCUCAUAUUUCCCAAAUUAACUUUAAUUAGAUAUUCAUUCCUUUCUGAUUUUAAAUUAGUUUUUCAAAUCCAUAAAAUUUUCUAAUACUUUUUCAUUGAGGGUGAUAUUUGACCCCUUAGUUUCGCUAAGUAGUCCCCACUAUGCAAUUAACCUCACUUAUUUAAAAAAUGAUUGUUAUAAAAGAUAAAAAUAUAAUUAAAAUGAAAGCACAGAGGUAAAAUUGGAAUGAAACCUCACAUCAAUUAUUCUUAUUAAUAAACCUCAAGAUAGACAAUCAUUAUUCAUAUUCCAACUGAAUCCUUACGUAAAAUAUCUGAAAUAAAGUCUCUAAAAAAACGUCUCUAAUCCAAAAUAAAAAGUCUAGCUAAAUUUAAUCUUUACUGCAACUCCAAAAUCCACCAAAAAAAAAUCUUCAUCUAAGUAGCCAAGCCACAUCUCUAAUCAAUCUACAAAAUAUUGGAGACGAGGGUGAGCCGUCAACUCGGUAAGCAAAUCCAUGCACAAUAUUUGAAAACAUUUGUCAUUAUACCUUUAAACAUUUUAUAUCAUCUUAUAAUAACAUCUUCAUUUAGCAUAAUGGAUGGAUUCAUAUAAAAGCAUUAAAAAAUAUUAAAACAUAAACAUUUGGUAGCUCAUGCCUCAUAAUUAUCAUCAUUCAUCAUUUAUGGUACUAUACCCCACAUUAUUCAUCGUUGAGGGUACUAUACCCUGCAUUGUUCAUAGCAUCAUUAUGUACAAGAUCAUCACCAUACCAGCAAGCUGGCCAUAGCAUUACAUAAAAUCAUAACAUUUGCAUCUUAUACGUUACUACAGACUAUAAGUCAAAAUAUUUUUGAAUCCACCUUACAUCCUUUCAUAAAUAGCAUUUAAGGUCUUCUAAAACAUUUAAGAACCUUUUUUUGAUCAUUUAAUUCUUUAGAAAAUUUUUAAGAAAACAUUUUGUUUAAGAAAACUUAUUUCUUAAGAAAAAUCAUUUUAAAAUAUAUUUAUAUAAAUUCAUUUAAAAGUGUUUUUAUUUUACAAAUUUCAUUUAAAUAUUUUAGAAAUCAAUUUUGUAAAAAUUUCCAUUUAAACAUAAUUCUUAUAACAUAUAUUGCAUUUAUUAUAAAGCACAUCAUGCAUCAAUCUACUUAUCUCGAUCUGCAGCAAUCAACUCAAUACCUCAUAACAAACCAAUGAGUUCACAUGUGUCCUUAAGGCAAACACUAAACAAAGAAGUUAUAAAACCUUUUUUUCCUUCUCCAAAGACUUAUGUUUCUUUUUUUUUUUUUUAGGAUUUUAUAACGGUAUAAAAAAUAAAAGAAGGCUUCCUCUGAACUAUUUUUGGUAAUUAAUAAAUAUUUUUUAAAAAAAAAUAGAAAGCAAGAAAACGAGAGUUUUAAGAAAAUUCAUUUUUUAAUAAAAGCUAAUAACCUACGUAACUUAUUUAAAACAAAUUGAUAAGUUUUACUCACACACAAAUACCCAAUAUUAACUAUUCUAACCAAUUUAAUAAGGAUAAAAAAGGGAAGCACAUAACUAGCGUUACAUACACCCCCAAGGUUUAGGAAAAUUUUCAUAAAGACCCCAAGUUUUCAAUAAGAGACACCGAGACCUUUUUUUUACUAUAAUACCCUGCGACUCUAUAAAUCCCCAAAACAAUAACCCUAAAAAAUUUUAAUAAAUGGAAAUAUAACAUUAAAAUAAAUGUAAUAAUAUAUACAUUUCAAAAUAAUUUUAAUAUUUAAAAAUAUUUUUAUAUUUUUCAAUCUAUUAGACAUUUUUUUAUAUUAAAGUAAUUUUUAAUAAUAGAUAGAACUGCUGUACGGCCAAGGCGGAUGUACGGAUAUAUUAUUAAAAUAAAUAUAAUAAUUUAAAAUUUUAAUAAUAUUUUAAAUUUCACAAUUAAUUUAAUAUUGUUAGUCUACUAGAUAGACUAUAUUAUUUAUAUUAAAUUUGUGUUAAUUAAAAACCUUUAAAGUCAAUUUUCUACUUAUUAUAAUCAAAGGGUAUUAUAGGCAAAAAGAGGCUUUUUUGACCAUAAAUGGAAAUAUAGAUAGAAAAAUAAUAUUAAAAUAAAGAUCCCCAAGUUUUCAAUAAGGGAUACCAAGACACUUUUUUUACCAUAAUACCCUUUGACUCUAUAAAUCUUAAAAAAAACUCCAAAAAUUUAUAAUAAAUGGAAAUAUAGCGUUAAAAUAAAUGUAAUAAUAUAUACAUUUCAAAAUAAUUUUAAUAUUUAAAAUAUUUUAAUAUUUUCCAAUCUAUUAGACCUAUUUUAUUAUAUUAAAGCAAUUUUUAAUAAUAGAUAGAAAAAUAAUAUUAAAAUAAAUAAAUUAAAAUUAUUUUGAAUAUGAUGUAAAAGUUAAUUUUAAUAUAUUAAUAGGGAGAUUUAUUUAAUAAUUUAAAAUUUUAAUAUUAUUUAAAUGUAAAAAAUAAUUUAAUAUUAUUAGUCUACUAGAUAGACUAUAUUAUUUAUAUUAAAUUUGUGUUAAUAAAAAACCUUUAAAGUCAAUUUUCUAAUUACUAUAGUUAAAGGGUAUUAUAGGCAAAAAAAAGGUCUUGGUGUACAUUUUUUAAAACUUAGGGUCUUUGUGACCAUUUCCCCAAACGUUGGGGUUGUAGGUGUCCUUUUUUCCUUAUUUGAUUGUUUAUUUUUGUAAUGGUUCUAAUGGAAGUAAAAAAUGUAUCUUCUUCACUAUUUUUUUUUUUGUUUUGUUUUAGAAAUUUUAAAGAUCUUCUUAAUUGUUGUUGAAAUUAAAUAGCUAAAUAUGUAACAAAUUUUGAGACAUUUUAUACUUCUUUGUGUAUUGAAGUUGCAGAAUAAAAUCACGGAUCACAAAAAAAUUGGCCUAAGACUCCAAAAAUUCUAAUGUUGGCCCUGAACCAACUAAUGCAUGUAUGAUAUGUGUAAUUGAAUUUAAUAUAACCAUCACUUGUAUAGUGGUGUUAUAAAAUAAAUGCACAAUGUCAUAACAUCAUUUUUGUAUGGCUGACGCAUGUAAUUUUCUAAAAAAAGAUUAUAUAUAAAUACGUUUUUCUAGAAUAUAUGAGUAGAAAAUUUGAAAUUAGAAAAAUUAAUUAUUGUAAUGACACUUCUGACUUUUUACAAGAGUUCGAGAAACAUUAUUUCGAGUAAAUUGAUCACGAUUGUCGACAAAAGAUAAGAUUCAUUCUGCUCCCCAAAAUAGUACGAGAUUAACAACAACUUCAAUGAGGCUGCUGCAACACCGCGCAAUUCUGCUCCUUGGCCUCAACUGAAAUUUGUAAGUCUGGUUAGAGGUGGCAAUUUUUGACGACUCACCAACCUGCCACGAACACAAAAUAAAUUUGUCUCUGGAUUGGUUAAACUUGACACGAUUACAAAUUUUUGGUUCAGGUUGCUUGUUUGAUAUUCGUGUCGGGUUUAAAAUUUCUGACACGAAUAAUUAUUUGAUUAAUUAUAUUGUAGUGACCUACGUUUUAUUCAAUAGAACUACAUUAUACUUUUCAAAUGUACUACCUACAUUUUAAAUGAAAUUGAUAAGAGUUUAAGUAGGUAGUGCUACAAAGUUUCUAGACAAUAUAUUAAAAACGUGUUAAAAAGCUACAUAUUCAAAAAAAAUAUAAAAAUUAUGCAAAAUGGUUUACAUGAUUAUGCCAACCCUUGAGGAAUCUCAUAGCCACCACUGCCGUAUGGCGGUCCAUUUAUGCUGUUAGAUGAAGUAUAUAUAAAUAUAUACUAAGUUGAUGUAUCACUCCAUUAACAGUAAGAGAGGACACUGCUCUGUCAAAUUAACUAAUUAUUAACACACAAUAUUUCUGUGCUUGAAUUUCUCUCUAUUGAAUUCAACGAAAGAAAGAAAAAUAUAACUUGUGGGUUUUGGACCAUUUGGUUGGUUUCAGCAGUACUGAUUGAUCAGUUUGAGUUGCAAUGGAGGGCAAUAAUGAUAUCUACAUGGCCAGUACUAGUCUGCCAAGGAGUAUUUCUAGAUGGAGAACAAGCUCUAUGGGUGCAUUUUCGAGGUCUUCUAGGGAAGAAGAUGACGAGGAGGCUUUAAAAUGGGCUGCUAUUGAGAAAUUGCCCACUUAUAAUCGUUUGAAGAAAGGGCUACUUACUACUUCACGAGGAGAAGCUUUUGAAGUUGACGUUUCUAAUCUUGGACCGCAAGAAAGACAAAGGUUGAUCAAUAAAUUAGUGACGGUCCCUGAAGUUGAUAAUGAGAAGUUCUUGUUA
RNAcentral lists this long non-coding RNA (142736 nucleotides) under Citrus sinensis (sweet orange). Its description in RNAcentral is "long non-coding RNA (CSIN_LNC000258)". Lineage: Eukaryota; Viridiplantae; Streptophyta; Magnoliopsida; Sapindales; Rutaceae. The record is from RNAcentral.